RNAcentral lists this long non-coding RNA (95088 nucleotides) under Malus domestica (apple). Its description in RNAcentral is "long non-coding RNA (MDOM_LNC003355)". The record is from RNAcentral. Lineage: Eukaryota; Viridiplantae; Streptophyta; Magnoliopsida; Rosales; Rosaceae.
CUAACUAUUGGCUAUGGGCCGCUCCUGCUGCUUUGUUAGUUGUGUUGUUUCUCGCACUUGGUUACUACUAUCUUCUUUGAGGAAGGUAAGCUGGAACAUCCCGAGGUAGAGAAGAGUGGAGAACUACAAUUUUCUGCUUGAUAAGCGUGCGAUAAUGACUAGGUCCUAUCUGUUUAGUUAAACUAAGUUAUUUCUGUUCUUUACAUCCUUUUUCGGGGUGGACUCAAAACUCAUAAUGUUGGUGGUAGACAAAACUAUCUUUCAAUGGAGAAGAAGAAACAUACAUUUACUUUUCUUUGUCAUUUCAAAUUUCGAACUUUGUCCCCUUUUGAUAUGGAUGUUAUCUUAUUAGAAUAGAGAAUAUCUUGGUUCUGUUAAAUUUCCAGCAAUCCGAUUCCUGAGUUUGAAUGUCAUCUGUAAUCCUUUGGGACCGUUGGAUAACCAUUUCGUUUAGCAGAGUGAUUGAUUUUUACACUCCCUGUUUUACCUCUUGCGUUCCUCUGUUUUGAACCCUAAUGGAAAAUCAUUUUUUGUUUAAUAACCGUUGCUGUUUUACCUCAUGUAUACUAUUGUUUUUCUCUGGCUGGUGGGGAAGUUUGGAAUGGAAGAAAUGAGUUGCUGUUAGAAAAGAAUUAACUGAAUUGAAUUUUUAUAAAAAUAAUCUAUGAACGGAGAAGAGGUCGCACUUGGUGCGAUGGCAAGUGUCUUCGCCCAUGAGCGGUAGGUCUCGGGUUCGAGACUUGGAAGCAGCCUCUCCAUAAAUGGGGGUAAGGCUAGCCGACAUUCACCUCUCCCAGACCCUGCGUAAAGCGGGAGCCUUGUGCACUGGGUACGACCAAUCUAUGAACGGAGACUUGUAAAAUACACAAUUCUGAUUGUUGAAGUUUGAUAUGAAGAGUCUCACAACUAAUCCCUAUUAAGAAAAAAAUAAAAUUCUCUUUGCUUGAAGAAUCUAUACAUAUACAGAUAUAUUAGAUAUCCAGACCUACAAGCAAUAUCUAAGUUGUAAAAUGGUUCAUAGCUUCCCCUUGUCUUCUUGUUCCUGGCAUUAUAUCUACCAGAAAUAUUCAUGCAUGCAACCAAGCAGGAUGGUCUCCUGGCCUUCGCCCUCAUUCUAUCUUCUCCUCCGUAAAUUAGAGUAGUUCUAUUUAUUGUUGUUGGAAUGGCAUCACUUAUAAUUAAGAGGGUUGGGUCACCUAAUUGGUCUUAAAAGUUGCCUUCUAGAGGUCAUUAAAUUUUUAUUUUUGAUAAAUGAUAUUAUCCACAAUAAAAGGAAGAUGGUGGGCAUAGUCUCAUAAUAGGCUAGCAAUAAUGUUGUUCAAAUAUGUCUUUGGCAAAAAUCGAACUUAAGACCUCUAAUUUAAAGUGAAUCAACCUUUGGUGAAAAAUGCAAUACCAAAUGGGCCUUUAAUAUUAGAUAUUGGUAUUCAUCUCUACUUAUAAGUAAGAGGUUUUAAGUUCACUUCUCACCAAAGGCGAAUUUGAACCAAAUAAUUCUGUUUGGUCCUUGGAUGGCUUGGAUGCUGCUCCUUUAAGGGUUGAAGUUGCCUUCAUACAUGUCCUUUGACUACUUGAUAGAAUGCCCAAAAGAGGAGUUGCCCUUCUUCUUUUUUAUUUAUUUUUUAAUUUUUAAAAAUUUUAAUUUUAAUAUUAUCUGGUCAAAACAAUGUUGUGGACAAUUAUAACUUGUAUUGUUAUUUGUCCUAUAAAUGAUGAAUGAUGGAACUAUAGUCUAAUUUUUAAGGUUCUUAUAUGUGUAAGAAAUGUUUGUGAAAUUUUACAUGAGGCCCUCCGUACAAUUCAUAGGUAAAAUAUGACAUUUUUACAAAAGGUUGAUGAAAUGUAGGGAAACAUGGCGUUAUAGUGGCAUUCGCCAUUUGCAAUGGAAAUUAGUCAAAGUGUUGUGUACUCUAAAAACAAGGUCUUUUUCAUUUUGCUUCCAGUAGUGGAACUGCGAAAAUGAGUCAUGUGAGCUACUUAGGUCUUCGCUUUUUGGUUUUUUUUUUUUUCAUACCAUGCAAAUUCUUUGGUUUCUCCCAAAAUAUAUAUAUAUAUAUUGUAAGCAAUAUCUAAAUUAAAAAAUGGCUCAUGAUUUCCUCCUCCUCUUCUUAUUUUCUUGCAUUAUAUCUACAACAAAUAUUUAUGCAUGCAACCAAACUGAACACAUCUCUCUCCUCUUCUUCUUUUGCAAUCUAUCUUCUUCUCUCGUAAAUUGGAAUAGUUUGAUGAUUUUUACCGUUGGAAUGGCAUCAUUUGUAAUCAAGAGGGUUGGGUCAUCCAUUUGCUCUUACCCUCCAAAGGGCUCAAAGGAGGUAUAUUUGUCUCGUCACUUCUAAAUCUCAAACGUCUCACCCACUUGAACUUUUCCCACAAUUCACUUUAUGGGGCACUUGAAACAAAAUUCUUCUUGUCCUUGAAUUGCCUUGAGAUUCUUGAUUUGAGUUAUAACAUUCUUUCUGGAGAGAUACCGUUUUCUUUACCACCCAAAAAUAUUCAGUAUAUAUAUUUGUCAAGCAAUCACUUUCAUGGUGCAAUUCCAUCUUCUUUCUUCCAACAAGCUUGGAAUUUGAUUAGUUUCAAUGUCAGCAACAACUCAUUCUCUGGGCAUAUACCAUCAUCUAUUUGUCUCUGACCGUCUCCUUCCAUAAGAGUAUUGGACCAAUGAAUUUAGUGGCAACAUUUUUCGUGGGCUCGGGGGGAGGGGGGGGGUGUUCCAAAUGGCAUAUUAUGUUGGGAAGCUCUUCAAGUUGAAAUUCAUGAAUCUUGAUUUCAACAGCUUACAAGGUAAUUUGCCCUCGUCUUUGAUGAAUUGCACAAACCUCGUAGAACUAUAUUUGAGAUUAAACUACUUGGAAUGAAAUCUCACCAAGCCUAAUUUCUCCAAACCCAACCACCUUAGUAAACUUGACCUAGGCGGGAAUCACUUCAUUGGUAUCUUGCCGAUAAGCCUUUACUUAUGCAGGUCCCUAAAUGCAAUUUGAUUGAGUAAUAGUCCUUUUCUAGAAGGGCAAAUACAUCCUGAGAUUCUUUCUUGAAAUCCUUGUCCUUCCUCUCACUUGCUUAUGUACGAUUGACCAAUAUCACAUGGGCAAUGAAGAUAUUAGUGCGUUGCAAAAGCCUUCACACACUCCUCCUUGACAGUUUUACUGCGAGGCAAUGCCAAUUGAUGAUGACAUGGUUGAUUUUCAUGGAUUCUAAAAUCUUUGUUUCUUGAGUUUGUCCAACAAUAGGCUCACUGGUCAAAUACUUGGAUGGUUAUCAAGCUUAAAGAAUCUAAAGAAGUUGCAUUUGGGUGAUAAUCAAAUCACAGGGUCAAUUCCAAGUUGGUUAGAUACUCUUCCAACACUCUUUUUUGUGAGGUUAUCAUUCAACCAAAUUUCAUGUGAAUUUCCAAAACAACUUUGUAGAUUGCUAAUGUUAAUGGGGAAUGAAUCUUGAGUAGACGAUUAUAAAUUUGAACUUCCCUCUUCAGCGGCCCAAUAAAAAAUAAAAAACUUUUCUCUCAUACAUUGUCUAACAUUCCUGGAGCAAUAAUUCUAGCCUUCAAUAAUAUUAGUGGUAGUAUACCUACUGAGAUCGGCCAAUUGCAGCUUCUUCGUAAGUUGCAUCUUGACGGUAAUAACUUCUCGGGCGACAUUCCCAACCUAAAAUAUUUAGAGGUUUUGGGCCUCUCCAGGAAUCAUUUGUUUGGAAAAAUUUCCUGGUCAAUGACGAGCCUUAAUUUCUUGAAAGAUUUUAAUGUCUUGUACAAUAAUCUUCAAGGAAAAAUACCGACGGGCACGCAACUCCAGAGCUUCAACACUUCUGGAUUUGAGGGGAACCCUAAACUUUGUGAUGCUCUACUUCCAAAUGAGUGCAAAAAUUGAUACAGAUAAUAAGAACAACGUCGACCAAUAUGCAGACAAUGAACACAAUGAGCUUCCUUGGUUCUAUAUUUUUGCAGCCCUAGGUUUCAUUGUCGGAUUUUGGGGAGUUUGUGGUUCUUUAUUUCUAAGAAGACAUUAAGGUACACUUAUUUUCGGUUCCUUGAUAUGGUACAAGAUUCUCUCUAUGUAAAUUGCAAUGUGCAUGGCCAGGAUGAAAGAAGGCUUAGGGACUAGAUUCUAUUUUUUAUUAGAUAAUUUUUAUUUUCAAUAAAAUUAUUUGGAUACACAAAAUUAACACACUUGGCGAGACAUUCUCUAAUAGAAGUAAGUCUUACAACUGUAUGUGGACCUCACCUAUAUUAAAGAGUGUCAACAGAUGUGUUGAUUUUGUGUAUCCGAAUAGUAUGACUCUUUCAGUUUUUAUUCUUUCUUUUUUUCAUCACGAUGUAAGGAUUGUUCCAAUAUAUAAUAGUACAAUAAACUCUUUGGAUACAAAAUUAACAUACUUGUUGACACACUUUCUAUUACAUAUAAGCUCUACCAUUGUACAUGGGUCUCACCUAUAAUGAAGAGUGUAAAAAAUGAUCAGUUUUGUGUGUCCAAAUAAUAUCCAAUAUAGUUGUAUAUUGUUCAAGUUUUGCCAUGGUGUAAGUUGGAUAUGAAAGCUGAUUAGUAAAUUUUUUUAUAGCAUCUAUGUGAGUAGAAACUUAUUAUAUAUUCGCAAUCAUUGUAUCUGAUUUCAAUCAUGUCUUUAAAACUUCCACUCGGCCUGUGCAAGUACAGUACAAGACUUAGAAAGUUGGAUAAAUUGAAUGUGUGAUGGGUUAAUCAUUUUUUCAUGUAUUAAAUGUAUUAAACUAGACUUAGUCACAGUGUCAAGAGUUACUUAACUUUGGCCUGUCUUUAAAACAAAAUCUUGAAUGUGAAAAUAACUUAAAACAGUUUACGUUUCAAUUUCAAGUGUUCUUUAUGUGCACCUAUCUCUAUACAUUUCUCUCAUGUAUUUCCCCUCGAUUUCUAGACAUCAAUAAAAACGAAAUAUUAUCAAACAAAUUUUUUAUUUUUUACUUUUGUUUUAUUUUUGUAUCUGAUGAUAUGCUGUUUAUUGUGUGGAUUACUCUUUCUUGAUUCAUAUUCAGGAAAGCGUGUUCUCGAGAUGGUACUUCGCAACUUGUAUUACCUUCCUUAAGAGAGAAUUAUGAAGUUCAGAUGAAUGUAAGCUCACACUAUAUACAUUUUUGCAUUGUUAAUUACUUGAAGAUGAAGAGAUGUGUCUUUGGAGGCUUAAAUACAUAGAGCCACAUACACUACUACAAUAUAGGCUAUCACCGGCGAAGCAAAAAUCGACAAGAAACCCAAUUUCUGUUGGAAAUUUGGCAAAAAUCCCACAUAAAACAAUGUAAUGUCGCAUUUCAAUAGCGACACUAAUGCUUGCGUCACAAAAGGCCUUCAGUGUCGGUUUGUUCGCUUAAUCCGCCACUAUACAGCGUCGUUUAAAAGCGACAUUGACCUUAGCGUCAGUUUAAAGUGACAUACAUUUGAACAUUAAUUAUAAUAUAUCCACCCUACUGUCGCUUCUAACCGACAUUCCCAUAAAAUUAAAUAAAUAAAAUAUACCUAAACCGACGUUAUAUAACAAUUAAAUAAAUAAAAUAUUCAAAUUUAGCAAUUUAAUUAUAAUAUAUAUCCACCCUACUGUCGGUUCUAACCGACAUUGUGAUACAAUUAAAUAAAUAAAAUAUACUAAACCGACGUUAGAUAACAAUUAAAUAAAUAAAAUAUUCAAACUUAGCAAUUUAAUUAUAAUAUAUAUCAACCAUACUAUCGGUUCUGACCGACAUUGUAAUAAAAUUAAAUAAAUAAAAUAUUCCUAAACCGACGUAAGAAAACCAUUACAUAAAUAAAAUAUUCAAAAUAGUAACGGUCUUAACUGACACUACCAUUGUUAAUAUUAAUAAAAAAACGUAAAUCUGCAUCAUUUUCAAUUAAUUGGUACUAAAAAAAAUUGUAUAACCAAAUUAAUAAAUUUCAAGUUUUGGCCAAAACAAACGUUAAUAAAAAAAAUUAACAAGACAUAUAGUGCCAAAAUAUACAAAUAUUAUACAUCAAACAUUCCACAUAAUAUACAAAAACUCAUCCGUCACAACAAACACUAAAUCCGACAUUACAAACAUAACAUACAAAAACAAAAAUAUAGAACAAAUGUGUCAUAUUUAUCCACCAAGAAAGUGAACCAAAUAAACUACUCAACCGAACUUGAGCUUGAAUGUGGCCCAGAUCCUUCUCCUCCUUGAGAUCCUCCUUCUCCUCCUUGAGAUCCUCCAUCUGCUCCUAAAUACCUUGUCAAGUCCACAUCAAAUCCACCACCAGCAAGCAUUCCAGAAAACCCCCCCCAACUGGAACUUCAGGACAAAAUCCAGCAGGAGCUACCAUCUCAGGUCGAUAUACUGGCAUUUGAUAAUGCGGCGGCUGCUGCAUGUAUGACAUGGGAGGAUGCUACAUAUAUGGCAUGGGCGGCUGCUGCAUGUAUGACAUGGGCUGCGUAGGCAUCAGAUACAUAGGAUAUGAAGGUUGCUGAUUAUGGCCAGCAUACGGAUAUGCAGGGGGAGGCUGACUAUGUCCCGACUGUUGAGGAGGCUGACUAUGGCCCGACUGUUGAGGAGGCUGACCUGGCUUGACUGUUGGGUUCCCGGGCUAUACGGUGGUUGAGGCUGAAUUUUUGGAGAAACAUAGCAAGCAAUUGAUUACUAUGUUCAAACUUGCCCUCUAGGUCCGAAAGCCGUUUAUUAGUAUUUUCUUCCCUCAUUCUCAACACAUUAUUUUCAGUCAUCAGCACUGCCAUUGCACUAUUAGAUGACCUCCUGGAGGAAUUUGAUGUAGAAGAUGAAGAAGAUGCAUAUGACACCAUAUCAGGAGUCACCCCAUGACCAUUACCUCUGACUCUAUUAUGACUCUCAGGACCCAUUGUAUCAACAUAAACACGGGUCCUAAGUUCUUCAUUAUCCUCUUGGCCCGACUCAAUCAAAUUUUGCAAAUUGCCCUCCAUUGUUGCCUUGCAUAACAAUUUUCAAAAAAAAAAAAAAAAAAAAAAAAUCAAACAAUCGUAAAACAGAAAAUAAGUUAUAGAUAUUAAAAAUUAGUAACAACAAAAGACAAACACGAAAAAAUCAAUUACCGCUGUACGCUCCGAUGUUUCAUCAAUCCAACUUUUAUCCUUUCGUGUAUGACAUUCACUGAAAAAGGUUACUGGAUCUACCUCUUUCCCAUGCUGGUUCCGCUUUAUGAAAAAUAAAGUUUCAUACAAACAAUUUUAAGCACACCUCAUACUAAAAAUAAAAUUUAUAACUAUGUAUUAUUUAAAAUUAAUAACAUUUCUUUAAAGUGAACAAUCCUUACAAAUUCUUGCCGUUUUCUUGCAAAAGAUUUUGUCCCAGUAGUAUGGUUCAUUGUUUUCUUUUUCCGAUUAAUCUUAUUUUUUUCAGCAACCUCCCGACAAAAAAUGGGAAUUUUUAGGCAAAUUUAAAGUUAAAACGAAAUAAAUCAUAUAACAAUUACCCUAGUUUUUUCCUUAUUCCAGUAUGCCACCAAUGUAGCCCACUAUGCAGGAUUCACUUCAGGAGGAGGGUGGCUGCGCUCCUCUUCUGCUCUUUUAGAAUAAUGCUCUUUUUUUAACUUAUUUCUAUAUUCUUUAUGUGCAUGCUCAGCAACCUUAAGCGUCAUAUGGUGAAUUAUAGGCAUUUUCACAAUAUUAGCAUCUUCAAAAAAAAUAUUUCCCUGCAUCCAUAAAAAAAUAAUCAAGCCAAUCAAUUAUUUUUACAUUUAUCGACCUUUUCUUCUAUUUUCAUGGAAAAAAAAAAUUAUAUAUAUACCUUUAUUCUAUUCCACAAAACUUCCUUAUCUUCUUCCUUAAUCUUACGCAAAUCCCUCUCCAACGGGAAAUUUCUGUUGUCUCGUACCUCCGCUGCUACAAGUCUUGAAAAUGCACUAGAAUUAUCACUAAUGCAUUUUCCGGAUGAAUCAAACGAACAAAGCGGUUUCGUCCAUUUAGGAAUUGAGGGUCCCCGCCUCCGUUGAGAUGUUCCUUAUUAUAACAAAAAAAAAAAAAAAACAAUUAAAAACCAAGAAACAAAUGUAAAUUUUCAGUUUAAACAUAAUACUAGUUUAAACACAAAACAAAAACUGAAAUUAGUAAUAAUUCAAAAACGAACCAGCCUCGAACUCCUCUUCCAAAUGAAGUUCCUCAGAACGUUGUUCUUGACAAGAAUUAUCCAUAGCAAAAGUUAGUGGGAAGAAUAUGGAUGAAAUGAGGGAAAGAGAAAGGCUGAAAUGGGAGAAGGGAGGAAGUAAACGAGAGAGAGAAAUGAAAGAGAGAAAUGGAAGCACGGAAGUAAUGGGAAAGAAGGGGCUCAAAUAUGGAUACAAUUUCAACGUCGAAAUAUGAAGAUAUUAUGUCGGUCCAAACCGACACUACCACUGACAAACUGAGACUUUUGGAUUUUGCGUCGAAAUAUUAGAACCUUGCGUCGGUUAAAAUCGACACUAUCCCUGACAUGAACUAGCUACACCUAGCUUGACAUAGUUUUACUCAAAAGCCUGACUGACUUUUGACUAGGGUGAUAUUGCGUUUAAACCUUGCGUCGAAAUAGGGUGAUAUUGCGUCGGUUUAAACCGACGUCACUUUGACAGAUUGACUAUCGUAUCAGUGACCUCGAAAUUGCAAAGGUUGCGUCGGAAUAAGAAAGCUUUGCGUCAGAUUAGUAAGGUGUUGCGUUGGUUCAAACCGACGCAAACUUUGACAUGAUUGAAACAACUUUUCCACACCAUUUCCCCGUGCAAAAAAAACCGGGAAAAUUCCCGCCCACAAUAUUUAAACUAAACCGACGCAGAUGACAUAUGCCGUCGGCUAAAAGCGACAGGAAGCAAGAAAAAAAAAAACGUUUAACCCAUCGUUAAAAAAUAAGUUGUUAUGUUAUCUCAUAUAAUAUUUUAACAAAUAAAAUUUAACUUAUAAAUAAUACUUAAUAAAAAAUAGAAAUAUAAUUUUACGAUAAACAUGGUCUAAUUAAAACAAAAAAUAAUUGAUAUACUUAUUCCCUGUCAUCAUCUGUUAGCUCGUCGUCGGCAUUGACUUGAUUAAAGAGCUCGGUAUGCAACGGUAAUGAUUCAAGAAAAGGAGUCUCUUCCAUGCCAACCCUUGUAUGGAAAUUUUCAUUAUCAAGAAUUCGAUCAUCCAAGUUAGGUAUGGCAUAAUCAUCAAUUGCAUCACUAUCCUCCAAUACGUCAAACAAAUCCCUUGGCUGGGUUCGAACAACUACGUGCCAAUCUUUUUCAAUUGUGUCCUCCACGUAAAAUGCUUGUAAUGCUUGUGAUGCUAAUAUGAAAGGAUCCUCUUUAAAUCCCAAUUGAUUGAAAUUCACCAUAGUAAAUCCAUAUUGAUCGGUUUUCAUUCCUCGUGGACUUUCAUUAUUAACCCAUUCGCACUUAAAUAACAUCACAGCUCGACCCCUAUCUCCUGCCUCAGUAGAACCCCAAUAUUUAACUUCGAACAUCUCUACAACUCUGCCAUAACAAUUCACUUGCCCAAGUGCUCCAGGAACAUUUGCAGGUACAACGACACCACAAUUUUGAUUCUUAUGCUUAUCAUCCACAUAUUUUAUACGAAAUCUAAAACCAUGACUAAUGUGACUUUUAUAUCUACUCACAACCCUACUUGGAUAAUUAGCUAGCCAAUGCAAGUCUUGAGAUAUCAACGUGUCAUUAGCAUGACAUCUUGAAUUCAUCUGUAAUAAGUAUGAAGAUAAAAAUUGACAUAAUAACUAUAAACACGUUAUAAUUAAAAUGCAAAACAAUAAAUAAAUAAUGUGAUUGUUAUAUCAACUCACAUGUUGCUUGAACCAUUCUGGAAAUUCUUUCUUGCUUAGCUCCUUAAUUUGUCGCAUAGUUAACCUUUCUCGACGAUGUUUAGUUUUCAAGAAUUCCUCAUGUUGCCUAGACAAAUAUGUCCAAAUUUAGAUAAUUAAUUUUUCAAAGUUAAGAAAACCAAUAAAACAUUAAGAUGUAUGAUUAAACGUUCUUACCUUCGAAAUGGGCUAACUUCAUCACAAUUAUUUAGAAUGUAUUUAUGGCACUGAUCAAGAACAUUUAGAUCGAGCUCCACAUUUUCUCCUGAACCCAUAUAACAUCCUUUCGAGUCAAAAAUUGAUAACCCACCAGAUACUCCACGUCUAAUACCAUCUUCAUUUCGGCCUCUACGAGUACGAUGAGACUCAACGUCUCUAAGAUACAUGGAACAGAAGGACAAGCACUCAUCCACCAAAUAUGCUUCAGCAAUAGAACCUUCAGGACGACCCUUAUUACGAACAUAGCGCUUCAGUGUUUGCAAAUACCUAUAAUUAUAAAACGAAAUACAAAUCAUUAUAAUUAUUAAUUAAAGUUACUAUAAUUGUAAAAAUUUAUAAAAAUUUAUUCAUUACCGUUCAAUUGGAUACAUCCAUCUAUAUUGAACAGACCCUGCAAGAGUUGCUUCAUCUGCCAAGUGAACUGGGAGGUGCACCAUUAUAUCAAAAAAUGCAGAAGAGAAUAUUUUUUCAAGUUGACAUAAUGUCAAGGCAAUUCUUGAAUUCAGUUGCUUGAAUCCUUCUUCAGACUCCUUCUUACUACACAAUUGUCUGAAAAUUGCACUCAACUCUAAUAAUACCAUAGUAACAGCUUUUGGCAAAACCGGGCGUACUGCAAGCGGGAGUAACUGUUGCAUUAAAACAUGGCAAUCGUGACUUUUCAACCCAUGUAUUUUUCGUUCAUUCACGUGUACACAUUGUGACAAAUUUGAUAAAUAUCCAUCGGGGACCCGAAUAGUAGACAACACUUUGCAAAACGUAGUUUUUUCUUCUCUGUUCAACGUGAACAAUGUUGGAGGUCGAAAUGUUCUGUUUCCUUCUCUACGUGGGUGUUGACUACGUCUUAUGUUCAAGAAUUCAAGAUCUGCAUGUGCAGCCAAUCCAUCUUUAGACUUUUCUAUAUCUAGCAAUGUUCCCACCACACUGUCACAUAUAUUCUUCUCGAUAUGCAUAACAUCAAGAUUAUGUUUAAUCAACAGAUGCCUCCAAUAAGGUAGUUCAUAAAAAAUAUAUUUCUUCUUCCACUGACUGUUACUACUUAUACUGCUCGAAGUUCUUCUUCUGCGUUGCCCAACUGAAGCAUCUUUGUUUGGUUUUCCAAAAGUAAAUCUCAAUGUAGAAAGUUCUUCGACACAUUGUAAACCAGUCCAUUUCCUUGGUGCACUACGAUGCUUUUGGCAACCAUUAAAAGCUAUGGUUUGCCUUCGAAACCUAUGAUUAUCUUCAAGAAAGCAUCGAUGCCCCAUAAAACAAAUCUUACGACUCGCCGGCAAGUAAAUAGAUUCUUUAUCAUGCAUGCAAUGUGGACAUGCUUUAUAGCCAUGUGUAUCACAUCCUGACAACAUUCCAUAAGCCGGAAAAUCACUUAUAGUCCAUAAGACAGCAACCUUCAUUGUAAAACUUUGGUUGGAAUACGCAUUAUAAGUAGGAGUGCCCACCUCCCACAACUCAUUCAACUCGUCAAUCAAUGGACGCAUGUAUACAUCAAUCUCUUUACCAGGACUGCGUGGUCCUGGUAUUAACAGAGACAACAACAAAUUUGGCUGCUUCAUACACAUCCAAGGCGGCAAAUUGUAAACAGAAAGCACCACAGGCCAUGUGCUAUGGUCAUUCCUCAUUUUCCCAAAAUGAUUAAAUCCAACACUGGCUAACCCCAGUCAGACAUUUCGAAUUUCUGACGCAAAAUCCAGAUAUAUAUUAUCCAAAUGCUUCCAUGCUGGAGAAUCUGAAGGAUGUCUCAUAAACUCAUCCUUAGGACAUUUAGUUGCGUGCCACCUCAUAUGUUCAGCCAUAUGAUUCGACAUAAAAAAUUGUUGCAAUCGUGGUUUUAAAGGAAAAUACCAUAUAACCUUAGCUGCGAUCUUUUUUCUUGAGCUAUCAUCUGCGUUGGUAAUUUUAUAUCUUGAUUUACCACAAACCGAGCACACGGUCAAAUUCGAAGUAUCUUUCCAAUAGAUCAUGCAAUCAUUGGGACAUGCAUCAGUUUUCACAUAUGACAGACCCAAGUCAUUUAUAAGUUUUUUUGCCUUAUAACAAGUUUCAGGCAAACAAUCCCUUUCAGGCAACAUUCUUUUAAUUAACUUCAGUAAAGUGGUGAAGAUCUCAUCUGGCAUUCCCGCUAAACACUUAAUCUGAUACAGUCUUACAACUGCUUCCAAUUUCUUAAACUCCUUACAACCUGACCACAAAUCUUGAUCUGCCUCUUCAAGCAACCUAAAAAAAGUCUCCACCUCUUCUGGACGCCCUUCCCUAAUAGGGGGUUCAGUAGACGGCCCAACACCUUAUUCUGUUAAUGGUUGGACAAAUACAUCAUUAAGAAAAUCAUGCAUGCCAAUCACCUCAUCUCUUGUUUCUUCUUCUCCAAUUGCCAUAUUUUGCUCGCCAUGAUGUCGCCACCAAGUGUUUUUAUAAUCUUUAUCCAUAUCAUACAAUAUGAGAUGUUCAACAAUAGUGUUCCUAACAAAAGUAUAUCGAUUACAACAUCUUUUGCAAGGACAUCUAAACUUAUCAGGUCCAACACCAUUUGCAACUGCUUGAUCCAAAAACAAAUUAAUUCCAGCUGUAUACGCUUCAAAAUUUCGAGGUAUCGUCAACCAACUCUUGUCCAUGCUUUACCACUUUACGAGGGUGAAAUAGUACGUUCACACUAAGAUGCCUACAAUCUUUCAAUCCCUAUCAUGUAGGCAUAACUAUUAGAAUUUUCAAUUUCUAUCUUUCAACCCUCGAACUCUAUCACAAUUGCAAUCUUUUAAUUUUCAACACCUAUUAUAGUAAAAACAAAUUAAAAUAACAACAAAAAUUUAUCAAAAUUAUGCUCAUCACAAGAUUUUCAUUCACUCACAAACUUAGUACAAGAGGAAACACUCAAACACUCUCACACUCUCACACUUCUUGCUCUCUUACUUGCUCUCACUUCUUGCUACUUACAUAGCAACACAGUCUCUAUUUAUAGCCUUGAUUAACCGACUCACCAAGUCGGCGGAAUUAGACUAAAUUCCUUCUAGCCACAAGUUUUGUGGUUCUAGAUAUUUCUACUUGCAAGCCUACUUAAAUAUUGCAAGAACUCUCUAGAUUUUUUUAGUAUGCAUGCCUAAUGCAUCGACAACCUUUUGCUAGAAUUUUCUAGCACAUUUCAUGAGUUUUCUAUGGGCUGGAUCAUCUUCUUGGGCCAAGAACAAGAUUACAUUUCAACAUCCCCCCUUAAUCUUGUCUUGUGACGCCAAUUGUGUUCCUCAAUCUGAUAAAGUCUUCUUGCCUGAGUGGUUUGGUGAAUAUGUCGGCGACUUGGUCUUGAGACUUCACAUAUUCCACUUGCACAUCCUUUCUUGCAAUACACUCUCUUAUGUAAUGAUAGCGGGUAUCUAUGUGUUUACUCCUGUCAUGGAAUAUUGGAUUCUUUGCUAGAGCUAUUGCAAACUUGUUGUCGACAUAGAUCUCUGUUGGGUCUUCUUGUGGCAUGCUUAAUUCUUUCAACAAGUUUCUUAGCCAGAUUGCAUGACAAACACAUGAGGUAGCAGCUACGUAUUCAGCUUCGCAAGUAGAGAGAGUGACAAUCGGUUGCUUCUUUGACAUCCAUGUGAAUGCAGUGUCUCCCAUGAAGAACACAAAUCCAGUAGUGCUUUUUCUGUCGUCAGAAUCUCCUGCCUUUGUGUUUAACUUUGUGAGGGAAGAGAGAAAAUCAAACACGGGAGCUUGACGCGUGCAUGGAAACAUUCUUAAUCACUUGAACUACAUGACCGUUCUUCAUACAUAACUUUUUAAUUACCUGAACUAUAUUAUCAUUUAUGCCUGAUGAUGUUUCUUUAUAUAUAAUGUGUUGCCAUUUCGUUUCACAAUCCCACUAACAUUAAAUUGCUUUCGCAUUGGGCGUACGUACGUAUGUAAUAAUCUUCGGAGAUCCAGUCACUACUCACUAGUCGCUGUACCCAUCUUAUUCUUAUCUAGCGAGUGGUAGCGAUUAUCAAGACAUACGGGGUGACGUUUUUUUAACCUUGCAAGCAAAAGCAUCUAUAUGAAUAAGAGUUUGAAAUACAUGAACAACUUCCAUUUUUGGAAGAGAAGUAAAGCAUAUAUGAAGUAGAGAGACCAUUUUUGGAAGACAACUAACCACUCUUGAAGUUGAUGUGUGGAAUUUUUUUUUUAUAGAAAGGUAUAGAGAAAAAAAAGGAGAAAAAUAUAUGAUCGGGAGGCGACCGCAGUGCGGUUGAUCAAUGAUCACUCUCAUACCGAUGGGGUCAAGUGCAUUGUGUGCCACUCCGAUGAACCGUGGCCACAAUGCAACUGUCGUAUUCAAGUCCUUCUUCUUUAGCCACAAUUUUUUGUUUUUCAAAGACUUGAUUUAGAUCCGAAAAUGCAACAUAUAGUCCACAAUUUUUUUCUUUCUUAUAAAACUGAAAAAUAAUCUCUCCACAAGCACUCAGACACACUACGUAUAUGACUUAGAGUUUUUAAUCAUGUGCUCUAGGCGUGACUUUCAAAAUUUUAUUUUAUUUAGACAUUUUUAUUUUAUUGGUAUACUAGCGUUGUGCACAGCAAAAAACACCUUGACACACAUUUUGACACCCGUUUUGUAGCACCCACUUCGUAAUGUAUAUCAACAAUCCAAACAUCCUAAAUGGAUCAUCCUUAAAAAAAUUAGACAAAUCUGAAAUCAUUAAGGCAUUCAUCUGUAGUGAAGAAAUGAACAAAUACGAUUCUACAAACAAAGACUAAGUUUAACCUAACGGUCAUAUGGUUUUGGAUUGGGGUUUUGGUAGACAUGAUCUUUGAGGGAAGACCUAAAAGAUAAAUGGUUCAGAUAGUUGAAAUACAUUACGGAGUGAGUUCUACAAGAAAGUGUGUCAAAUUGUGUGUCCCCAAAACUUGGCCCUAUAUAUAUAAAGCAUCUUACAAAUAAAAUGUGGAAAUAGAAUAGAAAAUUUUAAGUCGUGCAUGGUGCAGUAUCUUACUUUGCUUCUGGUUUUCCUUUUCCUCCUUGGUUGCUCUAGACUCAUUGAAGAAACUGUAUUUCUUGGUUGCAACACAUGGUUUUUCGUUAUACUCAUACAUUUUGAGUGGGGAAUGUAGUUGCUCACAAAUUAUCCAAUUUUGAGCUUCUCUCAUCUUCUCUUGUUUGGCAUGUUGAUCCUCCUCUUGAGAUUCUUCCUUUUCUGCAAUUAGAUUUCAUAGGCGGGACCUACAAUUUUAUUUGUUCUUCUUGAUGUGUCAUUUUAUUUUUUACCUAAUCCUUUUGGAUAAUCUUUUUUGUUUUGCAGCUUUUCUUGCAUGUUCUUACCUUUUAGGUUUUAUUUUGGAGGGGUUUGGUCCUAUGUCCCCCCCCUCCUUCUCUUUUCCUUGUAUUUUCUUUUUGGAGAGGGGCAAGGUUUAUGUUCCCCCCUCCCCUCUUUUUCUUGUAUUUUUUUUUCAAGAAGGGUAAGGUUUAUGUCCCCCCCCCCUAUUUUCUUGUAUUUGGUCUUUCUUUAUAAGAGGUAAGGUUUAUGUCCCUUUUGAUUAGAUGUGACUUUUUUUUUUCAUAUCAAUAAACUUCUCUUAUACCGUCAAGGUUCUCAAAAAAAAAAAAAGAGCAUAGGAGUGCUAAGUGUAUGUUUCAACAAAAAAAACCGUGUACGGAUACUAACUAAUAAACCAAAAUCCUUCAUCUUCACUUGUAAGUUAGAGGUUUUAGGUUCGAUUCUCGCCAAAUGCGAAUUUGAACAAUAUUAUUGCUGCACAUUGUGAGGCUUAGCCCGCUCCCAACCCCUUAGGGCCUAUUUGUUUGGCUUCUCUAAGUCUCACUGGACUGGAUUGGAGUAUAGUCCAGUGUUUGUUUGGAACACAUACUACUUUUAAUGGUACUACGAGGGACUCGCCUCGACUAGCAACCUCCUUAGGUGGUCUUACCGAGACCCCCCCCCCCGAAAACAACAGGACUGCUAAGACCGAAUUUGUUCGUCAGCUUUGCUUGUCUUCUUCGUUCGUCUACUUCGCUCGCCAACUUUCCCAACGGGUCUCAAAUCGCUGGGCUCCAGCUCGGAGAUGAAUCUGGGUUGGCUGGAUCUGGGGCCUUGGAAGAUGACGGUGGUUUGUUGUUUGAUACAGGAUCUGCCGCCAUGGCUGUCCAGUAAUUACCAAACUGCCAUCUCUCUUGCUCGUCAGAUAUUUGUCGACUUCCUCACCCUACUGAUUAGUAAUCGAAUUGAAGGUGAGGUGGGUUUUUUACCCGACUUCCUCACUCGUCGGAUACUUACCGACUUCCUCACCCGACUUUCUGAGAAUGUGUGAAAAGAAUGGAAUUGCUGAUGAGAGAGAGAGAGAGAGAGAGAGAGAGAGAGAGAGAGAGAGAGAGAGAGAGAGAUUGAGAGGGAGAUGGACGGGAAAGUAGAGAGAUUUGGGGAAGGAGACAAGAGAAUUCUAGAAAAAAAAACAAAAUGAAAAUAAAAGAAAAAAAAAUAAAGUAUUAAAAAACAUAUAGAUUAAAUAGUAUAAUAUUAUAAUUUGAUAAUUUAUAAAAACAUAUUAAAAAAGAUAGGGAUUAAAUAAUAUAAUUUUAGAGUUUGUUAAUUAUUUUGCUUCUUAGUCUGACACUGCACAAAACGCUUCACUAAGUUAGUCCAGUUUAGUUUAGUCUAAGUCAGUCCAGCUUAGUCCCUGAAGUUAGUCCAGUUUGAGACAGUCCGGUGCAACAAACGCACCCUUAGUGAAUAUCAUUUGCUCAAAAAAAAAAAAAAAAAAACCAAAAUCCUUCCUAGGGUUGUUAAAACAAAUUAGGAAUUUAGGAUAAUAGGAUGUCAUUUUUUUCCUAUAUUUCAUUUUUUUUAAGGCUUUUGGCUGAGACGAUCUAAUUUCAGUCUCUGAUUGCUCAAAUGAUAAAUUUUUAAAUAUGUAGUUGAUAUCUCCUCGCUAUAUCGUUGACAUCUCAUCCAUAUGUUGUCGAUUUAAUUUUGUUCAAUUCAAAAAUUGAAAUUUGAUGUUAAAUCAUUUUAGCCAGCAUCCCUUAUUUUAAUAAAGAGUCUUAAUAAUUACUUUUAAAUUAAGGAUAUUACAGUAAUUCCAAUUUAAACUCACUCAAAUCUCUCAUAUCUUUUUUUCUUUUCUAAUGUCAUUAUGUCAUUGAUAUAUUCAACAUAUUCUCGAUUAAUUUGUGUGUACCUUUACUACUAAUUUUUUAAUCGAAGAUUUAUGUUGGUACAGAGAGGGCUGAACUAAGCCCAAUAGGGAAGACGCUCUCCCGAACAUUCGCAAUGCCUGGACACCAAUUGGUUUGAUCGAAUGUAACACCAAUUGGUUUUAUCAAAGUUGCGAGCACUUGUUACAUGUUAUAUAAUCUCCACCCUAUGGACUAAAUCUUCACGAGUCCCUGGCUUACUGAUGUCAUUUUUUUUCAUGACAUUGGUUAGGGUAUAAGGCGAAUGCAAACCCUAAGAUGUUAGAGAACUUUUAGGAAGGAGAAAUAGACAAUUUCAACACGUGCACCUACAUUUGCCCACCAUAACAAAGGUUAUGAUUGACUGUAUGAUUGGAGAUGUGUUUUUUUUUUAUGGUGUUACAUUAGUAGGCUCGCCAAAUAUGCCCCAGUCUGCUCAAGAGUUUGAAUAUCAGCAUCACCCUCUCCUCAAUUAUGUUCAAGCUUAACUCUUAAUAUGUCCUUAGCCUGACAUUUCUGAUGUCCAAUUUUACAUUGGUUCAAAUAGAGGAAAUUAACUCUAAGAAGGGGAAGUUUGCGAGCUCAUUAUUUAUCUGUAAGUUUCAAAACGGGGAACAACCUAAUAUAACUGCUCAUGGAUCUAAAAGAGUCUUGAGUUGGCAUUUUUUGUAGCCUAAAAGCCUGAGGUUCUCUUCAAAAGUUCAGGCAUACGCUGCAUCGAAGUUUGGCUCUAUUUUGUUCAUGUCUCGUGGUGUCGUUGAUGCGGUUUAUCCUGAUUAACCAAUAGCAUCAUUGGUGGUUCUGUGUGCAUAGUCCAUAUUGUCGUGAUCACUAUUUGUUUCUUUUGCCAUUUUUCUUUAGAGUUAGUGUUGCUUGUAUAUAUGCAAAAGAGUGUUCUCUUACUAGUUUUGUUGGAAAUUUUGUGUGCAGAGUCUCCCAUGAGGUGGAUUAUGAAAUGAUUGAAAUUUUAGUUGCCUGGAUUGAAGUUCUUUUGGCUUUGGAGUGCUGGAUGUGUUCUCAUGUUUUUCACACGCAAAAAUCCCCUGAUAUAGUGGCUAUUAGAUUGGCAAGUUGGCCUUGUUUUUUGUUUGAGGAUCCAUAGAUUUAACCCAGGACGUCCUAUUUGAAGUUGUCCUUUUUCUUAAAAUGCUAAUAAAACCACUAUCAUUAAUUUCGCCUAAAGAAAAUGAUGCAUUGACAACAUAGAUCAAAUCCCAAAAAAUAAUCAUUUCAGUAAUUUAUAUUUCAGCAAGUUUUCCAAACUCUCAAUCGCAUUUGGAAAGCAAAACAAACAACCUUUACAGGCUUUGAGCGAAAAUUAAGGAGGACUUGCUUUUGAAGAAAAUUGGAAAAGAAGCAGCUAUUUAAACAGAUUACAAACCUAGCUUAGCUACUAAAUUGCGAAGAACAUGAUAAUUAAAACAAGAUGAACACCCAAGCCACCUUAUUAAAAGUAGUUAUAUCGUUCAUUGUGACGUAUAAACGCAAUAAUGAAAUACAAAACUGGGGCUUCUACCUCCAGUGAUACAACACGUAUUUCCCUACAUUCACAAUGAGAGUUCGACUCAACCUAUCCACCACAUCAUAUUUAUUAUUAACAAUGAACAUAUAUUUCUAAGCAUACCCACAGUAUCCAUACUCACAUUUAACCCCAUACUUGCAUUUUUUACCACACUUGCCACAGUUGUUGGCAUCCGAAGUAGUAUUCAUGCAAGUUCCAUUGCAACAACGCAUUCCAAACUUGCAUUUAUUCCCACAUUUUCCACAAUUGUUCUUAUCGCUAAGAACAUUUCGGCAAUGUUUCUUGCAGCAAUAGAGAAUGCCGGUCCCUUUGUUUGCAGAAAUCCCAUUGCAAAUGUUCUUGAUUGGGUUACAUUGUGCACCUUUUUUGAUGAUGCUGGCCAAGAACCUGCUUCUUGAUCUGAAGUUGGGAUUCGGGGAGUCGAUUACGUACACUUCGUCAUUGUCUUCGAGCUCCGACGAUGAGAAGGCCAUUUGAAAAUGCAGAGCUAGGAGUGAAUGUAACAUGAGGAAGAAAAUGGUGGUGAGCUUGAGGAGGUUGGCCAUUGUCUCAAAAAAUAGGGGGUUCGUUGGCCACAAGAGUGUAAAGAAAGGGAGGAUGUGGAUAUUUAUACUGUAGGUUGUUUGUUUAAAUAUAAAAUUAAACAUUUAUAAAGUUGAGUUUUUAUUUUCUCUCUCUAUUUUAUUAAAAACUUAAAAGUUGAGUUUCAAGGAAAGUCUACUUUGCAAUUGAUAAACAAGGAGAAUAAACCAAUUAGGCGCAACUAAUGAGUUAAGAUUAAUUCAUUGAUUAGUGCAUUAUAUUCGGCUAAAGCACAUGAGAUCAAAGAAGUUGGCUUCCUAAUUCUCCGCCCUUGGAAGAGCCUUAGAUUCGUUGUCACAUUGGCAACCCUUCACAUUAGGUAUAGUCACCUAUACAUAUAAAAGAAGAAGAAAACAUUUGUGUGUGUGACUUUUGUACAUGUAUUAAGUUGUCAACUAAGACUUUUAUUUAUUUAAUAAUGGAUUUUCAGAAAAAUAAUUUUCAAAUUAAGUAACAAGAGUUGAAAUUAGAGCAUAUAUAAGAAUCACUUAAUAAACAAAUAAAUAUGUAUAACCAAUAGUCUUUGGUCUAGUGCUACUUGUGAUCUCCACCUUGUUUGAAUGAGGGUUGUGUGUAUUCAUGUAUGUGUGUGUGUGUGUAUCUGUGGUGAAUUUACUAAUAAGUUAAUUGUGAUUUGUCUUAUUGUAGUGUCGUAAUUUGUUUUGAGUUUAUUUUAUGUAAUAUUUGUGAAUAUUUCUAUAUCAUUUAUAAAAAAUAACAUAAGAAAAUAUUUGUAAAAGUUACUAAAAAUUAUCAUUUAUAAAAAAUAACAUAAUAAAAUAUUUGUAAGAGUUACUAAAAAAAAUCUUAUAUUCAUUGCAUUGUCUAACAUGAUGAUAACAUGUGUAUUGACAAAAGGAAGAUGUGUCACAUACAAUCACCAUACGAUCAACAUAUUUUUAUUUCUCAUCCACGAUCUUGAGAGUUCUUUUAGUAUUGCUAAAAUAAUUUGAUAUAUUUAUUACUUAAUAUUGAUAUUUUUCAAAAUAUGUAAAUGGAAGUCUUGUGUUAUUCAGGAUUAGUGAGAUUCGGCAGAUGGCUUGUCUUGGCGAGAUUUUAUGUCUUCGAUUUGAGUGGUUUAUGUAAUGUGUUCAAAACUUCUUAUUUUUCGAUAAAUGUAAAAACCAUGAGUUGUCUUGGAUUUUGAUCUAUUUACAAAUAUCUCUCUAUUUUCAAGUAAAAAAUGUUAGCUUUCAGGAAAUGUGUUGAUGUGUAAGGUUCUAAAAAACGCUGAGUGCUAGCAGAGGGUCAGGUUGGGGCUUAGUGGCUAGGUGGGGCAUAUAGGUAAACUUGUUAUAUAUCGUAUAAAUAAGUAUCUAUUAAUAUUUAAAAGAAAUACUUAAUUAUGUUGGGAUUUAUGAACUGCUAAGUAGAAUGACAUAUAGAUCAUAAAGAAUUAGAACAUAUUAAAAACAUGGGGAACAAACAUAUAAUGAGUGUUCAUCCAAAUAUUCAACAAGCCUCUAACAAUUUAAUGAAAAAUUAGAAUGCAAAAUGUAAGCUAUCUAUGUUUUGUUUAAGUGAGAAUUGUGAUAUAGGUGGGUGCCUAAACAUUUCUAGGCGCCAUUUCUUAAUUUUCAAACAUCUGGAAAUUAAUCGGAACGGUGAUCAUCUGGCUAGUGCCUAUACAGCAUUAAGCAAAGAUUUUUAAUUACAACACUAUGUGUACAUAUACAUUUUUUUAUUUCUAUAAAUGAUGAUUCAAUACCAAAUCAUUAUGCUAACUUAUUGUGUAAACUUAAUAUAAAGUUUUAUCAUUUACAAACAAAAUAGAAACCGUAAAACUUAAUAAGAGUGAUAUAUUUAAAAAGGAGUAAUACGAAAUUAAGUAUAAUCAUUGAAAAAUAAGUAAUAAGCAUUGCUCAUUGAGGAUCUUCUAUUUCGGCAGAAAGUGCGUUUAUGUCACAAGUAGGCCAUGUUACACCCACUAAGGUUGGUUGGUUGAUCCAAUGUUUUGUCAACGUAUAUAAACAAAUCAGGACUGCCAAAAUCGGAAGGGUUUGACAGCUCUCGUGCAUUCUUGCCCUCUGAUUUCUGACCAAAUCAAACAGAGAUUACGCGUGUUGACCCAAUUACUAGGUAAUUCUUCUUUUUAUUCUGGCCACCUACAUCUGACGCCUUAUGUGAAGUUUUGUCUAAUGAUGGCAACCUUUUCGUUUAAACUUUUUUCUUCUAUUUUUUUAUUAUUAUAUUUUGUAUAUUGCACGAUGAUUCAAAUUAUUAUUUAAAAAUUAACUCGAUCAAAAUUAUCUAGUUAUCUAACGAUUGUCUAGUAAAUAGAGAAAUCAUGUCGUUUUGUUAAACACUAAAAUUAUGACAACAUUAAUCGAACGGUUAAACAAUUGAUUGGUCUUUCACGAAGUUGAUAUUUAAAGCAUGAAUUAAAAAGUAGACGGUUUCUGAUUAUCGUGCAAGAUUGCAUAAUGUGGUGGAGAACCAAGAAGAUAGAGAUAGAAGGUACGACUUAGAAGGUCAGUAGCAACCCUUAUUCCUUUUUUUUUUUUUUAACCUUGUUAGAAAAACUAGAAACAUAAAAAGGCUAAAUGAGUAAUAUACAUUUAUUUUUAUUACAAACGAUAUUCUACACUAAAAUAACGGAGAAAGAUUUGAACUUAGGCCACAAUGAAUUGAAAAUAAAGAUCCCUAACUAUUAAGACAAUUCACUAUUUACCAUGCAUCAACAUUUAUUUUAAUUUGUCACAAGUUGUUUACAAAUUGAGGGGCUUUGGAUACUUGUCUCUCUAUGCGCCAAGGAGCAUUGCACUUUAGCACCUCACAACAAAUCUACAUAGGGCUUUGGAUACUUACCAUCACGUGCCAUGUGCAUUGAAGAGUUGGAGGUUUAGCUCCAGCGAACUGCUAGGUCUCCUCUGACGUGAAAUUUUAACUCCGCCAGGAUUUGUCUUUUAAGAAGUACAAUGCUAGCUCCAAUUGAAGUGAGGUAGCUUUUCAUGAAAUCCAAAUUGAAAGACAAAGUGCAAUAGUGCAUGUCGCGCCACUUCGAACCCAAAUUAUUGUCUAUUAGGGCUUUUAUUUAUACAUACUCUCAAACAAGGUGAAUGGAAAUAGGGACCAAGGUGAUCUCAGGACCAUAUGAGUGAGGAAAAUAUAUAGGUGAAGUCUUUCGAUGACUCUUCAAAUGUUUGAUACGGAUCUCUUUUGUGCCUACUAAAUGUUUGAUAUAAUGCAUGUUAGACAUAUCUCGACAUGUUGCGUCGACAACACUUGACAAAUUUUCUCUAUAUCACUUAUCUGAUUGCUUCGGCAUGUGCUGAUAUCUGUUGAUAUGUUUACAACAAGUCCACCAAGUGAAUAAACUGAUUUAUGUUUUUGUGUGCUUUGCGCUCUGUUUUUAUCUGAAAAACUUGAACUUAACACUAGGACCCCAAGGUUCAAACCCUAGAUCCACCACUGCUCUCAAAUCCUUCGUUUGAGUCGUUAGAAAUGUUACGUAGCACGCAAGUUACUCCAUCCAUACGUAGCUAAUUGAUCUGCCACCAUGUUUGCUUCACAAAUUAUAUACUUGAUGUCGACCACCUGCAGAUUAAUUACAGGUGUUUGAAUAUCCUAAAUCAACGAUAACAGACGCCAAUGAGGGAUUUUACGAUCUUGGAGAAACAUCAAAAUUUUCGGGCUUAAGAGCAGGAUGAAACUCAAAGGAAGAACAGAUCCAUCAAAAUUGAAACAAUCUAAAGUCUUUACUUAUCAUUAUGAGAAACGCUAAGGGGACUCUCUCAAAAUGAGACUCUGCAUGGACUAUCUGUCACCUCAUACUUUUGGCACAAUAUUUUACAAUGUUGGCACGAAAUAAACGUUAAACUGUGAGCUGGUAGAGAUCCAUGGAGAGUUUCGCUUUUUAGAGAGAGUCCCCUUAGUAUUUCUUUGUCAUUAAAUCAUUAAAUUUGUUCUGGAUUUAUUAGUCUUUUUAUAAGACUUGGAGAAUAAAAAGAGGAGUGGAACUCAAUGAUUUAAUUUAAUUAGUUGUAAAACAAGAGUCUGAAGAGCUAGACAUUGCUGAGACAAAAUGCUUCCCCAGUUUUAUGGUGAAAUUAUUUUAAGGUAACUUUACUAGCACUCAUGUGUCUCUUGUUUUUCCAGAAACUACGUACUACGUCUCGUGCAUACAUACAUAUGUUUUGAAUCUUAAUGUUGGAAGUAACAUUACCAACAUUCCUCUUACUCGGGAAGCUUUUCCUUAUUUUGUGUUAACCAUGGCUUUUAUGCUUCCCUCCAAGUCACAUGCGUUGAAUGAAAUUGACAUGCACCUAUGUAAGCUAAAUAUUUGGGAUAGACAAUACACAAAAUCAUCUAAGCAGGAACAAAUAGAAUUAAUAUGAAGAGAAAGCGGACAUGGAUAAAGACAAACAGAUUGACUGUGAGUUUUACGGGUUUUAUUGUAUGAAAAAAUGUUUGCACCGUCAGAUUUAAAUGUAAUGUGUCUUAAACUUCAUGUUUGAGCCUAUGGUGUAACAAAAACACAUAUUUGCAUAGCAAACCCGGCUACAUCAUUGUUAUUGAACAUAUGGUGUAACAGAAAGCAGAAGAAAUCAAUCUGAACAUAUGAAGACAAUUAACAAUGUUGUUCUACAAAAAAGAAAUUAAGAGAAAGCAUUCAAUAGUGAGGGCAUAACUAAAAUUUAAUAGCAUCCCACGUUGCCUCAUAGUCGAUCAAACUUCUCUAAUUCGCCAAGAAGUAAACAUAAUCCUGAAUCUUGAGAAAACCAAAUUCAAUUAAAUAACAAUUAAUAAGCAGCAACAAUGGAUUGUUUUAAUCAAAAUAUUAACUUGAUUAAACAACCAAGUCAUCUCAUUUUUGCCUCACAAACAUAAGUUGAUGAAGUUAGCAAGAGGGUACAAUUUGUUAAGCUUAAUAGCCUUUAUGCACAUAAAAUACCUUUUCCAAAACACCUAAAUAGAUAUAUUUUUAAAAUGAAUAACUUCAAUGCUUUAAGCCACAUGAAGCUUGUAGAACAAAGUUAACAUGAAAAAUGAAUAAAAUGACAUGCAUAUCUAUAAACAGCAGGAAAAAAAGGAAAUCAUCAACACUAAAUUCCUCAACUUAACUAUCUCGAGAGUUAUUGGACUGAAAUGAUGCCAACCACAUGAUAGAGAAACAAAUAAAAACGUGUAAAUUCAUAAAUCAAGGUUUUAACUCAAUCAAAUAUUAUUCCAAUGAAAGUUGUAAAAUGCAAAUAAAGCCAUUUAACAACAAACUGUUUCAACCAUUUGACUACCCGCAAUGUAGACAAAGAGACCUGAUACUCAUAGUACAUAACUGCUCUAUUUGUCUCUCUACAUAUGACAAUUAAUAAAAUGGAAAACUGAAGUAUACCUUGGCUAGUUAUUAUUUUGGGUCGCCAUCUCCAAUUGCUCCAAAUAAAAGAGAGGAAGCGUGUGAAGGCAAAAUUGGAGGCUUGUCUUGAGUUCUUGAGUUGGCACUGGCGAUCAUCGACCACGUCUCCUAACUCGUAACGUGCUAAAAUUAUUGAUUCAACAGAGAGUGUUUAACUAAAUCUUAUCUCAUUGGCAACGGCACAUUAUAAUAUCAAGCACAUCUUUUGUGUUUAUAGAUAAUAGAAUUUUACUCUUUUAAGUAGGUACUUUUCAUUUUCAGAACAACAAAAUUAGGAAUUGAACAUAAAUAUGAACAUCAACUAUUAUACAGAAGUUCGAAAUGAAAAUUAAUUAGUCAUGCAAACCUUUUUAAAGCAAUCGCGAUUCUAUCUCUAUUUGAAUACAACACCAUUGAGCUGAGGUUCUCAAUUUUCUUAGCUUGUUGUUGCACCAUCUUCUCUCUUUCAGCUUGGGCUUUUUUUUUCCUCCAACUCCAAAGCCAUACGCUCCCUCUCUAACUCAGUCUGCACAGAAAGUACGCAUGUCCCAUAAUACACUUGCAUUCAACUAAUUACAAUAAAAAUAAAGUGUAACUCCAAACCUGCAAUAACGUGUUUUGCAGAUUGAGGAUUUCCUCUGCCCAACGUUCUGAAUGAUAUAAAAGAGAACUACAAAUUGAAAAACUUGAACUUAAACUGUAUCCUUACAGUUUUAUUUUUCCUUGCUCGAGGCCCAUUCAAAUUGAAAAGAGAACUACACAACCACUAUAAAUACAAAUCUUUAAACUUUCUCCAAAAAUGAAAUCACAGAGAAUUGAAUUUUAAGCGUGAAUCUAAGCCAAACAUACCAAAAUGCCCAUGAUCCGUUACAACACACCACCCUUUGCCAUCAACUUCAGUAGGUCAUCUCUCAAAAACUCCUUAAGCCCUUUUGCAACUGCAUUCAUUUGUCCUUUCCCACUGUUAAGAACUCCAGUGAAUGCUUCCUCCGCCGCCACCGGCAACACCACUUCGUCACCCGAUAACGUCAACUUCAACUGGCAAAAUGUCGGACCAAACCACAUUUUAUGCAAAAAAAUUGAAUCAAAAUUCGAAACUAAAGGUGCAACAUUUGAAGAGUGUGGUGUGGGUGAUUGAGGCAUUUCAACAAACACUUACCUAGAGUACCUGGUGCAACCUCUUUCGGAGGUGCGGCUGCAGGAGAAGGGCUCGUAGCCCUCUGCCAUGACCAGGGCGGCGAUCAAUUCCCGUCGUUGUAGUUUGGUUUCCUGUAAGCCGAUCUAAUAAAAUCAGCAAUUUGAGCCUGUUCACGUUUUACGUCACUAUCUUCAUCUUCUUCAUCUCUCUGGGCAAGUUCGAAUUAAUUCGACAAUUAUCAAGGAAGAAUUCAGAAAUUAAUUGGAUCUUCAUGGCAAUUUCAAGCUAAUUCGACAAUUAUCAAGGAAAAAUUUAAAAAUUAAUUGGCGAUUACCGAUUCCGAGACCAGAUUGGAAAUAAAGGAUGAUGACGCCCAUUGCGGUGCCUUCGCAGCAGCGUCAAGGUCUCUCCAACAUAACUACUAGUUCGAGAAGAUGAUGGGAUUUGGCGACGAUGGAAUGGACUCCGUUUCUUUAGACAACAAUUUGGUUUUUGUAUGGAGGAGUAAGACCCAUAGAGAGAGAGUGGAGGAGGAACGGGAAGAAGUUGGAGCACAAAGAUGGGGAAGUUGGUGUGGGGAAGUUGAAGUGGGACUACUACAACAACUGUUUCAAAUACAGUUUCCAAGUCUCUCUGCAUGUCUAAUUUGUGUCCUCUUUUUUCUCUCCUACCCCACGUUUUUACCAUUUUAUCCCUAUUUUUUAUAUUUUUUGUUUUUCUCAUAACUGUAAAUAAAGGGUCAAUUUUGGAUUUAUGAAUGUUUCACUAUUUUUUCCUUUUGGCUUUAUAUAUAUAGAAGAUAAUGCGAAAAACAUAAGAUGACAAAUAGGUCACGAAGAGUUUCACUUUUGAAAGAGUCUCCUCAACAUUUCUCAUUCAAAAUUGUCCUUAUUAAACUAUUGACAAAAUAAAAAACAGUAAUCAACUUCAUAAUUAAGCAGCGUGUCUUUUAUUAAAGAUGUAACUUCAAUCUAUGAUAUUCAUGUUUGGUAUGAAUAAUUUUGUGCUAUUUAGUGUACUAUCUCUUGUGCAAGUGGUCGUUUACUACAGUGGUAGAAAAAUGUUAAGCCCUUGCAUGAUGAUGUGGGUUCAAACUCUGUCGAUGACUAACAAAAAAAAAAGUGUACUAUCUCUUGUUGUUUAGUAAAGCAAUUACUCAAAGGAAAAAACAAAACUCCUUAUUUGUCAAGCAAAAUAAACGAUUAGCUGGACCUAAAAGAGAUAUGAGCCGAAAAUCCAGCCCAUCUUCUUCUCACCCCCGAAACCAAACCCAACCCACAAAACAACGGCAUGCCGUUCGCGUCUGAUCGGCUUCAUUUCUUAAAAUUCGAAUUCAAAAAACCCCCCAAUUUUCCCACGCUCACAUUCUCUCUUUCCUUUUUCUCUCACUCCUCUGUGCAGCAAUGUCCGCAAACACCACCACCCGCACAACCCCGACCAAAACCCCGUCGGGAAAAUCAUCCCGCUCCCGGAAACAUUCUCACCCCGAUUCCACCGCCGAGAGCGAAAUGUCGUCUUCGUCGUUGGCCUCCCUCGCCAACUCCAAGUCCCGAUUCGAGGCCUACAAUCGCCUCCAGGCGGCCACGGUGGCAUUCGGAGAGAAACUCCCGAUUCCAGAGAUCGUUGCCCUCGGCGGACAGUCGGACGGCAAGAGCUCUCUCCUCGAAGCACUCCUCGGGUUUCGCUUCAAUGUCCGGGAAGUCGAGAUGGGCACUCGCCGUCCUCUCAUUCUCCAAAUGGUCCACGACCCCACCGCACUCGAGCCCCGCUGCCGAUUCCAGGUCUGCCUUCUUUCGUAUGCCAUUCGUAGCUCCUUCAUUGUUUUGCAUUUUGUUGAUCUAGUUAGUUCAUGAUGAUUUUAGGGUUUUUUAGUCGAUUCUGUUUGGUUGCUGAGGAUUCUUGGGAAAAUUGACGAUAGUUUGAGCUUUAAAUGUACUUGUUUUCUGCGGAUUCUUAAUGUUUUCGACAUUUCGAAGCAUAUGGGAAUAAAAAAAGCACAUUUGGAAUUGUGUGUAAUGAGCUAUAUUCUGUUUCUGAGAAAUUGGGGGAAAUAAACGGCCAUGAAGAUUUGAGUUUUAUUAGUCUUUGUCAUAUGCAGAAAUGUGGAAUACUAACGCAAUUACGAUCAAUGCAGAAAACUUGUUAUAAAUGGUGUACUGAUCGAGUUUUUGGCACAAAGGUUGGGUAGGAUGGUUUCUGAAAUGUUGUUUUCCUUUUUGAUAUUUUUUUUUUGGGUUUAAAGCAAAUCGAAAAACUGAUAGAAAUGAAAAACGGAAAGAAAAAAGGGUUUCCAUUUAUCUGGUGUUGGUUCCAAAGGAAAGCGGUAACUCUACUCAGUCAUUUACUACACAACAUUCGACAUAACUAAAGUUUCAUACUGUUGAAAUCUAAACUUUCAAGCCUGACUAUGUAGGUGAUGUUCUUGCAAUUUUUUUUAAUGCCCUUGGACUUCCUCCAAUAAUUUCAGUUGUGUGAUAUAUGAUGGUUUAAUUACACAAUGUAUUAAUCAUUAGAGUAUUGUAAACAGGAAGAGGAUACUGAAGAAUAUGGAAGCCCAGUCGUUUUGCCAUCGGCCAUUGCAGACAUCAUUAAGUCCCGCACUGAGACACUGUUGAAGAAAACUAAAGGUGCAGUUUCUUCAAAGCCAAUUGUCAUGAGAGCAGAAUACGCACACUGCCCGAACCUCACCAUUAUAGAUACUCCGGGCUUUGUUCUUAAGGUGGGUUUUACGAUUCAAGUACUGCAACAUAUGUGUGUUUAUUUUGAUUUGUGUUAAUGGUUUGAAUUUUGCUGGUAGGCAAAGAAAGGAGAACCUGAAAGAACUCCUGAUGAAAUUCUUUCCAUGGUGAAGUCACUGGCUAGUCCUCCACAUCGUAUACUCUUGUUUCUCCAACAAAGUAGUGUGGAGUGGUGCUCCUCGUUGUGGUUGGACGCCAUUCGGGAUAUUGAUCCGACCUUUCGAAGGACGAUUAUCGUGGUCUCGAAGUUUGAUAAUCGGUUAAAGGUAUGUAGUUGUUUAAAUCUUCAUUAGCCCAUUUAUGGCAUGGUAAAUAAUGUUACUGAGAACUGAAAUAUAUGAAUAGCUCACUAAGUAUUCAUGGCAUGGUGCAGUGUAAAUUGGCUCUGUACUUCUGUUGAUAUGCUGUCUGAUAUGUUAAUUUUGGAUUUAUGAAUGUAAUAUAUGCAGGAGUUUAGUGACCGGUGGGAGGUGGACCGCUAUUUGAGUGCAAGUGGUUAUCUUGGCGAUAACACUCAUCCAUUUUUUGUUGCACUGCCAAAGGAUAGGAAUACUAUUUCAAAUGAUGAAUUUCGCCGGCAGAUAGCUCAAGUAGAUUGUGAAGUUUUACGACACCUUCGUGAGGGUGUUAAGGGAGGCUUUGAUGAAGAGAAGUUCAGACCAUAUAUUGGAUUUAGCUGUUUGAGAGACUAUUUAGAAUCCGAGCUUCAGAAAAGGUACAAAGAAGCCGCACCAGCAACUCUUGCUUUGCUUGAGCAGCGCUGCAGUGAUGUCACCUGUGAACUAGCCAAAGUGGACUCAAAAAUACAGGCCACCUCUGAUGUUGCUCAGCUCAGGAGAUCUGCAAUGUUGUAUGCAGCUUCUAUAAGCAAUCAUGUGGUAAGUAAUAACUAAUAUCUGUGACAUGUUUUCAAAAAUAUAAUACAAAGUAUAAGUUUUACUUGAAUUUAAGUUUAACUUUCCAUAGUAUUUCCUGAAGUUCUCAACGCUUAUUAUAUGCGUGUCUUUUCUAUUUUUUCCAAUCAUCCUCCAUUGCUGCUCCAUUAAUGCGAAUGCCACAAGUAGUCAGGAAAAAACUUAGUCUGCAAACCAAAAAAGCACUCGUCAGAGAAAAAUUUAAUUGUUGAUUCUCAUUCUAUUUACAAGUAAUUUGUCAGCGUAUUUCAUCAUCUUUUGUUCAUAUGCUACAAUAAAAUCUUCUCUUUUCGAGGUUCUGAUUAAUUUUGAGUUUGAGAGGUAUAGCUUGACUGUAUUCCCUCUUAUUGGUAAAUUUCGAAGGCUACUUUGAUUGAUGGAGCAGCAGACCCUGCCCCUGAGCAAUGGGGGAAAACAACUAUGGAGGAGCAAUCGGAAAGUGGUAUUGGGGGAUGGCCUGGCAUCACAGCAGAUAUAAUGCCUCCCAAUGCUACCCUUCGACUUUAUGGAGGAGCUGCAUUUGAAAGGGUUAUGCAUGAAUUUCACUGUGCGGCAUAUUCAAUUGAAUGUCCUCCAGUGUCUAGGGAGAAGGUAAUACAUAUUCUGCUAGAUCAAUAUAGCUAGGAAUUUUUUAUAAUUUGUACAGAGGCGAGUUCUAAGACUUCUUCUAACAGGUGGCAAAUAUCCUACUUGCCCAUGCUAGCCGAGGAGGGGGUAGAGCAGUGAUGGAUGCAGCUGCAGAGAUUGCACGUUCUGCUGCACGCUCAUGGCUUGCUCCUCUUCUUGACUCUGCAUGCGAUCGGCUUGCAUUUGUUUUGGGAAAUCUUUUUGAUCUUGCCAUAGAACGAACUCACAACCGUGAUUCAGAAUGUAAAAUGCUGUCUUCCUUGCACUUUCAUUUUUCCAGAUCAAAUGUUUUACAUGAAAUGUGCAUUAACAGAUGAGGGAAUGAGUAGAAUGUGGAACUUUGAGAAAUUUCAUGCUCCUUGGAUUUGAAUAUUCACUGUAUCUUUGGCUUCCUGCAUUAACACCUAUUACAUAAAUGCUUCUCUUUUAUAUUUUCCCCUGAUUUCUUUUUGUUGAGUUCUCCAACCUAGGAUUCAAAUACGAACGUUAAUAUUUAUGGGACUCAUAGUACUCAGUUCUGGUAUUAAAACCUUGGGCUACUUGUUUACUGUGUAGGUGGGAGGAAAUCUGGAAAUAUGGAUGGAUAUAUUGGUUUCCAUGCUGCUCUUAGGCAGGCACACAACCGAUUUAUAAAGGAGCUUGCUAAACAGUGCAAGCAACUAGUUCGGCACCACCUCGAUUCAGUUACAAGUCCAUACUCUUUGGUUUGUUAUGGCAAUGACUUUCAAAGCGGUUUUGGCUCCAGUACAGCCUCUUCUUAUAACUUUAACCAGCCUUCAGUCACAUCAUUUUUACUUGAGUUAUCUGAUGCCACGAUGAAAGAUCAGGAGAAUAUACCUCCAGAAAAGAAUGCACAACAAACUACUCCUGGAAAAGGUACAGAUGCCAGAGAUGCUCUUCGAGAAAGCCAAAUGACGGUGCCUGAGACCCCAUCACCUGAUCAGCCAUGUGAUGGUGGCUUGAAGAAGGAUCUUGGGAAUGGCAUUGACAUAGGAGCAAGAAAGCGGAUUUCAAGAAUGCCUGGAAAUAACAGAAAUUCUGACAAUACAAGAACACAACAAAAUGGUGGUUCCCUUUUGUUUGGAAAUGUUGAUGGCACUUUAAAAUCAACCACAGCUUAUACAGAAAUCUGUUCAUCAGCUGCACAGCAUUUCGGGCGGAUACGUGAAGUUCUUGUGGAGAGAAAUGUGGCAUCAGCUUUGAAUUCUGGUUUCCUAACACCUUGGUGAGUUUCCUUAACUAUAUUUUGAUUGAACACACAGGUUGCUGAUCUUACCAAAGACCUUGCUUCACUAUUUUAGUAGUUAGUCUACUUCUGCAACUCAAAACUUUCAAGACAGCGAGAUUUUUCGUGAAAUUGGAACAUUUCGAAAUAUACGCGUCAUUUCGUUUUUCAUGUCUUUGUUUUCCUCCUGUCUGUCUUUCGUACUUCUUUCAUACGUAUUUUUAACUUUCCUACUGAACCCUGCAAAAUGCCCUCAAAUACUUAAUGCUUCAGAACCCUGCUACAAAUAAAACAAAUUCGUCGUUCUUUAAAUUCUAUUGUUUUAUUCCACAUAAUUUGGCUUGGAUAUAAAUCAUACUAAUAUGUAUAUUUUCAUGGAAAUCAUUCCUUGGCAGACUUAUGACAGUUAUGGUAACAUUGUUAUAUAUUUUCCUGUUUUAUGCAGUCGGGAUCGGCUUGUUCUGGCUAUUGGUUUGGAUUUGUUCGCUGUGAGCGAUGAGAAGUUCAUGGACAUGUUUGUCGUACCUGGCGCAAUUGAUGUACUGCAGAAUGAGCGACAAUCGCUUCAGAAGCGUCAAAAGACACUCCAGUCUUGUUUGAACGAGUUUAAAACUCUUGCUCGCGCACUUUAAUGGUAGAAAUAGUUUUAUAGGGGUUGUAUCCCAAGGUUUACUGCCAGUGAACAAUUGAAAAUUUCACUCCGAGGCUAAAAUUUGUUGUUGCUAAUCAUUGAAUGCCUCAUCGGCUGUGUUGUCUGUAACGCCAUUUUUUCUCAUUUGGCUUUCAUUUUUGUGUAUGUCACUCUGCACUUUUAAUAUUGAUUGAGCGAAGAAUUCAUUCUGCAGUUUCAUAUUAUUUAGUGUUCUGCAAAGUGUAAAGGACCGCGUAAUUCGGAGCAUCAAUUUAAAAGCAUAAAAGAACUGAAAUUGAACAGAAUGGGCGGAACUGAGACAUCGAUCUACAAUACGACUGAGUCAUGGAACGAUUCAAUUGGACUGUUGUUUUCUUAAAGGGACAUUGUCAAGAGCAAGGAAGAAAUUAAAGGGACAUUGUCAAGAGCAAGGAAGAAAAAAUCGAUAAUAUCGGCGAUAUUUCGCCAAUAUUAUCGUUUUUUUGAAGAUUUGAAAGUAUAUAUUGGUUGGCCUUUGGGCUAUGAUCAAGUGUAGUAUGCGUUGGGAUUUCUCAACAUUUUUAAGUAUUUUUGAAUAUUAUAUUUCGAUAUUAUCGAUAAUUUUGAAAAUAUCACAAUAUUAUCGAUAAUAUCACGAUAUUUUCAAAAUUAUCAAUAAUAUCGAAAUAUAAUAUUCAAAAAUACUUAAAAAUGUUGAGAAAUCCCAACACAUACUACACUUGAUCAUAGCUCAAAGGCCAACCAAUAUAUACUUUUCUGAGCUUGGGAAUGUGGAUUUUAAAGGCCUUCUUGCUUGCUCACUGCCCUCGCAUGGGCGAUGUGGGACUCGACCAAGGAAGAAAAUAGGAAUUUCGGCCGGAAAUCCACACCCACUUUAAACGGCCAUAACUUUGUCAAAACUCAACAAAAGCAAGCAAGACAAAAACGAAAGUUGUAGCCCUCGAAGAGACGAAGAGAAUGGUACCUACACGACGUCUGAAUCGUCGUGGUUUGGCCGGAAAAUGCCUCGAAAGUCAUUGAGGUCGCCGGAAACUGGGUAAGAUUCAAAUAAGUAUAACUUUUUCAAUACUCAACGAAAUUGAGUGAAACAAAAAGGAAAGUUGUACUACUCGACGAGACGAAGAGAUUGAUACCUAGCACGCCAGACAACUCGCCGUGGUUUGGUCGGAAAACCAGUGUCAAAUUCGGCACAUUAUUCUUUAUCAUUUUAUUCACUUCCCUUUUCUUUUUUUUAAUAUCCUAAAUAAAACCUCCCAAUAUUGUACUAAUUAAUUAUAUAUAAAUGAUUAUGGUGUGUUUAAACUUCUUUCAUUAAUUACUACAUAUUUUCUACUUACAAUGUUUGCCAGCUCGCUAUAUAAUCAACUUAAAUCAGUUAAAUCCAUCAUGCAAUGCAUUUCCUUCCAAUUUUUUGUGAUAAACUAAUAGAUAAUUGACUAAAUAAACAUCCUGCAAAGUUUCAUUAAAAAUUUCCAAGUUUUUCUUACAAUUUCCAUGGUUUCCAUGUAAUUUUUAUCGAUAUCGAUAUUAUCCCGAUAUUUCCAUCGAUAUUUCCGUGUUUUCGGACUACCGAUAUUUCCGAUAUUACCGAUAUUUUCUUCCUUGGUGAAGAGUAGGCUUGACAUUUUGGACCUAACCUGUUAACCCGACCCGACUCAACCCGUUAAUAUUUGUAUUUGAGUGGAUGCUUAACGGGUCGGGUCGUUAACGGGUGAACCCGUUAACAACCCGUUAAAUAACGGAUCACUUUGGGUCAACCCGUUAGACCCGUUAGGACCCGUUAACACCCGUUAGUUGAGAAUAUUUUAGUAAUUUUAGUAAAGUCUUAAUAACAAAAAAUAAACUUUAUGCAAAAAAAAAAAAAAAAAUAAUUGUUAACGGGUGAAACGGGUGACCCGUUAGUUUAACGGGUCGGGUUCAAGUGACCCGUUAACUUAACGGAUCGAGUUCAACCCGAUCUAAACCUAAUAAACCUGACCUGUUUACAGGUCUAGUCGAGAUAUACUGCUGCACCAAUUCCAGGGUUUUGCCAAGCCGCAGUGGCUUGAAUCUCCUAGCAUGACAGUGUUAUUAAUUUAUCAUUUGCGAUCCAAGUUUGGUGCACAAACUAAAAGCAUAUAUGCAACAAACGUGUGUAAAAACCCUUUAAUUUUUUUAUAACGAUGAUGAUGACGGUGUCAUGCUCACCUCUACCUCCUCUUUCGCCAACUGAACCUGGAUCUGACAGUCCACCGUAUUCGUGCGUGUAGCUGGCCUCCACCGAAACUUCGAUAUCCUACCUUUCAUGACAAAUGGAAUCCUGGUUUCAAAGGUGAUCUUGGCGCCCGCCUUAAUCGACAAGCUUCGUGGAGAAUUUGUGUGCGAAGCUGAUGGUUAUGGCGACGGGAUCAUCUUUGCUAGUUUUGUUUGUGGCAGUUUGGCUGAGCACUGUGAGCGGAGUCCCGCAUCAUCGAAGGGAAAUCAACGGAAACGGUCCUCUUCAGAACGGGCUCUUCGACAAGCAAAUAUGUUUCUUUAGUCAUGCUCGGUUUGAUGGCUGUUAAAAGUAAGCUAAAAUCCCCACCUUUACCACCUGUCCAAUCCAUUAGGUGUGAGAUUUUAUAACAAAAAACAUCGAUAUUAGUUAGAGUAAAGUAAUUAUAUUUAAAUCCAUUGGGUUUCUUUGAACCCACCAAUGUGGGACAUUUAACAGUGUUGUCGGUAUUGCUGUCAUGCCUGCAAAACUUGUUGUACAAGCUCCGGAGAGCGAUGGUCUUACUGUCCACCGUAACUACCUGAUACCUUUGAAGCAACUUGUCGUCUUUCUCUUCGAAUUCAACGAUAGUCGAGCCCGGAACGUCACUAUCAUCGUAAGCCAAUAGGUUUUUCUCCGGUGGAUCUGUUCUUUAUGCAAACUACGGUACCAUUAGCGUUAUCCGGAAUGAUUUUUUGGGCUACCGAAGCAACUCCGAUGUCACCGCAUGAGAGCUGCGGUAUAAUCAAAGACUCCUAGUUGGUUACUGUGAAGGCGUCUGCCGAGUUUGGGUCUGGCUAGACUUGGUAUUUUAGAUCCGAUCCGGCUUGACCCGUUAAUAUUAAUAUUUAAAUGUAUGCUUAACGGGUGAACCUAUUAAAUAACAGAUCAUUUUGAAUCAACCGUUAGCAUCCGUUAUAAAUUAUAACCACACCUUAUCGGCAAGGGCCUUCUUAUCGCCCAAGCUCUCCGACCAGACCCUCCUCCGCUCCCUCCACCAUCUCUCCCAAGAAAUCUCCCCCGCUCCAUGAUCCGCAGGUCAACCCUCCUCUCCAUCCUCUUCGAAGACAUCAUCCGUAGCUCCAUUCAAGGCUUGAAUGGAUUCUUGUAUUGUUUGGUACUGCAGACGGGGUACGAGCUCGCUGUUCUUUCGUUCAACUUACACAAUGAGGUUUUCCAUGUGAUGCGUCUGCCAGGAGAAUUGCAGGAUUUCAAGCACCUUGUACCAUUAUUCUCAUGGAAUAAUUCAGUUGCAAUUAUAACAACUACAUCUUCAUUAGAUGAUGAAUAUUACGACCAAGUGCUUUGGGUGAUGAGUAGUAGCACUACUACUGCGACGACAAAGCCAACUUGGGUUCGACAAUUGAUAAGCAGAUCCAAAGCAUUUGCGGCAGGAGCGACCGAUAUUUUCGCGUAAUUAGGGAUUCGUGACACUUCAAAUUGCAGAGAGGAGCUCGAGAGUCUCCGGGAAGAGUUCCAGAACCAGAGAAAUCCAAGUCGCAGCUCCUUGUCUGUUUACUAUAUAUCCAAGUCAGUACCUUUUUCACUGUCAGCACCCUUUUAUACAUCCUUGCAGUUUUGUAAUUGUAUUGAAAAAAAAAAAAUGUUAACAGGUGACCCGAUAGAUUAACGGGUCGGGUUCGGAUGAUCUGUUAACUUAACGGGUCGAGUUUGGGUGACCCGUUAGCUUAAUAGGUAUGAUUGAACCCGACCCAAACCCGAUAAACCCGACCCGUUUACAGGUCUAGGUUUGGCGUUUCGCUGUUUGUCAUGCAUGCAUGCAUUGUAGUCGGGUUGUAAUGGACCUCUACGUAGUCAUCAUUCACACGAUGUACCUAUUAAAAUCAUUUGUAACUCAUUUAUUUGUGAGCAUUCACAUUUGCACUACAUAUUUCGAGUUUGAUUUUUCACUCCCACGAUAUCAAUUGAAAUAAAAUAAAAAUUCAUUAGUACAAAAAAAGAGUUCAUUUUCACACACCUUUUUUUAUUAGGAAAACUAAUGAAAGGGCUUGAAAACUUUGAGUUUUAAUGAUAAGGACAAAAUAAAGGGUAAAGUGAAUAGUAACAUGAUUGACUUUUUAGUGUAAAAAUGUGGUUUUUCAUUAAAGUGAACAGUACCGGGUGCUUUUCGUUAAAGUUCCCUUUUUUAUUUUUAUCAAUCAAAUUAGUUAAAUCAAAUACAAUCAACGAUCAUAAUUAAACAUGUGUGUUUAUCAUUUCCGUCAAGAAAAUGAUUAUCAAAAUGGUUAUAAAAGGGAUGUAAAGAAAGCGAUUCCUGGUUUAGGUGAAUUUAGAGUUGACAGGAUGUGCAGUUGAAAACUCGAAGGAUCAUUUCUCGCUCACCGGCUCAAUUGGAUUCACUUGGGCAAUGAUAAGAGAACGGAUUGGACUAAUCCCACACAUUUUUUGUUUUAAAUAAGAGCUAAACCUGAUAAUGAGUCUUUGGCGAGAAUCGAACUUAAGGUUUUUCUCUUACAAGUGAAGAGAAAUAUCACUAUACCAUAGUACUAAGAGACAAUUCAAAAGCCUAAUAUUAUGUUUUAAGCUCAUAUUAGAGAUUGAAUUGCCAUAGCUCGUAUAAGAGCUGGCAAUUCCUUGCACGACCAUUUAAUCUGAUACGAAAUGACACGAAAACAACAUGAAUCAAGAAACACGUUAACUAAUCGAGUCGUUAUUGAAUUCGUUAAGAGCUAGUUAAUAACGAGUUCUUAACAGGUCUACCUGCGAGUAACCUUUUUCAACCCAUUAAGAAAAAUGUUAGUUUGGUAAUUUUAAACUACUAAAAAAACCUUACUUAGUCAAGUGAGAUUAAAUCUUUAUUGUUGGAUUCUAUAUCAUACCUCUCCAAGGCCAUAGUCCAAAGGCUCCCAGUCCUAACUUUCUUUGUAUUCUCUCUGUCUCGACUCUCGACGCUCAAUCUCUCUCUACCAUCGCCAUCUCUCCGUCUCCAUCCAAGCCACUACCACAAGCACAGACGUAUCUAAUCUCGUUGCCCAAACCACCACUACAAGAUAUCACCGCACCAGUGAUGAAUCACGACCACCACCGACUCCGCCCAUAGCCCAACUGCAAGGUUGUAAAUCGAGAUACAAAUUCCCAGCUGACAAAUGAUAUUUGACCACCAAUCUCUCCCCACCAUCUUAGAUCUCCACCGCCACCACCAUCGAAAGCUUCCAUUGGAAAAUCCGAAGUUCUAUACUACUUGGCUCAAGCCGUAUGUUUUCCAUGAAGUCAUGUACUCCAUUAUUAUUAUUAACAUGAUUUUGAUAUUAUAGAGAAUUUUUAUUAUUUUAUAUCGUAUUGGGAGAUCUUGUCAAUUUCACCAAAUAAAUUUGAGGUUUCCUCGUGAUCGUGCUCUACGGUUGGUUGUGAAUAACUCCCAUCAUUUUGUUGUUUUUCGUCACGAUAAUUGUGCAAGAUAGUUGUGGAAUGUAAAGUAGCCAGUGCAAUUGUUGGACCAGCCACUCAUAUCCAGUGGCGAAGCCAGGAAUUUUCGAUGGGAGGGGCGAAAUUUAAAAGCAUAAUAGAUUAAAAAAAAAAAAAGGAGACAAUCAAAUUAUUCUUUUAGAUAAUAGAUAAUAUUAAUGUCGUUAAUAAUUUAUCAAUACAAACAACUUGCAAUUGUUGCUGGCAAUGCUUCAUGUCCUGAAACGGUCGCAUAAUAAACUCAUUAUCAAUAAAAACAUCUCAAUAUAUAAAUCAAACUAUCACACAAUUGUUGUACAUCUAUUGCAAUAUAAACAUCUCUCAAUAAAAGCAAAAACAUCUCUCACAUAAUAAGAACACUAAUAUCAUUUUCCUCACAAAAGUUUUGUAUAUCUGAAUCAAGUUCUCAAAAUCAUCAUUUCUCAAGAAUUAAAGAACAAAAUAUAAAAUAAUUUUGAAUACUAGAAAUAAUAACAAGAAUAGAGAAAGAACAAUAACAAACAUCAAUCAUUUGUAUUAUAAUUUUAAAUACUAGAAGUAAUAACAAGGAUUGAAAAAGAACAAUAACAAACAUCAACCUUUUGUAUUUCUAUAGUCUAAACAAAUGAGAGAGAGGGAAGAGAAUUAAAAUGGUGCGCUGGUAGUGCGUUUCUAAAAGAAGACCACAUCAAUAAAAUUAAAACUCAGCAGUGUAGCGCUUCCAAAUUUCAGCAGGUUCAGAAGAUCGGAGUGGUCGAAUUCUCGCUUUCAUUGCGAUUUCCGACGACCGGAGGGGGGCGGUCGCCCCUCCUUGCCCCUAUGUAGCUUCGCCAAUGCUCAUAUCCCAAAACUUUUGAGCAAGUGUUUCUCGCCCGUUGGAAAUUAUCUGUUACAUAACAGCAUAUGUACCACAUCAAUUCCAUCACAGGAAUCAACAGCUCGUGGUGGAAACUAUUCAAUUAUCACGGUUAAAUGUAGCUCGUGGUAGAUAACAUUAAUUCACCACAGUCAGAUUCUGAUCCGUUGUUAAAAGUGAAUAAUCUACAACGGUUUUUAAUCCCGUGAUGGAAUAUCAAAAGCACCACACAAUAUGCUCGUUGUGGUUACUUCAAAUGACCACGCCACCUUUUGAAAAUUCACCACGCCAUCGGCUUGUGGUGGAUUUUUUUUUUAAAUAUUUUGGACGAUAUAUUAAAAUCUAAAAUCCCAAUUAUUUCCCCUCGUGUGAAAUUGUGAAACUAGACAAAAACCCUAAAAAGAAAACGUCAAUCCUUUUGUUUCUCCAUCUCUUCCGUCUCCAGCCGGUCUCGGUUUGGUCGUCUCUCCGGUCAUCUCUCCCUCAAUUAUUGGCAACCUCUCUACAUCACUUAGGUUUCUUUUAUCCUAUAUCUUUUGAUUUCGUUUUCUUGUUCUGAAUAAGCAUUUAAAUUAUCUCAUCGAACUUGGAGAUGUGUAUGCAUUCUUGAGGCCUGCUAAUGUUAAGAAAUAAGCUGAUUGGGACAAAUUUGUUAAACAUCGAUGCUCUCCUGAGUUUGCUGUAAGCUUGUUUGUAUUAAAUUUUACAUUUGUUGAUGCACAAAAUUAGUGAGGAUUUUGGUACAACAGAAAGUGUUAAGUUUGUGACCUUCGCUAGAUUGCUUCGAUCACUAGCGUGGAUAAGUAUGUAAAUGGAUAGAGACAGGGAAGCAAACACAAGAUGUACGUGGUUCACCCAGAUUGGCUACGUCCACGGAGUAAAGGAGUUCUCAUUAAUUGUGAAGGAUUUACACAAGUACAUAGGUUCAAGCUCUCAUUUUGUGAGUACUAGUGAAUGAUUUAGUACAAAUGACAUUAGCAAAUAUUGUGAGAGAAUGAUCUCUAUUUAUAGAAGAGAGUUUCUAGUUUCAUUCUGACAUUGACACGUGUCGUGUUGUGAUUGGCUUCUGAUGUUGACACGUGUCGCGCUAUGAUUGGCUUCUGAUGUCGACACGUGUUGUGCUGUGAUUGUCCUCCUGGUUGGAGGGAAACUCUUCUGGGUCUUUGAUGAUAUAACGUUCACUGGUGCUCAGUAGUUUCGGGAUUGGUCAAGUAUGGUACAAACAGUGUUCCCCUAAGUUCCUGAGUAAGGGAAGCUCCUCGGUUGGGGACUUGCAAGAUCCAAGCCAUUGAGUAAUCACGAAACUUUGAGGUUGAAACUUUGUUGGGUACCAUGAAUUGAUUUUGCUUCACACUAUCUUGAUUAAGAUAGUGUGAAGCUUUUGUAGGUGAAGCUUUGUAGGUGAAGCUUUUGUGAGUAAAGCUUUUGUGGUGGGGGAAGCUUUUGUGGAUGAAGCUUUUGUUGGUGAAGCUUUUAUGGGUGAAGCUAUUGUGGGUGAAGCUUUUGUAGGUGAAGCUUUGGAGUUGAAGCUUUUGUUGGGUAUCAUGAAUUGAUUUUACUUCACACUAUCUUGAUCAAGAUAGUGUGAAACUUUUGAGAAUUUGUAGUUGUCCUCCAUUGAUGAAGUUUUUGUUGGUAAAGCUUUUGUGGUGAAGCUUUGUUGGGUACCACAAAUUGAUUUUGCUUCACACUAUCUUGAUCAAGAUAGUGUGAAGCUUUUGUGAAUUUGUAGUUAUCCUCCAUUGAUGAAGCUUUGUUGAAUUUCCCUUUUUUUUUUUUUUUUUUGGGAAACUAGAAAUUUGAAAAUGUGGGAGAGACAACAUAUACAUUUGCUUCCACACUGUUGAGCAAGAGAUUUUGAUGCAAGCCACACCUUGUAGUAGUCGAAGGUUUGGAUGAAUCAUAUAAAUUGAAUUUGCUUCGAAGGUUUGAGAAUUGUAGUUGCCAUCCAUUGAUGAAGCUUUUGUUGGCACCAUAAAUUGGUUUUGCUUCACACUGUCUUGAUCAAGAGUGUGUGAAGCUUUUGAGAAUUAUGGUUGCCCUCCCCUCCAUUGAUGAAGCUCUUGUUGGCACCAUAAAUUGGUUUUGCUUCAUACUGUCUUGAUCAAGAGUGUGUGAAACUUUUGAGAACUGUGGUUGCCCUCCAUUGAUGAAGCUCUUGUUAGCACCAUAAAUUGGUUUUGCUUCACAUUGUCUUGAUCAAGAGUGUGUGAAGCUUUUGAGAAUUGUGGUUGAACUCCUUUGAUGAAGUUUUUGUUAGCACUAUAAAUUGGUUUUGCUUCACACUGUCUUGAUCAAAAGUGUGUGAAGCUUUUGAGAAUUAUGGUUGCCCUCCAUUGGUGAAGCUCUUGUUGGCACCAUAAAUUGGUUUUGCUUCACACUGUUUUGAUCAAGAGUGUGUGAAGCUUUUGAGAAUUGUGGUUGCCCUCCAUUGAUGAAGCUUUUGUUAGCACUAUAAAUUGGUUUUGCUUCACAUUGUCUUGAUCAAGAGUGUGUGAAGCUUUUGAGAAUUGUGAUUGAACUCCUUUGAUGAAGCUCUUGUUGGCACCAUAAAUUGGUUUUGCUUCACACUGUCUUGAUCAAGGGUGUGUGAAGCUUUCUACGAGUUGUAAUGUUUGCAUUGUUACAGAUGGGAAAUGUUUGAAGCAGAUGCAAGAGGGCUGAAUAGCUUGAUCUUUGUAUGGCAUGCACUGAAGUUGUUGUUGGCUUGCAAUAAGACUUUGUUGGUGACUAUAACUCUUGUUGGGCAUAAGUGCUCCCCUAGUUGAGUUGUCAAGCUUGAGGGUUUUUUAUUAUUUGUGAAUGCUAGGAGUUCAUAUGUACAAGUUGUACCACUCGUCUUCUGGUAUGUGGAAUGAAUGGUAAGUUGCUUUCAUCACUUGAUUGGUGGUACGAAGGUGAGUUCCUUCAUCACAUUUCAUCACAUGGUUGGUGGCACGAGGAAAAGUUCCUUCUUCACCUGGUUGGUGACAUGAGUGGCAAGUUGCCAAAUGAUAUUGGAGAGUACGGGUUGUACAUUUCAUCACUUGGUUGGUGACAUGAAUGGAAAGUUGCCAAAUGAUAUUAGAGUACGGGUUGUACUUUUUAUCACCUGGUUGGUGGCAUGAAGGAGAGUACGGGUUGUACAUUUCAUCACCUGAUUGAUGGCAUAAAGAUGAGUUCCUUGUUCACCUGGUUGGUGGCAUGCAUGACAAGUUGCCAAAUGAUGUUAGAGUAUGGGUUGUACAUUUCAUCACCUAGUUGGUGGCAUGAAGGAGAGUAUGGGUUGUACAUUUCAUCACCUGGUUGGUGGAAUAAGGGCAAGGUGUCUAGGCACAUUGUAUCAAGUGUCGAAUGACAUAAAGUAUGUUGAACCUUUUCGAAGCACAGCUGGCUUAUGUAUGGAUGUGUUGGAAUGUAUAAUGUUUAUGUAUGAAUGUGUUGGAAUGUAUGAUGUUUAUGUUGAUUGAUAUGAGUGAUGCUUAUGAAUGAUUUGUUAUGCAUGAAGGGAUCCAUGCUUUUGAUAUGUGAACCAUGUUGGUUGUAACACUUAGUAUCACAUACUUUGUGUCAAACUACGCAUGUUGAAGCUCUGAGUUUGAGUAUAAGGGUAGGUCAACGUAGACCAAGUGUUCCAGUGCUACGAACGCAAAAGACUCAGAAGAAGUUGUCUGAAUUCCCUCUUCUUUAAAUAUUUGCCGAAUGGCUUGUGUGACAAAUGAUCUCAAGCGGUUGAGAGUCAAAACAUUUGUAAUGUGUAUGCCUUCUUAUAAUAGCAUUUCCUUCAGUACCUAGUCCCCCACUUUGAAAGAGCGAGGCUUGGCCCCAUAGUUAUAAUAGUCGACGGUACAUUCAUCCCUGGUUGUCUUGAUACGAACUUUUAUCCAUCUUGUUGUAAUGGGCUUGCUGAGAGUAAAAAUCCUUCUUCUUACCAAGAAACAUAUAUGUUUGGUGGCUUAGCGAGUAGCUAAAUGAGGCAGAAGAUGAUGUAAUGGGUGUCUGAAUGGCCAAUAUCUCCUCACUUGGUAGAACUUGACUUCCACUUCCCACUUGUUGAUAGGGGUUAACCAUAUGGGGGUUCCCUUGGUAUGUCCUUGCUUCGGCGGAGGCGUGAUUGUAAGUAUGUGCCAUCACCUCAGAGUAAGUCUUUUAAGUAUUGGCAUUGAUCAUGUACUUAAAGAAACAAUCACGUAGGCCUGCCGUGAAGGCCUUGAGGGUGGUCUUGUCAUCUGCCUCAGCCAGCGAGAAUACUCAUGGCUGAAGUGACUGGCAUACUCUCGUAGUGACUCAUCUGACUUCUGGCGAAUAGUGUACAAGUCAUCUGCAGAAUGCAAGCAAUCGGUCUGGAAGAUGUGUUGAGAGACAAACAGUUUCCUCAGUUCCUCAAAUGAGUAUACUGUUUCAGGUGAAAGACGGCAAUACCAAUUUAGAGCUCCGCCAGAGAGGGUGGAGAGGAAGAGAAGACAUUGCUCUUUGUCGAUGUGAAUCCGAUAUGCCAUGGUGAACUCAAAGAGGUUAAGGUGUUCAAUUGGGUCUUCCCUUUCAGUAUAGAGUUGUAAACCAAGCUUUUGUUUUGUCUUCGCUUGAAGGGGGUGUCGAGGAUCCUUCUUGUGAGAGGGCCAGGCCUGGGUUGGUUCCAGUCAGGUAUCUCGACUUGACAUUCGGUCUUCAACCUGUUUACUUCCUCAAGGAGCUGUAGGACAAGGGGGUCCUGAGUGGAGUCAUGUACCACUGAAAUUUUCUUUCAUAAGUCUCCAUCGCCUCUUGGAAGUAGGAAAGUUUGAGCAAGGGCGUGUGGUUUUUUCUUGGACUCGCUUACUAACUUCUAGGGCGAGUCUGUUGGAAUAUCUCAGAGUCCCCUGUACCUUCAUGUUCCUCUGGGACCUGUCGUUCCUUCCUUAGAUUGGCAGCUGGCCUGGGUUGUGAGAGGAGACCAAGUCUUUCAGAAACCCUUGGGUUAUUGAUCUUCGAGCAUAUGUGGAGGGGAUUAUCUUGACGUUGCUUUAAGAAGUCUCAACAGUCAUGAUAAACGACUUUUGAUCCUUCCAACCUUUCUGCAAGGAAGUGUCUUCCUCAUUUGUUUUCUGCUUUGGGUCGAAGCAUCUGGGUUGAGAGAAGUCUUAUGUUGAUCAAUGUUUUGAUGAUUAGCUUGCUCCUCAUCAGGGAUACCAAUGUCGAAGGAAAGUGACCCUUCGUGUUAGAGGGCACCCAGAUGAUGGUUGAUGCCCACAGGGGCAACGAGCUCGUGUGUUUGAGUACGCCUAGUUUCGUGGAGCGUCUCAAAGAGCUUCUCAUACUGCUCUUGGAAAACCUCAUUCUUCAUUGCUAUCUUGUUGUUUUGAGCUUCUAGCUUAUCGACUUUAGCUUGAAGAGCAACCCUCUUUCUUUCAUUCUUUCAUUGCUUCACACUAGGUGCAAGAGGGGUGUCAUUCUGUGUGCUAUGGCUUCCUUCGCUCCUCAUGUUGGAGAUGGAUGCCUGGUCAAAAGAGAGUGUGCGAAUGGUGGAAACGAGCUUGGCAAAGCUGAAGAGAGUGGGAAUAAGUGUCAUUCCCAUAGACGACGCCAAAUGUUGAUGCACAAAAUCAGUGAGGACUUUGGUACAACAGAAAGUGUUAAGUUUGUGACCUUCGCUAGAUUGCUCCGGUCACUAGCGUGGAUAAGUAUGUAAAUGGAUAGAGACAGGGAAGCAAACACAAGAUGUACGUGGUUCACCCAGAUUGGCUACGUCCACGGAGUAGAGGAGUUCUCAUGAAUUGUGAAGGGUUUACACAAGUACAUAGGUUCAAGCUUUCCUUUUGUGAGUACUAGUGAAUGAUUUAGUACAAAUGACAUUAGAAAAUAUUGUGAGAGAAUGAUCUCUAUUUAUAGAAGAGAGUUUCUAGUUUCAUUCUGACAUUGACACGUGUCGUGUUGUGAUUGGCAUCUGAUGUUGACACGUGUCGUGCUAUGAUUGGCUUCUGAUGUCUACAUGUGUCGCGCUAUGAUUGGCUUCUAAUAUCUACACGUGUCGCGCUGUGAUUGGCCUCCUGGUUGGAAGGAAACUCUUCUGGGUCCUUAACGGUAUAACGUUGACCGGUGCUUAGUAGUUUCGGGAUUGGUCAAGUAUGGUACAAACAACAUUAAUGAUUAGGUUUUCAAUGAAUGGAUGUUGGUUAAAUGAAGUUUCUUGUUAUCUAUUUUUCUUUGUUAGGCAAUUAGUGAGAAGUUCAAAAAGUCGAAAUCAUUCCAUACUCUCCCUCAUGUGAUGAGUCGUAAAGGAUAUGCAUGCUUGGAUGACGAGUUGGUAUGAACAUUUAUGUAUCUUUUAAUUUCAUUUCAGUGACAACACACUUAUACGGAGUUUAAAUUAUGGAUUAAUUAAUAGAGAAACAAAGGCACACCUGAGGAGGAUUUAAAUAGAGUCAAUCUCUGGAUAGCUGCUCGUACAAGAAAAAAUGGUCAACCCGUAAAUGAGAUAGUGUAAAAGAAAAUGGUAUAAAGCUUCAGUUUGAAAUUAUCCUUGUGUUAUUUUUUAUUCAUUUUUCUUUUAAUCUUGUAAAUGAUUUUUAAAUGUAUAGGAUGACAUUAAGUUGGUUAAUGAAAUGCCAACAACAAACAAUGGUUCUAUAAAAUAUGAUGCUUUAUAACAAGCACUUGGACCUGAACAUCGAGGUCGACUUCGAGGAGGUGGUUAUGGGGUUACACCUUCUAGAUAUGAUGCCCAAACAUAUGCCGGCAUGAGUAAUUGAGAGCUUAGAGACCGACUAUAAAAUGUCGAAGGAAAAUUGCGGGAAGUGUUUGAUCUUGUGUUGGCUAUACAACAAAAUGAGGUAAUUAUAUAUGCAACUUUGUAUAUACUUAUAAAAAUGAUAAAAGAUUUACGUCAUAUAGCUGCAGGGAAAUAUAUUCUAACUUCUAAUCAUAUCGCUGCAGGGAAAUGGUAAAGAAACUAAUACCAAUUAUGCAAUUCAAGUCUCCACAAAUAGGCCUCAGGUAAAAAUGUGUCAUUGGUAAAUAUUGGUAUUUUGUUGAAUCUAAAACUGAUCAACUUCUAUUUCUUACAUAUUCACUAGUCGCAGGGAGGCAGUAUAGAUCUCCAAAGAACUAAGAAUGGUGUAAAACAGGUUCCCAAUUCCAGUUACCAGGUUUCCAGAUCAUCUCCCCAGGUAUGAAACUGAUUUUGUAUAACUUGUCUCGAUGUCUUCAUCAUUAGAUAGAAAUAAAAUAGUGAACAUGUUCACUUUCAAGCUUAGUUAGUCUAUGCAGCUAAUAGUUUAUUUGCAUCUAUCUUGUUAUCAGAUGUUUCAUUUGAUUUUGAUUAUUUGCAUUUAUCUUUUUAUUAGUUACAAUGUAAUAAAAAAAGUGCACUAGAGGGUAACGAUGGUUCUAGACACUCUUCAAAAGCUAGUUCUUAGGUACAUAUAUGAUCCCAAAUAUAGCACGGUGGAAAUUAUAAAUUUUUUAUAUAAGUAAAUCAAACUUAGCUUUUUCUAUGUUUGAUUGUCUCAAAGAGUUAGUACAUGUCAUAUGCUCCAUUAAAUGUUUAUAAACCAAGUAGAGCUUAUGACUUGGGAAACCAAGUAAAACAAGUAGAGCUUAUGACUAGGGAAAGUUUGACGAGGAUGCUUACAUGUCAUAUGCCCCAUUAGAUGUUUAUAGACUUGAUGAUUGUGUAGGUGAUGAAGAUGAAGGUUAUGUUCGGGCAAAUUGUGAGGCCAUUCCUAUGUAUAACUAGACUAUUAUUGAAUGAAAACAUUUUUCACAAAUUUCUCUACCUUUUUUUGGAUCUCUUCUUAGGAAAACUGAUAUUUUCUGUAAGAUGUAUGUGUUUGGUUGUUUUUUUCUUUAAAUCAGAAUUAAAUCAAAACGAAAAACUUCUCACCAUAAAGUCCCCAGCAUGUAUUGUUCCCAUCUCCACCAACUGACCAUUCUCUAAUCCUAGUUGUUUCACUAUGUAUUCUUUUGCUCGGCCAAUUUCCUUCUUUGUGGUUCCAUUGGCGGUAGAGCAAAUUUCUGUUUUGUUAUUAGAUAAUUAGAUUAUUUUUGUUUUGUGAGGCCAUUCCUAUGUACAGAUAUACUAGGACAUAACAGAUGUUGAUAAUUAGAUUGUUUUUGUUUUGUUAUUAGAUACAAUGUGAUAGAAGAAGUGCACGAGAAGUUGACGAUGCUUCUAGACAAGCUUCCAAAGCUAGUUCCCAGGUAUACGAGAACAAGUACUAAAUAGUUAGCUUAUGAAACUUAUGAGAUUUUGAUAUAAACUGAUCGAAUUUUGUAUCUUCCAUGUUUGGUUGUCACAGAGAAGUAGUCCAAACAUAAAAAGAGACAACAUUAAGAGAAAAGAAGGUUCUAAAGCCACUUCUCAGGUAGUAACUCACACUUGAUAAUAUUUGCUAAAUAGUUUGAUAACUUAAUCAUUUAAAAUUGAUGUUCUUAUUUGAUUUCUUUAUGCUAGUUACAACUUGUUGGUAUUUUACAAGGGUCUUCAUGCAAGUUACUAAAUUGGCUUGAAAAUGGACAAGUUGUUGCAACUGGAGAAAUAGAAUCAACAAAUCCUGAGGCGAAAGUUCAUCACAUGGUGCUUGGUCCUAAUUGCUGGAAAGUUUGGGUAACUGUUGUCAGAGUGGAGAACAUAUCUUUGUACCGCCCUACAAAUGAAUUUCGUGUCCUGGAGGAUGCUAUAUCUAGUACAAUUGCCUGGCCAUCAAAGUACAUCCGAGUUGGAGAGUAAUUUUAGUUCAUACUUAGACUAGAAAAUGAUACUUUGGCACUACAUGGAUACUACUUUAUGACUUCCAUUGUUUAUGUAUUCAGUAGCCACUACAUGGAUACUACUUUAUGACUUCCCGUUGUUUAUGUAUUCAUAUGGAAACUCAAGUAUUUUUAAAUUAUGUUAUAAUAUUAUCAAGUAAUAAUUUAUAACGGGCAUUAGAUGUGGUUAAUUAGUAAUCGACAACGGUCAUAGCACGUGGUGUUAGAUCUCAAUCUACCACGGGUACAAUCCGUGGUUAUAUUGCAUUUAACAACGGACAUAGCCCCUGGUAAAAAUUGAAACUUUUUAUCACAUCCAGAAUACUAACGGGCACAGUGUUUGUGGUGGAUUACAAUUUAUCACGGGCAUUCACCGUGAUAGAUGAACUUUUUUCUUCUAGUGAAGCACACUCCUAAUCCUACACACUAAUAUUUGUUGUUUUUUCUUCGAGCACCAUUAUCAUGGUGCAUGAUUAUGAUAUUAGAAUUCUCAUGUUACCUAUGAAGAAUUUGGGAUGAGCUGAAAAGGGAUCGGAAUAAAAUCAAUCUUCAAUUUUUUUUUUCAAAGUCUGUCAUGAUAAUUUACGAUUGUUGGGGCGCAUGCAGGGUCAUUUUCUAUCCCCUCAAUGAUUCAUUGAGAUUGUUAUGUGAUGGUCUCUGAAUUCUUGGGUUUUUCUACUUCUAAUAUAAAUAUAUUAAUAAUUAUUCACUUUGACUUUUAAGACAAACUAACAAAAAAGUAUUAAUAAAAAGUCAUACGGUUGACAGCUAAUAUCUGCCCUAAAAAUUCGAUGGAACUAUCAUGAACCUGUGAUAGACGAGAGGAUCAGGUAUCAAAUAUGUGAGUGUGGAGUGUGGUCCCUCGAACUUCCAUGUUCCAUCCUCAAAUGUCCCUAAUCUCAGAGACCUAAUCCGACAGGAUAAAAUUACUACUACUCCUUAUAAUAAGUUUACUAUAACAACCUUUCUUACUGGUUGGAGUGACUGCUCACCAUCCCUACACAACUUUAUUUGCUCAACUUUGUCACAUUAUCGAGCUAAAAAUUCAUCCCACUAAUACCAUUUUAUGCAGCGUUUUAUUGAAUGAUGAAAGUAAAUGAAAAUACUUAUAAUGUCUUUAUUUGAGAAAGUUUCAUUUCUUACGAUGAGUCUCACUUAAAAAAGAGACGAUGGGAGAGAAAAUCUUUUAAGGUAUAAUCAUAUUAUUUUAGAUAGUCCGACAUGUUAUGUUAUCAGAUUGUUUGUUAGAAUUGUGUAUCUAAACGUACGUUAUCAACUCAACAAUUUGAUUGAUAAUACCUAACAAGAUAAUAUGUUCAAUUGUGUGACAAGAAAUUUUUAUAUGCUCAUACUAAUUCUAUAUAGCAAAGAAAUAAUACAUCAUAAGGUUUUUUAUUAGGUAAAAACUUUUCUUGCCAAAAAGAAAUUCUCAGUAGAAGGCAUACAAGACAAAUACAACUUGGUAUGGUCAGCAAAAUACAACUUGAAUUAUCACACUAAACUUUUAUGUGUUUUAUGCACUGUUUUAUUGAAGGGUUAGAGUGAAUGGUCUUUAUACCUUUCACUUGAGAAAGUGGCUUACUGCAUUUGAGUCUUGGUAAGAGGAUAGAUAGGAGAGAAAAUCUUCCAUAGAUGAAUAUUCAUCUCUUCUCAGAUAGUAUGACAUGUUUUUAAAUAUUAUCAAUUAAUAUCGCAUAUACAUUCUGAUUUAUCUACUUAGCAAAUAUAGCUGGUAACUAACAGUAUAAUAUGUUGGACUGUGUGAUAAGAAAGUUACUAACGUUCUUAUUUAUUUGUGUGUAACAAAGGGAUACAUCAUAAAGUUUGAUAAUUAGGUGAAAGCCAACUUUUGUUUGCCAGAAUAAAUUCUUAUUGGUGGGCGCAUAUACAAGACAAAAUACGAGUACAACUUGCUAUGGUCAGCAAAAUACAAUUUGUGAAAAGGACUGCAUAUUUUUAUCUCAAGCAUAUUGGUCUCAAUUUGACUUGGUUCAUAUGACUAUUGUGUCAUCAACAUAAAGAACUAAGAAGAUCUAUUAAAUUCCAAGUAGGACUAAUAAUUUCUUACCAAACAGGUCUGUCAAAUUACAAGCAUGGUGUUGUAGGACUGAUCCAUCAUCACGAACGACCAUUAACAAAUAUUUGGAGUUAAAAUUUAUAUUUGAUUCUUAAAAUGACUUAAUUCUUCUACAAUGCACCGAAAAAGUUAGGGUCAUAUAUGUCUUUGGAGUUAUAUGCAAAGUCACAUUUGACUUUAGGUUUAACUCUAGAGUUAAAAAUGACCACCACCUUAAUUACAAGAUACAAAUGUUCUAUAUGACUAAAUUUUGACUCAAUGUCUCUCUAAUGCACAAAAGUUAAAAGUUGAACAUGGAUUUACAUGCAUUAGAGAUAAUAAAACUUACCCCACCAUAUUUAGAGUCAAAUAUAACUUCACAACUUUUAAUUUUUUAUUUCUAAACUACUCAAAUAAUCUUUUGGAUUCAUAUUGUAAGAUAUCAACUACAUAAAUUACCAUCCCUGAAGAACCUCAACUUGGAUAGAGAGAUAAAUAUAAUAGGAAAAUAUCGAAUAUUCAAAAAGAAUUGGAAUUGGAAUUACCACUAUAUUGAUAAAUUUUGUUUACUCUGUGCCUGGAACUAAACUGAGAAGGGUUGUUUUACUGUCUUCCCAAAAUUAAGUUCGAGUAAUCACUGUGUCGAAGACAAAGUACAAUGUGAUAAUCUCCAUGGAUGAUGAGUCUGGAGGAUAGCAUCUUCGAUCUUCCUACCCAAAACCUGAAUGAAAAUAUUGCACCCCACCCAUGUUAAUAACUAAAUAGAAAAUAUUCUUAAAUAAUUUAUAGAUUGAUGGAAUUUUUUUUAUUUUUUAUUUAAAAAUAAACAAAACAAAUAUACGUCAUCCGGAGUCUCUAAAUAGUCAAUUUCAUAUUCCAUUCGUCAAAAGUAUAUAAGCUUUUCUUCAUUAAUGUGUUUGUGGUUUUAGUGAUUAGGAUUUUGUUCUACAAUAGAAGGUGUAAAUGGGUUUGAGAGCUUGAAAAAAAAAAAAUAUAUUAGGAUAUAGGUUAUCUAACUUUGGGGUGUUCAGAAACAAAAAACCAAAAAAAAUUUGUUUUAAAAACCUUAUGGAUUCUAAGCAGCCAUUUCAUAUUAGAGCAUGCAAGUCAUUUAGCAUUAACUUUUUACGUAGGGUGUAUUCAAUAAAUAUGUAGUGUAACAUCUCAAAUCUUCUAGGGGAGUGGAUCUUGUAAGCCUUAUAUGUAUAUUCUCAUCUCUACCUAGCACGAGGCCUUUUGGGAGCUCACUGGCUUCGGGUUCCAUAGGAACUACGAAGUUAAGCGAGAAUGGGGCCAUAGCAUUCCCAGGAUGAAUGACCCACUACGAACUUUUGGUCGCGUGAGUUCCCAAAAACAAAACCGUGAGGGUGUGGUCGGGGCCCAAAGCAGACAAUAUCGUGCUACGGCGAAGUCGAGCCUGGGAUGUGGUGGGGGCCUGGGCCGGGAUGUGACAUGUUGUAGGGUGCCAAUAAAACAACCCAAAUGAGAAUGAAGUUGAUUCUCAUUAAUAUAUAUAUAUAUAUAUAUAUAUAUAUAUAUAUAUAUAUAUAUAUAUUGGUGCUUUAGAUUUUGGCCCUUAUAAUUCAUAAUUUCUAGAUAAAAACCCAUCUACGUAUAAACGUCUAAUAAAAGCCCAAAUUUAAAAUCUGCAACCACAUCGGAACAUUAUUGACCUACUAAUACAAUUUAUUUACACCCAUGCCACUUUCUCAAAUCCCUAAAUUUAUUCCAAUUUAAAAGUUGUAAAAAAAGUGAAAUAAAAUAUAUAAACUGUUGUAUUGCAUUAAUUGUAUCCAUAUCAUACAAAAAAUUUACCUUAUAUAUAUAUAUAUAUAUAUAUAUAUUGCAUUAAUUGGGAAGUAAAUUAAUUUGUUCCAAUUAUUGUUGUAUAAAUAUAGGUAUGACAUAAUAAUUUCAAAAUAAUACAUCAAAUUACAUUUCUUCUUGUUAUGGGUAAAUUAUUCUCCAUGUAUUAGUGAGAAAAACAUAUUAUAUUACACACGGGGUAUAAUUUUUUUGUAGGUAAAUUAUUGGAAAUUAAUUUUGUCACAGCCCGUCCCGGAAAAUAAUUCUUGUUGACGUGAAAAGACGGAAAUACCCUCGGACGUUGAAUGAUGUGUGUAUGAAAUGUUUUGGUGUAAGUAUUUGGGAUUGGUGACCCAAUUAGAACUAAGAUUUUUCUUAGUUUUGGUUGGUGGCUUUUGGACCCCACACACACCCACCUACCCACUCUCUCUCUCUCUCUCCUUCCCGUGUUCUCUCUUUCUCAGACUCACUCUCUCUCUUCUCUCUUGUACGGACACAACCAUAAGCCUUUGCAAACAUGGCAGAUAGAAGAAGAAAAUGGUACCAUUGUGUUCCUAUGGUCCUCACGAGUUCAAAGGUACCAAAUAUAAGUAAGAUUACCUUCGAUUUCACGUCAAAUCACAAAACCCGAUUUGAGGUACUAUUCAUGCUCACGUAAAAUGUUGAUUUUUAGGGAAUUUAAAGGACAUAGGGAGCUUAAGGAGGUCCUUACGAAGCUCGGAGUACUUCAUUUGAAGAUUUUGGACGUCGGAAUAGUGAGAACGGAGAGUUUUAAAUCUGGCAGGAAUUAUCGAGGCUUUUUCCAGCCAAUUUCUGACGAGUCGAAGGUCAAGCCAGGUACUGUUUUGUUCAUCUUUGUGAGAUCUUCAUUUUGGUAUAAAGUACGUAGAAAAUGGUGCAAAAAUGAAGAAGAAACCAUAGUUAGAAAUUUUUCCAGUUUUCCGACGUCGACGACGGUCGCCGGAGUUCUGAAGAAGGAGACGACGAAAUAUUCCGUCAAGUCUGAUGGAAUAUUCUGAUGCCGUCAGUUAGUUCGGAUGGAUUCUGUUAGGGCUUAACAGAAUAUUCUCAGAAUAUUCCUAACUGAUGCCGUCAGUGUGCCUGCCACAUGGCCGCGCGUGGGGGACGCGUCUGGCCGUGCCAUUGUCGGCGCGUGGGGGCGCAUGAGGCUUCCAAAAAUUUAUCUAAAAAUUUGGGGAUGAUCCUGAGGUUGUGUAGGUCACUGUGGUAUAUUCAUAUACCCAAUUUGAGCAAUAUAUGAGAAGUUAUUACCUAUUGUUGGUUAUGUGCGUUAAAUAACAUUUAUUCGAUUAUUACGCCUAUAGGUGAGGCCUAUUCUCGGGACGAGCGUAAUCAAUCGAGGCUCAGGGGCUACGACCCAUUGACAUCUCAGUGAGUGGGCAGUUAUUUUCAGUAUAUAUAUACUUGACGUUUUUCCCAGAAAACGUAUUUAAAGGAAAUGCAAUUUAAAUGCCAUGCCAUAAAUGCCAUGCAUAUACAAUUAUGUUUCGUACAUGAAUUGGUGUGUGAUACCUUAUAUAUAUAAAUGUGGUGUUGUGGAGGCACAUGUAAGUUCAGGUAAGUUGUGUUUGGUUAUGUAAAUCAUCGAUGAUGCGAUAUGCGAUUGAGAAGCAUUAGCUCAUAAACUUGCACCCAGGGUGAUUGCGAUUUAGCCAGAGAGAGAGUUGGCACAGACUUGUAUAUCAUGUCACCUCUCGCACCAUAUGCUCUCAUUGGAUCCAAUUAGGUGCACAGUCUUGUCGUACAGACCACUAUAAGUGGUUCCGACUCGUAGGUGACUAAUGUAUUAUCGCACAUCUAGCAUUGAGAGAGUAGAAUUGAGCAUAAUUAUAUUACACCCAACCUUGUCGUACAAACUCUUUUUAGUGGUUCUGACUUAUGUGUAGUAUAUUGUCGUAUAGGUCAUUAUAGUGACUCUGGCUAGAUUGACUAUUGAGCUAUAAACUUAGCCGUACAGACCACCUCAGGGGUUCCGGCUAACAUAUCAUAUUUCUAUGAAAUUAUUCUUACCUGAAUUGUGUACUUUGUUAUAUAUUGGCAUGGCAUGCAUAUGUUUAUGAAUGUGUAAAGCAUGAAUUGAAUUGAAAUGAUAUAUUUAUAUACUUAUUUAUGUAUUCUAAUUUCUGGGAAAAUAAUCAUAUACUUGUUUUACGACGAGGGGUUCAUAUACUUGUUUUACGACAAGGGGUUAGUAUAUUCAAAGGAAAAUAAGGUUUUCGUGUAAAUGUGUUUUACUGACUCAUUCAACUUUGUUUUUUUCGCCCCUCCAGGUCUUAGAUAACAGAGUUUGGUGGCCACGAGGAAUCCAACGGUGUUAUGACAGAAUCCAAAAACGUAGGAUUCACCUUCGGGUGUUGUAUUUAGCAAUCAUCCCUUGACUGCAACUAGACUUUCUUCUUGCUCUGAAAGUGUAUGUACACUUAAAUCCUCACUAGCAUCCUUUCUUAUUGGGAUUGUUAGUUGAUUGGUUUUAAAUUGUUAGUUUUUCUCUUACUUUUUAUCACUUCCGCCUUGUGCACAUGGCUACGUCACUCUCACGUGACGGCCAGCACGUCUUGACUUUGGUCGGGGUGUGUCAAAUUUGUUCCAAUUAUAUAAAAAAUAUAUAUACUACACCUUGAUUAUAUAUAUAUAAUUUUCUUUUUGAGAAAACCUAGAUUAUAUAUUUUGAAUCAAAUAACAUUUUUGUAUACAUGGUAGCUAGGUAAAUUAUUUUUCAUUUAUUAUUACAUAUAUUAGCCUAUUAGGGACCUUUUUUUGGUAAAAAUAUAUAAAGUAAUAUGUAUAUGAUUGUUUGUAGGUAAAAAGAUAAAAUCAAAAGCAUGAUCCAAUUCCUAUGUUUAUGCAAUAUUUUGUUGUUGGUAUACAAUAUUUUGCAUCAUUGAAAAUGAACAUUUCAAAUAGUAGGUAGGUAAAUUAAUAUGGCCUAAUUAUAUAAAUACACGCGUGAGCACACACGCACACACACACACACACACACAUACAUUUUGAAUCAAAUAACAUUGUUGUACAUGGUAGGUAAAUUACUUUUUUUUUUUAUGUAUAAACAUUUAUUAGGUUUUUUUUUUUAGUAAAAUUAUAUAUAUGAACUUAUAAUGCCAGAUGCAUGGAAUUAAGCCAACAAUUCUCAUAUUUGAUAUUAAUAUGCAAUGAAUUUUUUUUAACAUUAAUGUCUUAGUUUCUUAUUUUUCUUUUUGUAAAAUCAUUAACUCUCUCCUUACAAUUUGCAUGGAAUUAAUUGUGCACAUCAAAUAUGCGAUAGGAGUAUUUUAAGCAUCUAAAAAAUGUAAAAUGUGUAAGUUAAUAUGUAAUUAAUGAAUUCACUUAGGUGGAUCCUAGUCACUGAGUUUUUGAGUAAAAAAAAUUAUGUCGGGUUUUAUAUGAAAAAAAUUGAAUUUUAGGGAUUAAAAUCAUAUUUUCAGUUUUUUUUUUAAUUUUUUUUAUAGCAAAUAUUUGUUUACCAACUUCUACAAUGAUAUUCAGUUAGUUCGCUACCAAAUUACUUUUUCUCCACAAAUAAGAAGAAGAAAAAAUCAUUUAAGUUUUUAUUACAAGUCAUAUUAUUAUUUUAAGCUAAGAUAAGGGGAGAUGAAUGAUAUGAAUUCAGAACGUUGUGAGUUGAAGAAAAUGGCCUUGUUUCCAUAACAAUUCACUACUUAGUAUUUUAGAAUAAAACUAGAAAUUUGAUAAAUGUAGUGGACACUUAAAAAUCUCAUUUUACACUAAAAAAAAACACUUUAGUCUUUAUUAUAUCCAUACGGGCUGGGGAUGAGCUAUUAUUAUCAUCAUCGCAAAUACCAAAUUAACGUGAGGACGCAGAGAUGUAGGACAUCUGCAAUUUUGACUCAGAAAACAAAGGCUUGCAUAUGGAUAUAUAUCUCUCUCUAGUCUCUACAAAUAUAAAAAAUAAAGAAUAAAAGAUUCCAGGUCAUGGUCCUCCUUACUUAAACAAUCAAAUUGUUCAGGUCCAACCAAAACACUCACCCACCACGACACUUUCUGCGUGCUUUCUUCAACGUUUCUGUACCCUCUACAUUGAUGCAUUCAUGACUUGUUUGUAUCUAUCUUCUAUGAGAUCAGAUUUGAUUAUGAUAUGGUUUUCUCUUACAUGCACACACUCACAUUACAUAUAUAUCGUUUAAUUCAAUCGUCGAAGAUAAUCGAACUCUUGGCUCAAUCUAAUCUUAGUUCGUUUCGCUAUCUGUAUCACAUAUCUUCAGCGACCAAAGAAAAAAUUUAGCAAGCCGUGUGCCAUGUUAUGCUACCGAAUUUAAUCAUAAUUUUUUUUUAUUAACAGGGGAGUGAUGAUCCAAACUAGAAUUUUCUUUUAAUAUGAAAAAUGAUAAAUAUCACUAAACUAAAGGCUAGUUAAUUGCCGUCAAAAUCAUUGGUGGACUACAUAAUAGUGUACCAAAUACCUUUGAAAGGCAACAAUUAAUAUUUCUCUUUUUUUCGGUUAACUCUCUUACUUGUAAUAUAUUACUUAUACAAUUAGCAUCCAAGGGACGUCCAUUUCAUGUAGCCUUAUCAAUAAAAGUUACCUUUUUUUGCAAGUCAUUACUUCAAAUCAGUAGACAACCUGCCGAAAGAGAUCAGUUUGGGUCUUGCUUAAUUUGGACAACUAUGUCAUCUGUUAUAUUCAUCAUGUUGACUAUGUCAUCUGUUAUAUUCAUCAUGUAUUGACUUGUCUCACCCUUUCUUUGCGACAUAUCAAAGAAACUUUUGCCUGAUCAUAUUAUAAUUAGUUGAUAAAGAAUAAUUAAUAUGAAAUGAAAUUUUUGUUCCUCCUCCUUAGUGUAAAUAAUAUCGUUUUUUUUAAUAAAUAAAUAAAUUGGUAAACGGUAAGAGGGAAGAGGGAUCCAUGAGGAUUGAACCCACAUCAACGUGCAUAGGUAAUAUUACGUGGGUUAAUUGUUAAAUGUUAUAGGGGAGAAGAAUCAGUAAAGAUCGAAACCAUAUCAAGGUGAAUAAAUAUUAUUAUUUUCUGUCACUACGAUAAAUCGUCAUGUGCUAAUAUCAAAUGAAAUUUCAUUUUACGUUUUUUAUACUUUUUAUUGAAACAAUUAUUUGAGCAUAAUAGGAGGUGGCUUUGGCUUCUCGCAAAAUCCUUUUGGCCAAUCGAACAGUUUUUAUUUAUUUAUUUUUGAAUAAACGAUAUUAUCUACAUUAAGGGGUGAGCUUAACAUUACAAUAGGCUAGCAAUAAUGUGGUUCAAUUCACUCUGGCGAGAAUUGAACCUAAGACAUCUCGCUUACAAGUAAAGAGGAAUACGACUAGACCGCACUACUAAGUGGCGGUCAAUCGAACAGUUACAUCCUUAGAUAAAUUGAUACCUGUUAUGGGGGGGGGGGGGGGGGGGGAGGGGGGGGAACUAUGUACACCACUUGGCUCUAACUUGUAAUUACUAAUUACAUUGCGAAUUAAAUGUUAAAAAUUAUAUUUCUAACAAGAAAUCAUGAUACUUUGGCUGCUUCAUAAAACUAGUGAGAUAUACGGAUUAGUUUUUUUAUAUUAUGCAAGAAAGACGAUGGUAUUAAAACUAAAACCUUCUCACUGUUGUUAGAAAAGCUUUUUUUUUAUUGUACUAAAAAUAGUUGUACUCCAGGAUCCUCUAGUUAAUUAAUUUUACUAUACUACAAAAAAACAAGUAUUAAAAGUGAACCUUCAAGUACAAGAAACAUCUUGGAGGAGGACAAUAUGAAUAAUGAGGCUUAUUAUACAAAAUAGUCUCUGAGAUUUGCAUGAUCAAUAGAAAUGGUCCCUGAGAUUGAAAAUCAAUAGAAAUGGUCCAUGAGAUUAUCCACCAUCCAUGAUUUUGGUCAUUCCGUUAAAAAAAAUUUGGGCAAUUUUUAAAGCUUCGUAACUCUCGAUUCUUAACCAAAUUCGACCCAUAAUAUACCAAACUGAAGAUAAGAAAGUGUAUAACAAGAUUAUACCUAUUUGGAAGCCCAAUGAUUGCCGGAGAUGGCCGAAAAAUAGCCUAAAAUGUGACUGGUCCGCGGGAAAACUGGAAAACUCGCCGGAAACUGGGUAAACUUUAAAUGUUCAUAACUUCUUCAAUACUCAACAAAAUCAAGUGACUCAAAAAUGAAAAUCAUACUUCUUGACGAGACGAAUAUAAUGGCAUCUUUUUAGACUUCUAAAUCACCGUUGUUUGGUUGAAAAACUUCUCGAAAGUGGCUAACAAUUUUCGAGCCAUUGUCCGACCAAACCACGGUGAUUUAGCCUUUGAAAAAGGUACUAUUCUUUUUGUCUCGUCAAUAAGUAUGAUUUUUGUUUUUUAAUCACUCGCUUUCAUUGAGUAUUGAAGAAGUUAUGAACAUUUAAAUUUUACCCAAUUUCCGGCGAGUUUUCCAGUUGUCCCGCGGACCAGUCACCUUUCAGGCUUUUUUCUCCGGCAACCAUUAGGCUUCCAAAUAUGUAUAAUCUUGUUCUACACUUUCCUAUCUUCAUUUUGAUAUAUUAUGGGUCGAAUUUGGUUAAGAAACGAUUGAGUUACAAAGCUUUGAAAAUUGCCCAAAGAAUUUUUAACGGAAGGACCAAAAUCAUGGAUGGUGGACAAUCUUAGGGACCAUUUCUAUUGAUCAUGUAAAUCUCAGGGAUUAUUUUGUAUAAUAACCCUCCUAUAUAUUAUACCAUAUAUGUAAAUAAGUUAUAAUUUUUUUAAGUUCCAUCUUACGAAACUUGCCUCGACAUAAUACUAAUUUUUAAUAAAUUAAAAAAUAUGUCUUAUUAUGACAAAUAAAAAGUUUAGAUAAAACAAAAUACUUUUCUAAAUAUGCACUAGCUUUUAGAAAUUAGAGCAUCUGCAAAUGAGAUGUCAAAGAUGUCAGAUAGACACAAAUGAAUAUUUUUAUAGCAAAAGCGGCUCCAACCAAUGAGCCAAUGUUGACUUGAAUUGGAGGUGCUCCCAGAGUAAAAAAUGACUACCAGGAUCCUUUUUGUAGGGAUCUGGGGAUCAAUCAAUCGUGUCCAUUCAUCGUACAUCGUGCGAUCAGUUUUUGUUAAGCACUAUUUAUAUUCAAUUUUAAAUAAAAAAAAUUCAAAAUAAUUUCUAAUUGCAUGAUGUACGAUGAACAAAUACGAUUGAUUGAUCUUUCGGAUCCCCACAAAGAGAAUCUGGAGAGAAUCCUAUUCCAAAAAUGACAGCAAAAGAGGUUGAUGCGAAAUUAUUUUAAUUUAAUUAAAGGUAGGACUCACAAUAAAUACAACCCUUUUUUUUGUAUCAGAAUAAAUACAACCUAUUUAAUUUGUUUCUUUGAAGCUGUUACUUUCCACCUUUUUAAUAAAUAACUCAUAAGCCACUUAGUACUAGGUCUAGUGGUAUUUCUCUUCACUUAUAAGUGAGAGGUCUUAGGUUCGAUUCUGGUCUCUUAUGACGCUUAGCCUACUCACCCACCCCCUCAGUGUAGACAAUAUUGUUGUUAAAAUAUAUAUAUAUAUAUAUAUAUAUAUAUAUAUAUAUAUAUAUAUAUAUAUAUAAACUAAAACAUUUUGACAUAUCGGGUUGAGUAAGAAGUUUAGCAUGGUGCCAAGUUUCCUUUUAAGCCAUCAAAUUUAAAUUUGAUAUUCUGCAUUUGACAUCUACUUUAGAGAUGCUCUUAGGUGUCUUACUUUAUUCAAUUUUAUAUCUUGAAAAUUGACAUGAUCCACUACUAAUACAGUUUCAUGUAUUUAAAUAAGUGUCAUUAAGGAUAACUAAGUCAUUUUUUAUUUUAACUACACUGCUAAUAUAUAAUAACUUUCCUAUAAUUAUAAAAUUAAUUUGAUCUUAACAUUAUGACUAUACAGAAUGUCACAUCCCGGCCCGAGGCCAUACCACAUCCCGGGCUCAAUUCCGCCGUAGCACGAUAUUGUCCGCUUUGGGCCUCGACCACGCCCUCACUGUUUUGUUUUUAUGAACUCACACGAGAACUUCCCAGUAGGUCACCCUUCAUGGGAUUGAAGUCGCUGCGAACUCACUUAAUUUCGAAGUUCUAAUGGAACCCGAAGCCAAUGAACUCCCAAAAAACCUCAUGCUAGGUAGAGAUGGGAAUAUACAUAUAAGGCUUACAAGAUCCACUCCCUUGGAUGAUGUGGGAUGUUACAAUCCACCCCCCUUAGGGGCCUGACGUCCUCAUCGGCACACUUCCGACCAGAGAUUGGCUUUGAUACCAAAUUGUCACAUCCCAACUCGGGCCCCCACCACAUCCCAGACUCGACUCCACCAUAGCACGAUAUUGUCUGCUUUGGGCCCCAACCACACCCUCAUAGUUUUGUUUCUGGGAACUCACACGAGAACUUCCCAGUGGGUCACUCAUCCUGGGAUUGUUCUCGCUGCGAACUCGCUUAACUUCGGAGUUUCGACGGAACCCGAAGCCAGUGAGCUCUCAAAAGGCAUCGUGCUAGGUAGAGAUUGGAAUAUACAUAUAAGGCUUACAGGAUUCACUCCCAUGAACGAUGUGUGAUAUUACACAGAAUUUCUAAUGCAUUGCUUUGAAAAAGUAGGUCAAUGAGUGUAGUGAUUAACUGUGGAAAUAUAUUUUCAAAGAGAGGGUUUGUACAAAACAAGUCAUGCAUACAUGCAUCAAAUAUAAUUAUACCUCAUCUGAAUGAUUGUUUGAUACGGAUCGAUCCUAUUUCUAUAACUAUGAUGUCUUCUAAAUUGCAUCGAAGUUUUGAGUUCAUAUAUAUACGCAAAAAUCAGGCACUUUGAAUUUAUUUUUAAAAUACUAUUGCAACUGUUGUGUACUCUGGUAGAGGUACUUUAUAUAUAGGAAAAAUUAGUAUCUAGUCUUUAGUUACUAAUGUUCAUUUACUGAAAUUUUAUUAGUUUUUAGAUUUUGAUCCAAGUCCGUAGCAUUAAUGUAAUAAUUUAUUUACAUGUCAGUUACAUAAUUUUUUAAAAUAAAAAUUAAUAAGUUAUUUAGAAUUUUAAUAUUCACACCUUUAUUAAACUUCUAAUUAAUUUUCAAUUCAAAACAUUUUCAAAAUAUAAAAAAAAUUAGAAUAAGUUUGUACCCAUUAGUUUUUUUAAAAAAAUGUUUACCCAUUCAUGUAAUUUUUUGCAAAUUUUUAAACUUAAAAUGUAUUCUUACAUAUACCGAUUUCUUAUAUGUAAAAUGUACCCUCUUUUUAUAUAAAAUAUAUUCAAUUUUUUUCUGAUUCAUAUUUAAACUUAUAUGGGUACAUUCUUUUUUCUUUGAUUUGAGAAUGUAUCUAUGUCAAGUUUAACCGAAGAAAUUUACUAAUAUUAUUAAGCCUAAUAUGUCACAUCCCGGCCUGGACCCCACCACAUCCCGGGCUCGACUCCGCCGUAACACGAUAUUGUCCGCUUUGGGCCCCGACCACGCCCUCACGGUUUUGUUUUUGGGAACUCAUACGAGAACUUACCAAUGGGUCACCCACCAUGGAAUUGCUUUUGUGCAAACUCGCUUAACUUCGGAGUUCCAAUGGAACCCAAAGCCAGUACUCCCAAAAGGCCUCGUGCUAGGAAGAGAUAGGAAUAUACAUAUAAAGCAUAGAGGAUCCACUUCCCUAGACGAUGUGGGAUGUUAAAAUCCACCCCCCUUAGGGGCCCGACAUCCUCGUCGGCACACAUCCGGCCCUGAUACCAAAUUGUCACAUCCCGACCCGGGCCCCCACCACAUCCCGAGCUCGACUCCGUCGUAGCAGGAUAUUGUCUACUUUGGGCCCUGACCACACCCUCCCGGUUUUGUUUUUGGGAAUUCACAUGUGAACUUCCUAGUGGGUCACGCAUCAUGGGAUUGCUCUCACGCAAACUCGCUUAACUUCGGAGUUUCGAUGUAACCCGAAGCCAGUGAGCUCCCAAAAAGCCUCAUGCUAGGAAGAGAUGAGAAUAUACAUAUAAGGCAUAGAUGAUCCACCCCCUGGGCGAUGUGGGAUGUUACAAUCCACCCCCUUAGGGGCCCGACGUCUUCGUCGGCACACAUCCGGCCAAGGAUUGGCUCUUACCAAAUUGUCACAUCUCGGCCCGAGCCCCCACCACAUCCCGGGCUCGACUCCGUCGUAGCACGAUAUUGUCCACUUUGGGUCCCGACUACGCCCUCACAGUUUUGUUUCUGAAACUCACACGAGAACUUCAGAGUUCCGAUGUAACCCGAAGCCAGUGAGCUCCCAAAAUACCUCAUGCUAGGAAGAGAUGGGAAUAUACAUAUAAGGCAUAGAGGAUCCAGCCCCUGGGCGAUGUGGGAUGUUACAAUCCACCCGGGCUCGACUCCGUCGUAGCACGAUAUUGUCCAUUUUGGGUCCCGACUACGCCCUCACGGUUUUGUUUCUGGGAACUCACACGAGAACUUCGGAGUUCCGAUGUAACCCGAAGCCAGUGAGCUCCCGAAAUGCCUCAUGCUAGGAAGAGAUGUGAAUAUACAUAUAAGGCAUAGAGGAUCCAGCCCCUGGGCGAUGUGGGAUGUUACAAUCCACCCCCCUUAGGGGCCCGACGUCUUCGUCGGCACACAUCCGGCCAGGGAUUGGCUCUUAUACCAAAUUGUCACAUCUCGGCCCGGGCCCUCACUGUCACAGCCCGUCCCGGGAAUUAUAUAUCGGGGACGUGAAUUGACGGGUUUACCUUUGACGUUACUAAGGUAUGUGUGCGUAACGUUAUUUGGGUUAAAUUAUUAUAAGUUUUGGGGAUAAUCGGGUUUGCAUUUUUGUUUGUAUGGUUAGGAUGAAAAUGGAUGGUGUGGAUUAGUUUGGACCACACACAGGACCUCUCUCUCCCUCUCCUUCCCCGUGUCUUCUCUGUCUUUCUCCCUCACGAUCUCUCACACUCCCACACACCCAAAACGUACGGCACACACACAAAUCCUCCAAAAACUCGACGGAUCGAGGCAACCAAGGUAUGCAUCUUCAUCCUUUUGACGUUCUGAGUUCAUUGGUACUAGUUUUAGGAAGUGAAACCUUCGAAAUCACGUGGAACCCGAACCUCCAUUUUUGAGUUACUGUUCAUGCACACGUAAAAUGUCGUGUUUCAGGGAAUUCUAAGCUUAUAGUGAGCUUAGUGAGGUCCCAAGGAAGCUCGGAGUGCUUCGUUGGAAGGAUUUGGACGUCGGGAUCACGUGGUUCCAUUUUGACCGAAUUUCUUGGGAAUUUUCCAGUGAGAUUUCUUGAUUUUUAGAGCCUUAAACUAGUCUAUCAUGAUUCUUCAUGUUUGGGGCUUCAAUUUGGUAUAAAAUACGAAGAAAAUGGGUGAAAAACGAAGGAGAACGAAGAGUUUUAAAACUCGCCGGAAAACGGCCGCCGAAAAAACCAGUCCGGCGAGCCAAGGAAGAAGGAGAUGCGCGUGGGGGGCGCGUGGACCCGUGCCACGCGCGGCGCGUGGGGGCGCGUGAGACCUCCAAAAAAUUUUCUAAAAAUUUCUCGACGCUCGUGACGUCGAGUAGGUCGAUGUGGUAUAUUCAUAUACCCAAUUUGAGCAUCGUAUGAGAAGUUAUUUCGAAAAAUUGGUGAUGUGUUUAAAAUUAACGUUUUUAUAGUUGUUUCGCAUAUAGGUGACACAUAUCCCGAGGACGAGCGCAUCCAGGGACGCCACGGGGGUUACGACCCGUCGACUUAUCAGUGAGUGGGCAGUUUUGAUUUCGUAUUUACCUAUAUACAUUUAUUUUCCCAGAAAAUACGUUUUUAUGAAAGUUAUGAAUUUAAUUGCCAUGCAUGAAAUUAUUGAAAUAUCUAGCUUAAGUAUUGAUGCAUAUAUAUAUGAAAUUACGCGGUGGACGCUCAGGUGAGUUUAUUUAUUAUUCAGCUGGGUUAUUUAUGUGAAUUGCAUUGAAAGCUCAUAACCUGCACCUAGGUGAUAAUGCUUAUAUUGUUAUUCACCACACCGCACGCUCGUCUUGGAUCCAAGUAGGUGGAUGUCGUAUAGACCAUGUGAGGGUUCCGACAUGCUAGUUGUACAGAUCACUAGAUGUGAUUCCAACUAGUGGGUGACCUUAGUUAUGCGCGCUGAUGAUUGAUGUGAGAAGCACUAGAGCGUAUUCAUACACCUGUCAUCGUACAGACUACUAUAUGUAGUUCCGAGUGACGUGCAGAGUUGAACCGUACAGGUCACCGAGGUGACUCCGGUUGGAUUGGAUGUUGAGCUUUAGAAUCAGCCGUACAGGACCAUUGUAGGGUCUCCGGUUGAUUUAUUAUUCACCUAACUAUUUUUUAUGCAUUCUGAUUAUAUUUUGGGCUUGGUAUAUCAUUUCUGAGAUAUUAUGAUGAUGAAUAUAUGUUGAGUUAUGAGGUUGCCUAUAUAUAUAUAUGUUAUAUACUAUUUUCUGGGAAAGUAUACAGGUUUUACGGCGAGGGGAUAGAAUUGUUUUUAAUGAACCGUUUUGGAAAACUAUUUGAUUUUACUGACCCACUCAAUUUUGUUUUGCGCCCCUCCAGGUUCUAGUUAGCAGUUGGUGGCUCUCGAGGUCUCUUUUCCGGCAUUCUAACAGACUCUUGACAUGUAGGACUCACCUGAGGGUGAUGUAAUUUUAUUUUAGUCCUACUUGACUGCACUUAAACCUAUGCUCUGAAUUCACCUGUUUGCUUUAUAAUCCGUCCUGUUAUAUCUAGUAGGUUGUUCUGCUAGAGUUUGGUUUGAAUUCCUUCUUAUGUAUGUUAGUGUUUUGCUUCCGUGUCGCGCUUAUGGUUACGUCACACUAACGUGACGGCCAGCAUGCCUUGAUCCUCUGGGUCGGGGUGUGUCAGUUUGGUAUCAGAGCCAGGUUUCGAUCCUGGGACCUGUGGGUUAUGGGCCCACCACGCUUCCGCUGCGCCGACUACCAUGAGUUUUUCGAGAUUUUGGUCAGGAUGGAAGACUCUGAUAAUCUUCCCAGUGAGAGUGACGAUGACGAGGAUAAGAAUGACGGUCAGAAAAAUGAUGAUAAAGGUAAAGGUAUUACAAUUCCCGGGACGGGCUGUGACACCCACCACAUCCCGGGCUCGACUUCGUCGUAGCACGAUAUUGUCCACUUUGGGUCCCGACCACACUCUCACGGUUUUGUUUCUGGGAACUCACACGAGAACUUCCCAGUAGGUCACCCAUCAUGGGAUUGCUAUCGCAUGAACUCGCUUAACUUAGGAGUUCCGAUGGAACCCGAAACCAGUGAGCUCCCAAAAGGCCUCGUGCUAGGAAGAUAUGAGAAUAUACAUAUAAAGCAUAGAUGAUCCACUCCCCUAGGCAAUGUGGGAUGUUACAUAAUAUCUUAUUCUUCUUUUUCUUUUUGUGAUUUUGAAGAAUGUACCCAUGUUUUGGUAUAAUAAUUUUUUGCUUAAUUUUGAUAAAUGUACUCAUGUUUAUACACACACACACACACACACACACAAUAGUAUAUUUAUAUUUCAAUAUUUUUAAUCUCACAAAUUAUUGUUUUUUAUUUAAAAUCUCAUUAAUAUAAGAAACUAUAAAUUUCAAUUUUUAAUUUAAAAAAUAUAGUAACAUACAUAGAAAUAAAUUAUCACAUUAAUUUCAGGAAUUUCGAUAAAAAUUGAAAACCAAUAAGGUUUCAAUAAAAAAACUUCAUGUUAGGAACCGCAUCAAAAAUCUUCCUUAUAUAUAUAUUACUUUUGAAACCUAUCUACUUAUUUCAAAAAGUUAAUUCCUACGAAACAAAUAUUUAAGACCGAAACUAAAAAAAAUAAAAAAAAAUAAAAAAAUAAAAAAAUAAUAUAAAAAAGAAGCUUAAAUAGAUGACAAGGCAUGCUGCAAUACAAACAAGAAGGGACCAGUGAUAUAUUCCCUUUGACUGUCUCCAAUUUGAACCAAUUCAAUGUCGACAAAUUUUAGUCUAGCUCAAUCUCGCGAGACUCUUAUCUCAUAUGAUACCCACAGCCUCUGCAAAAUUUUAUUUUUUUUUAUUUUUUUUAAUUUGGUUUGAGUGUUAAAAAAAAAUUAAUAAUUAAAUUUAGGGGUGUGAUAUCCACACACUAUAUUUUAUUUCUCACACAUCUUUUUAAUUUUCAGUCAUCGAAUUGGAUGAAUUGAAAAAGAUCAACGGACAGAAAUUAACAAGGGGUGUGUGAGAAGUAAAAUGGGAUGUGUGGAUAGCACGUCUCUUAAAUUUAAACUAGCGGCCGGUUUGUACGAAGAAAAUAAAAAAUAAAAACAUGUGCCUAACAUUAAGGUGCACCGGCUGCGACGGUGAAGUAACAAGAAGACUACCAAAGUCGGCGGACCCUACAAAGUCAGCAAUAUCAAGCUAUAUGAUUCUUCAUGAAAAUUGUCACCCUUCGAAGCAUAAGAAGUAUCAAAAAAUGCCACCUAAUAUUUGCAUUGUUUAUGCACUUUGGUCAAGCCGGCCGACCUAAUUAAGCAUAUUAUAAAUAAUUAUUGUAGAAAAAGUUUUGAACCUAAUAGCUAUGUGCUUAAUUUGCAGUUCGAUUAGUGAUAUUAAUUAGGGUUGAAGCACACUUAUACUACCACAUCAUGAAAAAUUUAUGUUGUCAAAAUGUGGGAGGACCACAAGAAAACCCAACUUCUUUUGUAUUUUUAAAUCAGCACUUGUGUAAGAUAAGUUAUAUAUAUUGACACGAAUACACUUUAAUCUUUACAGCUAUACAUGUUGAAUUUUUAUAGUGAACUUGGAAAAAUAGGUAUGGUCAAAACAAUAAAGCGAACGUUAGCAUUAGUUACAUAAGCGAGUUUAAUUAGCCAAAUUAACUAGUACGAAUAUGAUUCUCAUGCACUUAAAGUUUGAAAAACUUUUCCUGUGAUUUGGAUUAGAAUAGAGCACAAUAUCGUCAUUUCAGAAUAAUAAAAUAUGUUAGCAUUAGUCCUACUAAAUGUUUUAUCAAUUGUUUAAUCAAGAAGUUUUACGGUAGAUUUACAACAUAUUAUUCAAUCGUUAAAAACUGUGUGCAUAUUCAAAUUUGACUUAUUUCUAUCCAAUGUAGGAUUAAACGUUAACUUGCAUGUUUUGUUGCAGAUUCAGACACUGCAAGUCUGCAAUGCAGUUUUUGUUUUGUGGUUCUGUUUUUCUGUGCAUUCAAGUGGAUGUUUGAUUAGUUAGUUGAAAAAAUUUUUAUGGACCUUUCAAAUUUUAUAAUUGUGUAAUUUGAUUAUAAUAAAGAAAAAACUGUAAUGCAGGAUUUACAAAUUCUGCAUAACAUAAAUUGCAAUGCAUUGUCUAAAUCUGUAUUGACCUAUUUCAAAAUAUAAAAAAAUAUGAGAAAAGGGUGUCAGCUACCCUAUGUGCCAGCUGGCAUAUUUUAUAAUUUAUGUUUAUCUUAGAUGCAUUUAUAUAACAUAAUAUAUGAUUAACCUAUUUAUAAUUGGAUAAAACUUGUGUUAUUCCCAUAGGGGAACCUACUUGUCUCCCACCAAUGAUUAACGUAUCUUCAAUGUAUGAACUUCAUAAUAGGAACCAUUCAUUCUUUUUAUCAUCAACCAAAGAUCACAUUUGCAAAAAAUCAUUCAAUUUGAAUAUCGUUUAGCCGUCAAUACGUGUCAAAACAAUCAACGGUUUUGAUAACAAUUAACACCCUAAUUAAUUAUGAACCUUCUAUUUGUUUGAUGCAUAUGAAUGGCUAAAAUGUAUCUUAAUUGAAUGAUUUUUUCACAAAUGAGAUGUUUGCAUGAUUAUAAAAAGAAUGAGCGAUUCCAAUUAUGAAGUUUGUAUGUCAAAACUACAUUAAUCAUAAGUUAGGGAACAAGUAGGUUCCCACAUAGGGUGAACACAAGCAAUAUCUUUUAUAAUUAACAUAAAUAUAUGUUGAUAUAUUGUUAAUAUUGUAACUUUGUAUUGGUUUAAUAUAAAGUCGCCAUUUUCUUUAUUGACCGUCCUUGAUUUCUUGAAUUUGAAAGUUAGAAAUAAACUAGUAUUAUAGGAGGAGAAAAAGUGUAAUAAAAUUACUCGAAGUAAAAAUCGGUUUGUAAACCAAUUUUAAAUUUAAUUAUCGAUGGCUCAUAUUUAUUUUUGUUUGAACUAUUUUAAAGUUUCAAUAAUAUUCUUUAUAAUCUCUCUCUGGAUUUAGGAUGAACCAUCUCCUCAUGUCAAUGGACAACAUUCAUGUCCUUCCCCCAUAAUGAGGGGGUCCAUAUCUCCCCUCUAUUUUCAACAUGAGAGCUUCUUUAUUUUGUUUUUUGCUCCUCAGAUUCCUUUUUGCAUUGAUGAACCUGUUGGCAUAGGGAUAUAAAAAGUUUAUGGAUUCAGAAAAUUUAGAGAAAAAAGAGAAGAAAAAUAUGGUCCUGCAAUAAUACUCAGUACAGUGAAAGAUCACUACAUAAUUCACAUUGCUGGUAUUUGCUCAUUGGUAACCAUCCCUUCCCGGCCUACUUGAUAAUUAAAACUGAAAAUAUAACUUUAGCUCUUAAAACUUAAUUUUUUCCACAUAAAAUCUGACAUAGGUUUUUUACUUGAAUAAAACCCAUUAACUAGAUUCCACAUCAACAAAUUCAUUAAUUAUAUUUGACUUCACAAAUUUAAAAAUUCCGAAUGCCUAAAAUACCCCUAUUUGAUUUAUUUUUAUUGAUAAACCUUAUUGGGAAGUUUGAUGUACAUAAUUAAUGUCAUGCAGAUUGUAAGGAAGAAUUAAUGAUUUUACAAAAAGAAAAAAAAACCACUAACGUUAUAAAUUCAUUGCCUAAUAUAUAAUAACAUAAAACAUGUCUAAUAUAUGUUAUUAUACAAGCUUAAUUAAGUCAAUAAAAUUAUAUUUUACAUAUUAAUGUAGAUAAAUUAUUUCACAUACACAUAUAUACAUAUAUAUAUGUAUAUAAAUGCCUGAUAUAUGUAAAAUUCAUGUAAAAUAAUUGAGCUACAAAAAAUAAAAACAUUUGAUUCAAAUAGUGCACCUACUAUUAAAAUUUUAAAAUGUUAGAUUGCUUAAAAAAAAAAAAAUUUACCCAAGAUAUGUAAAAUACAUGAAAAAUAAUUUACCUACAUAAUAACAAACCCAAUAUAUGCAAAAUACAACCAAAAUAAUUUAAUAAAAUGUGUCAAAUAUAUAUAUAUAUAUAUAUAUAUAUAUAUGAUAUUGAUACAUACAAAAUAAAAUACCUACAUAACAAAAGAAUGCUAUUUGAUUCAAAAUUAAUUUACUUACAAAAUAAAGCAAGGUUAGUUGAUUCGAAGUUAAUUUGCCUAUUAUUUGUACAUAUCUUAUAAUAAUAAAAUGUGUCAAAUAUAUGUAAUAAUAUAUGAACAAUAAGUUACCUACAAAAAUAAAAGAAUGUUAUUUGAUUCAUUAUUAAUUUACCUACAAAAUAUAUAUUAUUUGCUAAUCAUAAAUUUACAUAUAUAGGUAAGACAUAUGGUAGUACUUAUUGGUAAAUUAUAUAUAUAUUGAAUUAUAGUAAUACUAUAUACUUUUCACGUAUGUGUGUCUAUAUAUAUAUAUAUAUGUAUGUAUGUAUAUAUAUAUGUGUGUGUGUAUGUAUAUAUAUAUAUGUGUGUGUGUGUGUGUGUGUAUAUAUAUGUAUAUGUUAGGGGUAAUAGUAUGUGCAAUAAUUAUUUGUUCAUUGUAAUUAAGGUGAGUAACAACAUUUAUUGAUUUGACUUGAAUAUUGUGGCACAAGUUGUAAAUAUUUUGUAAUAAUAGGUCAAUUACUUUUUUACUUGGUAAUCUUUUUCAAAUUUGGGUUUUAUUUGGAUGUUUAGAAUUAGGUGGGUUUUUAUCUAGAGAAUAAGAGUUGCAGGGGUCUAUAUCUAAAGAACCCUAAUUAAAACCAUCAUUUUGCCACGGCUAAUACUAGGGAGAUCAAAAUUUUAAAUUAAAUUUUACAAACCAAAUGAUGUGGUUAUUGAUAAUUGGAUUAUAAUUCAAGUGUUGAUUAACGUAUUUAUUUUUUAUCUAUGACACAUCAUUUGAUUUACAAAUUUAGUUUAAAAUUUUGAUCUUUCUAAUAUUAUCCUUUUGCCAAAUUUAAUAAUUGUGAGUCUUAUUAUGAAGGAUAAUAUUAGGGAUUCCACAUCAUUUAAUUAAUAGUUCCAAGCUCCUUGCGAGUUGAUCGAGUUUCAAACGGAAGGAAAAUAUUUAUGGCUACUUUCAAGAAACCAUAACUUUUAAAUCAAAAUUUCGCUUAGUAUUCAAUCUAGUUGUAUUUCUUUUUCCUUGUAAGUAAAAAGUCUUAGUCCGAAUUUCGUGAAUGAUGAGUUCUAUACUAAUUUAUUCCUUGCUCAUCCCUUGAUAUAUAUAUCAUUGUAAACUCAUUCUAAUUAGAUGAGUUGAAAAUCAUGAUACGCUAAAACACUACAAAAUUGUCAAGAAUGCUACACACUCCAAAAAGACUUGCCAGACUCACAUCACCUGAAUUACAAAACAUCAUUUUUAUAAAGCACUAAUCGUAAUCUUAAUAGACAAAGAAUCCAAAUAUUUAACCUACAAAAAAAAUCCUAUACACAAAAUAUAAAAAAUGGAUAAUUCUAGGGAAAGCAAAUUUGCAAACCAAAUGAUGUGUCACCAAUAAGAAAUAAACACACAAUUAAUAAUCCAAUUAUCAACAACCCCAUCAUUUAGUUUACAUAAUUUGAUUUAAAAGUUUAGUCUUCCUAGCAUUACCCAUAAAAAAAAUAAAUAAAUAAAAACCCUCAACUAAUAAUAAGCCAAAAAGUUAACAAAUUAACUUUUCCAACAAGUUUGUAUCCAUCCUUUAUUACCUUUCCCAUGUCCUUCACUAACAUCGCAAUGGGAUAUUUAUUCACCUUAAUUAUGUUGGUUUCUUAUAUACACACUAAACAAAUCUUACAAGUUAAUUAAGCUAAUAAUUACUAUGUUUAUAAGUAAAGAUUUGUCCACAUUACAAACAACAAUGAUUGUCAUUAUGAAUUUUUUUUAUUUAUAAUUUUUUUAGUUGAAGAUGUGUGUAAUGGACUUUUGGUCCCUCCCUCCGCUUUUCUUUCCCACCCCAACUCCGAUAAGUAGAAUUUGAUUCUUUUUCUUUUUAUUUCUUUGCAAUAUUUUAAAGUGCACAAAAUAAGAACCACAAGUAAUGUGGACAGGGAACAUACUAAGAAUUGGAUUGGAGAAAAUGAAAGUUAGAAUCUAACCAUUACUCUCAUCGUGGAACCGAACUGAUUCAUGUUCCCAGAUUUAUAUAAAAUACUAAUAACCUUUGGGUUAAUGGAGAUAAUAACAUUAAUUAACAUGAUAAAAUAUGAUAUUUUUUAUAUGUUGGAAUCUUACUUUUGACAUCACAAAUGAGAUGAUGAGGUAACUAAUUAAAUAACUUGCGUACAUGUAGAUGUAGUCUCAUAGUUGUGCCACUACAUGAAACUUAAAACCCAAGUUUGUCCUUAAAAUAAUUAGAGAAAAUAACUGUUGAUUGUAGUUUAUGAAAUACAAAUUCAACUCUCUCUCUCCCUUCUAUCAAUUUUGUUCCGUCUAAAUGGCUCUACAUGUGUGAGUCUUCCUGGCUUCCGGAAGGGGUGGAUAACCAUAGUUUGCCACCAGUUGUCUUCCUUAAAAAAAAUGGCUCUACAUGUGAGAUUCACUAUGCAUUGGUGGGGUUAUGUGUGAACUAGUGUCAUACACAUUCUGAUAGUCUCACACCAAAAUAAAUCCAAUUUUAAUGUCUAUAAAUCCAAUUUUUAUGUUCUUAAUAAGUUCUAAAAACAAAUUUCAAAUGAUGGCAAAGUGUAUAAAUAGUUUCAUAUGUCUUAUGAGAUUUAUGAGUUUAAGAUUCAAGAUUAGGGUUUUUUAUUACAGAUAUAUCGAUAUAGUAUUAUGUUAGCAAAUUUUCGUUGUCUUCAGUCUUGACAAAUUUGUAUCUACAAAAGAGAUAAACAUCUUUGAUCAAAGCCAAAGCCUUAUGCACCCACGAGGUGAGGGGGAUUUGGCCAAUGGAUCUCACUCUGAAAAGAGUGAGUGUCUAGGGCUUAAUUAUGUCGCAAAAUCUUACCAUGAAUUGGUGGAGAUGGGGUAUUUAGAGGGAGAUGGUCGACCAUAGGGUUAGAGUUUUGCCCUACACAUGGCAGCUUCCCAUUGACCAAGGUGUGUCAUCCAUAGGAUGGAUGAGGAAAGAAUAAUCCCAAAGAUACUAAUUAUCUUGAGAUGAUGAUGGAAGUAUCCUUAAUUGAUUGUGAUGAGGAUUCCUUACUUGUUUGAGUUGAUCUUCAAUUAUGAAUAUAUUAAAGAUAUGAUUUAGUAAUUAAAACUUUUCCUCCUUUCCGCAAGAAGAGGAGCUUGAUGAUGUUGUAGUCUACUACUUAAGCCUCCAACAAUGUUGGAUUGUGCAGGAAAAUGUUUGAGGGCCCUGCCCAUUUAAAGAGGGCGUUCUUGUCUUCUUUGAAAGAAAAAAAAAUUGCGUGUUGUAUUCUGGAUAUUUGGCAUUAAUUUUGGCUCACAAAUUUCACUAUAAUAGUAUUUUUAUUUAUUAUUAUUAGAGAUGCAAGAUAUAAACUUGAGACAUCUUUUAACAUUGAAAAGAGAAGUGACACUCAAAGCUAAUUGGCUUAGUGUAAUUGUACAUUGUGAUUAUAUAUUGUGGUGCAUUUUUUAGUUAUUAUAAUGGUAUCUAAUGUGGGUCGAGCUUAUGGACAUGUUAUUUUCGGUAUAGAAAAAUGGUGCAUGUUCUGAUGCCUUUAAAAUUACACAUGUUAUGAUACGAGUGGACAACAAGUUUAUAUUUUAGAUUUAUAGUAAUAAAAAAUAAAAAUAAAAACAAAAUAAUGAACAAUUCUUUAGCAAUGAGAAAACAAAAUAACAAGAACGGUCUGAAUAGAUAUUUAAAUCUUAUUUAUUUAUGUGUUCAGUUUAUACUAGCAAUAUUCUAUUUUAGAUGUGACAACAUGUCCCUACUUUUACGAUUUUAUUAAUUUUUAAAAGCAUGAAUUGACGAAAAUGCCCUAUAGGCGAGAUUAUUGACUUCAAUUAACCGUCAUUUCGUGACACAUACGAGCUAUUAUUUUACCGUGUUCUCGAAGUACUCGAUGGUACGAACGCAUAAGCGAAAGCCGCUUACGAAUUGGGAUUGUAACGGAAAAGUUACGGACAAUUGGAAACAUUUUAUUACAUUUUAGAUUAGAAAUUAAUAAACUCCCACCUUGUGGGAAAGAAGCCCAAUUAGAUUGUUGUUUGAGUGACCAAUCAGAAAUUUAGGGGAAAAAGGAUUGGACCAAUCAAAAAUGAGGGGGAAAAGAAAGAACCAAUCAGGAGAUGAGAGAAAGAAUGACCUCCCCAGCCUCCCCUUCGACUCGUACACCCAACCCGUUCGACCCAGUGUAAUUCUUGCCAGCUUCCACCAUUUUUCAGGCGAAAUUCAUCCAUCCAUCACAUGCAAUCUCUUCCUCAACCUCCCCUCUACCAUUUCUGACCAAGAUCGAAAGGUUUUUGGUUCAAAACUCGAAGAACAGUGCCGGAGAACCCGAGGGUGUUCGACGGCGAUUCCAUUGUUCCGACGAGUUGCACCACCCACCACCACCCUUAACCAACUCCCCUUGAGCCCAGGAGCAAACCCCAAACAACCUUGGAGGCGGCGGAGCAUCGGAGAAGGAGAAUCAAACACACCCAUUUCUAGGGUUUCCGAUGGGUACGACCCAAUUUAGGGCAUUUCCUAGCCAAAUUGGACUUAGCCGCAUGUAUAAAACUUGCUCUACUCGUUCAAAUCUUCAUUCCUGUAAAAUUUGAGAAUUUUUUUAAUUGUUCGAUUUUCUGGCGAGUCGAGGCGGCGACACGUAGCCAGUGGGCCGACGCUGCAUUUUUGAGUUAAAUUUGAUGUUCUAAUGUCAUUUUGAUAACCGUUUGCUAUAGUUCGAUAGUUUAAACCUAGUGUGGAAUACUACGCCACUUGACGAUUUUAUGAUUCAAUGAUCCGAUCAUUGGAUCGUCACCAAACCUUAAUAUGUUCUAGUAUGUAAUAUUGAGGACCAUAGGAACUUUUGGAUCGGGAAUCCAAUGUACGGAUCUUCCCUAAUUGGAUUUGUAAGUUCGUAAUAUAGAACGUUGACCGCUACUUAAUUUGUCAUUGGUAGAGAUCCGACCGUCGGAUCGUGGUAAUAUGUUAAUGUUGUUCUAGGAGCUUAUUGAAACUCUUAGGAAGUUAUGGAUAAAAAAUUCGAGGUGCGGAUAUUCCGGAUCGAGUUACGUAAGGUUGUGGACCUUACCGUCAACCUUUGACCGACGGUUGACUUUUGGUCAAUAGGUUACAAAUAAUUCUAGAACGUCCUUGGGGAUAUGUUUUAUGUAAGUUAUGUAUUCUAUCGAUAAGAAUUAUGAGACGUGAUUUGAUAUUUGUUCUAGGCGACAAUCAUUCGUGACGCCUCGAUAUUCAUGCUAGGAAUUGCAGUAAGGGUGGGUACAGGCCGGGCCCAAAAUUGAAGGAAUCGGAUCGGACCUGUUUGUAAAUAAAACAAGAUGGGGUAGGUUUUGGAUUUUUCAAAAUAGGAUCCGGAUCUAACUCGGCCAGUUGAAAUGGGCUGGUUCCUACGGGUCCAAAUCUUCACUCACACCUAAGUCUGGUCUUCGUCAUCUUGUUCGUUCCCCUCCUCAGCGUCUUCUCCGACGCCUUGAGCAAAUCCUCCAGUAACUCAUCUGUUCAUCAGACGGUGCUCUCAUGCAUUUGUUUUUAGAUCUAGCUAGUGACUUUCUUCGAAUAAUGGGUUAAUAAGUCCGACUUCUCAGCCAAAUAGUGUUCCAGCAUACCGUCUUCGUCAUCUACCAUUAACCAUAAGACAAGAUGGUUUCUUCAUCAGAUUGUGAACACAAAGCAUUUCCUUCAUAACAAAAUUAAGUGAUUCGAUUGAUUUUGGUCUCAUCAACAUAAGACUACAUGGGCUAAAGGAAAGAAAAUCACUUUCAAAAUCAUCAGAAUCGAAGUUAAUCUCGUCCUCAUCCUCUUCAUCAAACCCUUCAAUGGCUGGAGCUAAACCUUUCUAUGGAGGGAGAAAAAGCAAGCAAAAUGGAAAAGUGACGAGGAAAGUGCAAGGAAAAAGAAGGGAAUAGAAAGCCAAUAAAGAAAGAAAAUGAGCUCAUUUUGAGGUUUGUAGAGAUAGAGAAAUGAGACAAAGAAGGGAGAUAGAGAAAAGUAGCUCAUUUUGAGGUGGGUGUGUCAAAUAUUUUGAUAAUUUUAUGAGAAUUGGGAGAAACGGGUCCAACCGGGGCCCCGUUUCCUAAGGCUUUUGCACCCGCCCUGUACCGAUAACUUUGUGAACCUGCCCCGGCCCGCCCCUUUUUUUCUUUACAAAUUUUAGAUUCGUCUUGAACUACAUGGAACCGGCCGGCCCCGUGGGUCUAGGGCCCGUUUGCCCACCCCUAAGUUGUAGUACGGACUCCAAGUGAGUGGGUAUGUUCCUUUUUAUAGUAUAUGAUUGAUAGUUUCCAUUUAUGCAUUUGAAAAAGAAUUUCUUACUUACGCCUAGAUUAUACUAAAAUUUAUAAGCAUUAGCGAAAUGACGGAAUUUAUGAAAUUAUUCCGGAUCCUGUGGGAUGCCUUAAUCCAAAUUACAACUUUGAUGAAUGUUAUAUUGACUAGAAAUUAUGGAAUAGGCUAAUCCUACGGGAUGCACAAGGAAGCUUACUAUAAAGAGAUGCCUUGAUUAUAUUUAUGGUCAUGAAUAGUACGACAUUGAUUAGAAUUGUUGAAUGGUUGUGGCAUGACUAUAUUGAUGUUAUCUGCUCAUUGUUUGCUGCACCCGAUAUUAGUGCUUGCCCAAGGCCAGGGCUAGUCUUUCACAUGUAUGUUUACAUCCGCACUGCACGCUCACCUUGGAUCUAAGUAGGUGUCAGUCCUGUCGUACAGGUUGCAAUAGGCAACUUCGACUCGUAUGUGACCGCGAAUAGCACCAGUCUUCAUGUGAUUGUAGCACUAGAGCGUAUAUUAUGAUUACACCCAUACAUGUUCAAGUUAGAACACCUCUGCAUUAACUCUUGUGUCAGCAUGUGUCGAUGAGCACCCGAUAUGAUAUGUUGCUUAUGUGAGAUUUUGUGAUUUUGGAUGUCAUGCCCUUAUUUACGAGAUAUUGUGCCGUAAUGAAUUUUUAAGAUUGUGCAAGCUACGGUAAGUAUUUUUAUACUAUGCAUAGUAAGUAUAUUUUGGAAAUUAUACUGGUUUUACGACGAGAGAUUACUUUAUUUUUAGGCUCACUUACCCUUGUUUUUUAUCGCCCCUCCAGGUUUUAGUAGCUGAGCUUUUUUAUCGACAAUGAUAUAAUCCUUACCCUAUCUUACUGUACUGUACUUAUGCUCUGACGUCAAUUGUGAAAUGGGUUCAUUCUCGCUCAUAGCGCACUCUUAUAUUUAGGCACUUUUAGGUUUAAAAUUAUUCACAUUUUCCACAUCACUACAUUUUAUGGUUUCAUCACCUUCCAAGUGUCGGCCAGCACAUCUCAAUUUGAAGUUCUAACGGACAUACCGGAUUGGGGUGUGUCAUUAGAUUAAUCUAAAAUAAAUAUAGAAAAAUCAAAUUUGAGUGCAUAAAAAAAUUAAAUAUUUCAUACUUGCCUAGUCUUAUUUAUUUUGGAUAAGUAAUUAUUGCAUAAAAAAAAAGUUUUUAUUUUUUUAUUUUUUUUUCUAAUGUCAAUACAAAUACAAAGACAGUUGACGAUGAGAUGAGACUUUUCUUGGUAUGUAAAAUUUUGUUUGGGUUAACUAUUUGAUAUUAAUAAUAAUUAAAAAAAAACUAAUGAAAAUGGUUUGAAAACUUUGAGUUUUAAUCAAAAUGAAAAAAAAAAGUGUUGUAAGUGAAUAGUAUCAUGAGUGACUUUUUAGAAUAAAAAUAUCACUUUCGUAAAAAAGUGAACAGUACCAAAAAUAUUUCGUUAAAACUCUACAUGAAAACUGAAAAGAGAGGAGCGUGGGAAACAAUCCCCCAAGUACACGUGACGGUGAAUGUAUUAGGGAGGUGAUUGUGAUGUGAUCACAUGUGUGUUUCAAUCAUCUUCUCCAAUCCCAUCACACAGAGCAAAGCACACAACACAAGAGUCUCUCUGCAGUCUGAAGUCUGCAGUCAGGGCUCUGAAGUCAAUGCCUCUCUCUAUCUCUCUCUCUCUCUCUCUCUAAAAUCAUCUCCCAUUAAUAUUCACACACACUCACUCUCACUCUUCUCCUUGAUAUGAUGAUAAGUUUCCCAUUGGUGGCGCACACAUGCUCACGCUCCUCAAAUUCCCAACCCAACCAAUCACCUCCCUCCUCCAUCCCAACCUCACUCCAAACACCUAAAAAGAAAAAUCAACCAAAAAAAAAAAGAAAAAUCAACCAAAAAAAAAAAGAAAAAUCAACCACCUAGAGAGGAAAAAGGGGCAUCUUUAGUCCAACUACUCAGAAAAGAAAUAAAGAAAGACGUAAGUUAAAGUCAAUUGACCAGUAUUUAAUUUUUAUUUUAUAUUUUAGUUCAAAUUUUUUAAUAAAAUAAAUUUUAUGCAAUAAUAAUUUAUUGUAAAAAUAGUGAAAGAGGUGAAAGUCCCACCAUGAUUCAACCAUAAUUGAAUAUUAACAUUCUUGUUGAAUUUGAAAUUUUACACUUAUAAGUAAAUAAGAACAGUAAUAUAGUAUUAAAACCUCUCAAAAGAGAUUUUUGAGAGAGUUUAAUUUAUUUAUAAAUCCAUGAAUUUUAUGGAGUUUAAUUUAUUUUUAGAAAAUCUAUUUAAAAUUUUGAGUGAAUUCUUUCAAAUUCUCUAGAGAAUGAGUGAGAUUUGAGAAUGCUUAAAAUACACUACAAAAUAUCUCACAUUCCCUCGAAUUCCCCAAUUUUUAAAAAUUCUUUAAAAUCAAAUUUUAGGAGAUGUAUUCAAUUGGAAUUUUGAGGGAUUUUAAUUCUUUUAUUGAAUCUAGGGGCAUUCAAUUAGAAUUGUAACUGAUUCUUUGAAAUUCAAGGUGUAUUCAAUCAAAAUUUUAAGUUAGUUUAUUAAAAUCCUUGUAAAUUUGGAGGUAUUCAAUUAUGAUUUUAAAUAAUUUUAUAACAUUCUAGGUGUAUUUAAUUGGAAAUUGAUUUUAAAGAAUUUGUAAAAUUUGACUAAUUAGAGAGAAUUGGAGAGAUUUCAUAUUGAAUUUUAAACAUCCACAAAUCUCACAUCUUCCCAUGAGAUUUUAAGGGAAUUGAUUCAAAAUUUUAUAUGGAAUCUAUACAAAUCAAUUAAACUCCAUAAAAAUUCAUAGCUUUAUAAAUUCAUUAAAGUAUCUCAAAUUCUCAAUUGAAUACACCUGCAUACAUCUGAGAUGUUAUAAAAUCCUAAUUGAAUACGUCAUGACUUUCAAAAAAUCAUUUAAAAUUUUGAUUAAAUACUCAUGAAUUUGAACAAAGAAAUAAAAAAUCUCAAAACAUUUCCAUCAAACAAUAAAAGAAGAAAAAGAGAGAGAAGAAAAAGAGAGAAAAUGACAAUACUCAACCAUAAGAAAACAAAACAUAGCAAAUAAGCAACAACCCUUUAUGUCUUUCCAUUUUCUUUUCUUUUUCCCAUUUCAAAGCCAAAACCAAAAAGCCUUGUUUUUCACUCUUCCGGGUCUUCUUCCAAGUUGCAACCAAACCCCAUCUUAAAGCAAGCUCUCUCUAUUUUUCUUGAGUCGCAGAGCGGUUUUUGGUGGCCGUGGCGGUGACAAAACACCCACCAAUUCCAAAUGGAAUACACCACAAGCUCAAGGCCUCAAGAAAUCAGAGAGAAGCCGUAUUCGUAUUCCCCCAUAAACUCACCGAGGAGCAACAACAAUGGCACGACCACCAACGCCAACAGCAGCGUCUGCAGCAGCAGCAGCCCGGCGGUGGGGACUCAAAUCCCGACAACCCCGAAAGUCUCAACUCCCAGAUCUGACUCCAAUCCCUACCCGACAACCUUUGUCCAAGCUGACUCCUCGAACUUCAAACAUGUUGUCCAAAUGCUCACCGGCUCCUCGGAAACUGUCACUCACCAGUCCUCCCCCAAACCCACAGCCGCCGCCCACCACAACAGCCACCACCACCACCACCACCACCAAGAUCCAACAAUUUUGCCACCCUCCAAUAAAAACUUCAACAUCCCACCAAUCAAAACCGCCCCACCGAAAAAGCAGGGCUUCAAGCUCUACGAGCGGCGGAGCACCAAUCUCAAAAACACCCUCAUGAUCAACACCCUCAUCCCCAACUUCCAAUCGGCUUCUGGGUUUUCUCCACGUCAUCAGGAGAUUCUCUCACCGAGCCUACUCGAAUUCCCGUCACUCACCCUCAGCCCGGUGACGCCGUUGAACGACCAGUUCGACAAGUCGGCGUCGUCGCCGUCACUGGGAAAUUCUUCGUCGGAGGAGGACAGGGCGAUUGCGGAGAAAGGAUUUUACUUGCACCCGUCGCCGAGGGCUACGACGACUCCGAGAGACCCGGAGCCGCGGCUUCUGCCUCUGUUUCCGGUCACUUCGCCGAGAGUUUCUGGGUCGUCUUCUUGAUCAAAUGACGAGUAGAGAGAGAGAGAGAUGUGUAGUAAGUAAUAUUUACUGUGAGUGGGUUUUGAUUAAAAUGAUCAUCAGGAGAAGUGAAGAUUAAUGGGUUUUGGAUGAUUUUUCAAUGACAGGUACAGAUCUUUGUUUUAAUUGUACAAUUUCAUAUCUCUUCCAUAAAAAUGCUAAAAAGCUUAGCUUUCAACUUCCUCCUCCAACUUCUUUUCUUCUUCUUUAUUUUUUGUUUUGCAACUUUUAUGGCUUUUUUUUUUUUUAAUUUCUAUUGAACCAAAUUAAGGAAGAUUGAAAAUAAAAUUUCUAUUGAAAUCUGAGUGAGCCUAUAUGAAUGGGAAUAUGAAUUUUAAUUUUACCACUUCAUUAGUUUAGCAUUUCAUUCAAUUGCAAAAUGCAUUUUCUUUGUUCUUCUCAGCAUGUGUGUGUGGUAGGAGAGGACUUUUCAAAAGAUGAGGGUGUGGCUGUUGGACUGGACAAUCAACAAUAAGAAGUUUCAGUUUUUUUUUUUAUCUUUUAUAAUUACAGCUCAUUUAAACUACAAGAAAUAUAUUCGAAUUUAAGUACAGAAAGUGUAGCACACUACUCUUACUAACUCGGUUAAAACUUAAGUCUGCAAUAAAAGAAAUUAUUGUUAAAUUUUAUUUAUUUUUGUUUUUCGUCCCAUGUUAAGUUUUACUCAUAAAUUAACCAGAGUCAAGGAUAUGUAAUUUGGAAUUUAUAAUUUAAUUAGUACAAUUUUAGAGUAGAUUCAACUUGUUGAAGGGUUCUUCUAGGGUCCCCCCCCCCUCCCCCCUUCCAUUGACGAGUGAGGAGGACCACAUUUCCCGUUUAAUCUAAGGCCAUACAUAUGUGAAACUUCCACCUAAUCAUAUGGUCAUGUUGUUCGUGACUUGUGAGCUGUUGAAACUGUUGAGCUAGCUAAUGCAUUAUUAGUAGUGAUUUCGAACAUUCUCCACUUCUCUCUCUCUCUCUCUCUCUCUCUCUUUUUAUUUUUAUUUUACGUAUUCGAUUUAAAAACCAAAAAUAAAAGAAAAGAGUGCAUGAAGAGAAAAUAAGAUGCGAAAAUGACUUUUCUAGUAUAUUUACGGUACUCAUAUGUUUUGCAACUCACAAAACAAUUCAAUGUAGUAUGAUGUUCUAAUAGAAUGGACAAUCAUCUGGAAUUCAAGCUAGGUCAUGUAGUUCUUUCUUCUUUUCUUUUUCUUUUUUUUUUUUUUAUGUUUUUGUGAAUCAUUUUUCUUAAUUUUCUUUAUUUGUGAAAAAUCACUAAAAUAAACCAAACAACGGUCAAUAAAAUGUAUGUAUCAACAAUUAUCUGGAAUUCAAGCUACAUAAUAUCGUUUUUCUUUUCCUUAAGGAGAGACUUUUGGGGAAAGGGAAAACAUGAUUUAAACCCAAAAUAUUUACUCUUAUUUUUGUUGAAGAAAUAGUACAAAGUUGUCAGAAGCCAUUUAUAUUCGGUGUAUUAUACUACGUUUAGUUGUCUACGCAUGCAUGCGACUACUAAGCCUUGACAUUUCUUAUAAUCACAAUGCAUCAAUUACUCAAAGUCACUGUGAGGAUUGAGCGCACAAGUCCUUUUUGUAUUAAUGCAGGCUUAGUAUGCUUCGUGCUGCACAAAUCCUCGAAUUACAUGAGUUUUUUUGUUUGAGUAAAUUGUAGUUAGGGUCCCUUAAUUUUAACUUAAUUUGAGCAUUAGUCCUUUAACUAAAAAUACAUUAUUAUUGGUCUCUCAACUCAUCAAAACUUGCAUCUAUGGUUCCUUAACUAAAAAUUCAUUAACAUUGAUUCCUCAACUUUAAUUCAACUGAAGAAAUGGUCCCUUAACUUUAACCCAAUUGUAGCAAUGAUUAUUCCAGCAUAACUCGUUUUGACAAAAAAUUUGACGUAGUUGACUAAAAUGACCAUAAUUACACACUUUAAUGAGUUGAUGGAUCAUAAUUAUAUAAAUGGUUAUUCCAACAUAACUUAUUUUGACAAAAUUUUGAUGAAAUGGAUGAAAAUAACUAUAGCUACACAUUUUGAAAAGUUGAGGGACCAAUGUUAAUGGAUUUUUAGUUGAGAUACCAUUGCUCAAAUUUGAUUAAAGUUGAUGGACCAUUGCUAUAAUUUACUCUAUUUGUUUUGCUUUGUACAAAUAGCUCAAAAUAUAGGCAACACUCAAUUGCACUCAUUUGUCUGAAAUAACCGAUGAAGGGUUUCUUUCAUGGUAGUACUCACAUACGAAGGACAUAGCUUUCGUUAGAAAAAGAUAAAAAAAUAAACUUACGAGGAUAUAUUGGUCUGUCACAACCACUGAUAUUUCAUUAUGUAAUAAGCGUGAUGAGUAAUUGUGAGAGUAAACUGCUAUAUGAGCAUAUAUCUCAAUAGAUAGCUGAUUUUUACACAACAUAUUUAGAUUUUAACACUUUUUUUUUAUUUUUAUCCUUCAGACUGAAUAAAUCAAACGUAAACAACGAACAUGAUUAAAUAUGGGUGUAUAGAAGAAGAAACGGCGUGUAUUUGUCAUUUCUGCUCCCAAUAACCUCAUCGUGGAGAAGUUUCCCUCCAACUUUCAUUUCAAUUUACAUGAAAGGAAAAGUAUUGGGAUUUUUAUCGUUAGGGCUUUUUCCGUUUAUGUACAAGUUUACCAUAUGCUGAAAUAAUAUGCAGUAUAUACAAAUAAGGAAAUAAGCUUAGGGUAGGACAAUCAGACAUUCUUUCUCUGUAUGUUUAUCUUUCCCAAAUAUAUGAGUUUGUAAUGUUUGUGAUGUCGACUCAUUUGACUUGAAAGAAUAACAACUUUCUUAACGUGUGGACGCAAGAAAGAAAAACAAGAAACCAGAAAGUGGGGCUUUCUGUUACUCUUAUGACACUUGAGAACGAAAGGAGGAAGAAAGCAAAAAAUUAAAGUACAAUUUGAAUUAGCAAGUUAAAGCUGCAGAGAAAAUGUCAAGACUUUUUCUUUUUUUUGCUUUUCUGACACUCAAUUUCUGUCAUUGUGUGUGCGGCGUGCCCAAUAAGUCGGUGCAUUGAACUGAAAAACCGCCAAAGUUCUUUCUUUUUUGUUUAUUUUUUGCAAUUUGAUGAUGCAUGAAGAUUUUAUCUUUUAUCUACCUGUUUUAGAUUGGCAAGCAUUCUUGCUUUUGUUGGAUUGUUGAACCAGUUUUGGAUUUUAAUGGAAAUUGGAUAAUCUUGAUAUUUAUCAAAGAAAAACUUAGGUGGCUAAUACAAAUUUGGGAAACAUGCCAGCCUCAAGAAAAAAACAAAAGGCUCAGUUACAUAUUGCAGCAUCUAAUUGUUUGGUCUGAUAUGUUUUAAAAGGAUAAUGUUAGGCAAAUCAAAAUUUUGCACUAUUAUGGCACCAAUCAAAUUUGUACUUUAAUUCAAAUUCUAAUUGAUUGUAAUGGAUAUUUAUUAGUGUAGAAUGUGCCACAUCAUUUGGUGCAUAAACUUAAUGUAUGUAGCACCACCCGUUUUAAAAUUGAACAAAAAAAUCCUAACAUUAUAAAUUGUUACAUCUUUGACCCCUUCGUCCGUUUGACUAUAUCAGGUUAAGUACUAGUUUUUUGAGGUGACUUUUUUUUAGAGGUUUUUUGGCGUGGCAUUUGGUUGUCAUUUCUACUUAUAUGGACAACAGAUUGAUGCAACAUAAGCGUUUCUUCUUUAUAAAACUUCUUAUUUGUGACUUAUGAUUUUUAACCUUGCGUUCGUGUCAUGAGAAAACUUGGUCCAAAAACAACGAUGAACCUAUCUUUAGGUGACCUAAGAGGGUGAAGACACCCCAGACCAAACUAAACUACGUCAUUAAUAUGAAUAGAGCGGUCUUUAAGAGCUCCUACAAGAUUAUCCGUUAAAUAUUGCCGAAGCCAUUGGGGAGGAACCUCAAAAACCUAAAGACCAAAGUUCAAAUUGUAACUCCAAUUGGCUAGUUGAUCUGCAAAACCAUUCAAUUCCCUGAAAAUAUGUUUUAGCUCACAUUGCACAAGUUGUCUCAUCAUAUCCCUGCAACUCUUCAAAAGCGUAGUGAGAGGAUGAAAGUAUCUUGCAUAGAUUGGUUCAUCAGUAACACAGCAGGAGCAAAGUCCAUUUCGAUGAUUAAUUUAGAUAUACCUUUUUCAAUAGCAAGCUAGAGCCUGAAGUACAAACCCCAAACUUCAGCUUCGAUAAUCUGUCAUUCCUCUAAAUUAAUAGAGAAACCUCACAUCCAAUCACCACUGUGGUCACGGAAGAAUUCCUUCAACACCAAUCUUGCUCAAAUAACAGGAGGCUCUCCCUUCAGCAUAACAUGAAUCCUAUGACGUGGUUUUUCAAUUUUUAGAAGAGAUUCCAUCCAUCAUAGGCAGUUCCAACAAUAACCAUUUUUAGAUCAGUAUGGAGGGAAACAAACAAUUCCAGGUAUACCAACAUGCAAAAACAAACAAACAAUUCCAUGCUAUCUUAGCAUACCACAUUGCCUUAGACGUCACAUUAGUUAUCAUCCAAGCUUUCAAAUCCAAGUUAAAAGUAUUGUGCAUUUGAGAUGGAUCACGCAAAAUUUCCCAAAUGCAUUGAGCUCUACUACAUUCCUUUAGAAUAUACAGAAUGUCUCCAAUGGCCAAGAACAAAGUUUGUAAGAGGAAUGGGUAGUUAGAUUUCUUUUAGUUCUUUGCUCAUUAGUAAGCAGCUUGCCUUGACUAAUGAGCCAAAGGAAAAACUUAAGUUUGGAAGGGAUUUUGACAGUCCAACUCCCAAACCAAUAAAAAAACAAGCCUUCUUUCACAACCAUCAUGAAAGAAAGUAGAGACUGAGAAAUCCUCCUUAGGAAAGUUAUUGGAAUCAAUAUAAUUAAUCAAAGGAGCACGCAACACCCAACGGUCUUUCCAAAACUUGGCACCAUCACAUCACAUGUGCUAAUUCUCCCUUUCAAACAUUUGCGCAACAAAUCAGUUCCAUACAGAAUUCCUUUUCAAGUGUAAGAGUAGUCAGACUUCUCAUGUAGUUUAGUAUCCAAAUAGAGCUCCCUUGUAUUUCGUCUCAUAGAUUUUUACCUAAAGGCACGUAUCCUUAGCAUGAAUUCUUCAUCCAAUUUUAGCCAACAAAGCUUGAUUCAGCUCUACCGUUUUCUUCAAUCCCACACCUUCAAUACACUUAGGUCUGCAAACAACGCUCCAAACGUAAAUGAAUUAUGUUUUUCUGCUCAGAGUCCCCUCAAAAGAAGUUUUUGUUCAACUUGUCUAGAUAAUCACAUAAACUUGGCCCUUCCAACCAUUGAAAGGAAAGAAAUUCGACUUUGAACUUUAUCAAUCACUGCCCUGUAGUGUGGGUACAAACGGCUUAAAAUUCCGUAGCUUUAGGUUUGUUUUCUUCUCUAUUUUUCUAAAAUGGGAACUAAACCGUCACCUACCCACACUACAGGGUUACAAAGUGUGAUUAACUCAAAUAAAAGAUACUUCUAUGUCCGCUCAACUGUCUUAUCUUUUUUACUUUCCUUACUAAACGAUUUAUUUUUUGUUACGCCCCUCGAAACUCUACUAUAAUGAGACUAAUUUUCAAAAUAUGGAAAAUCUGCAUAUUUUAUUCUUAUAAUUAUUCAUAUGGUUUAUAGUGUUACAUGUUUACGGAGAAGUACAAAUUCAGAUUUCCAAGAAAGAAGUGAUUGUUUUGAAACCAUGAUUCUCUGGUAGAGCUCCAUUCCCUGGUCGGAUCGAUACAAUAACUUCCAAUCCUGAAACAUUAAAUAAAAAAGUGCAUCUUAAACAUCAAUGCCACAAAAAUUUUGAAUUUUGUUUGAUCAGUUUCGUUCAUCUUUCUUAAUUUCUUUCUUUCGUUCUUUACUUUUUACUUCUGUUAUGUUGGAGCAACAAUAAAUUAGAACGGGUAGAGAAGUGUCUAGCGACCUAUAGCCGGGUGUAUACACCAUCCUCUCACAGUAUGUGGUCACGUGCUAGUCAAGUGACCCCUGUUGCGAGAAGAGGGUGUAUAAAACCCGGCUACAUUUAACAUCUCGAUAGGGGUGGGGAUAAACCACAGGCAAAUCAUUACCUGCCGCCUUUGCAGCUACAGCUUCUUGGAAGACAUCUGUCACAAAUAAAACCUCCGAUGGUUUAUCAACUCCAACUGAUUGUACAAUUUCAGCAUAACUGCUACUUUCUCUUUUGUUUCUGCGUGAGAGCGAGAGAGAGAGAUUAGCUAGCUUGAAGUGAAUUUGGAAAGCUGGAAGCAGAACACGUUAAUGUUAAGUGAAAGCGUUUUUUAACAGUAGAAAAGGAUUCUGAGUUAAUUUACCCCACUGUGGUGUCAAAAUAUCCAGACAAAUAUUCUCUUAGGUCCCCAUAAUUUGAGUUACCAAAUAUAAGUCUCUGUGCCAACCUGCUACCACUAGAGUAUAUGUAGACCUGCCGUACAAAAUUUCAACAUUGAAGGUAUGACAUCGAGGAAUUAACAUCAACUUCACCAAUGAAUUAAAUCUAAUUUGUUUGGUUAGCAUAUGCACCAAAGACAUCGGAAACAUUAACGCUUGAUUAGCUAUAUCUUGACCAUGCACGUACCUUUAUGCCUGAAUCAUGCCACUUCUUAAGAGCUUCUGGUACAUCAUCGAAAACUAGUCCCUUCAAUUCAUUCUUUUCAUAUCCAGUUCUCCAGAUAUGACCCUGAAUGCUACAAGUCAGCUAUAUCCCAACAUGGCAAGCAAAUUCCUUCUAAAUAUCCAAAAUUGCUUACUUGCAACUGUUUCAAGGCAGUGAUCUUCCGAUCAGCUUUUAUCAUUGCGUCAACAUUAGCAACCAAAGCUGCAACAACCUCCUCUUUCCCUGCAUCAUCAGGGGGGAUGGGAACAGCACCAGCAACACCUUUUUCCAGGUCUUCUUGAACCUACAAUUAGGAUGUAGAACUUUAAGUAUCAUUUCAAAGUGUCCAGCUUACUUCUAUGAUCUUCCAGUUAACUUCUAAAUUUAACUCCUUAAAUAAAGAGCAAUUAAAUUGCUAGCCUGAGCCCAGAGCCGUCCAACUCUACUCUAUACAUUUUUCAGGUAUAACUUCUGGUAAGGAUUAAAAGGUUAAACUGUGGUUUGCUCACCACAAACUAAUAAGAUUCACAUUCUUAUCAAAAAGAUUAAUUACUUGCAUAAAAAUAAAAAAAACAAAAUGAUUUCUUUUCAUAGCAAUGAAAGUAAAAAGGACUACCUUAAUUCUAAAGCAAUACUAUUAUCAUGCUGUAAAUCAGUGGCAUCGUGCAUUCACAUAUCAUGUGGUGCACUACUAACCCAGAAUUAACAGCUGAAUACUAAUGGGAUUUUACAGGUGUGUGGUCUACAAAACAGCACUCUCGAUUCUUGAACAAAAAACUUACCUGGAAGCGCAACAACUUUAUGUCAUCUUGAGUUUCUUCAGUGUCAUAUGUUGCAGACAAGUGCCUUCCAACAUUAUUGCGGGCAUAUGGAAAGAGAACAUCAGUCACAAACGAUAUGGGAGUAGUAGUUCCCUCAAUGUCAAGAACAAUGCAACACUACAGGAAAAAGUGAAAUCCAUAAAUAGAUGGAAGAAGAAAUAUAAGGUUAUACAAAAAACCAUGAAAUUGUUAAUUAUAACAUUUCUCAACCAAAAGACAAUAUUUGCAGUAAAACGAAAUAAACAUAUAAAGAAACAGAAAACUAGGGUUGACUUCAAAGCCUGAUACUAAAAGUUUCAGAACCUGAGAAAUAAAAAAUAAAUAAAAAAUUUAAACUUACUUGUGACGGCUCAGAUGUAUUAUCUAAAGCUGUAGUCGCUGCCUUCACAGAUAUAUUUCCGUGAAUACCACUUCCUAAAACUCCUUUGACAUUUUGGUGUAUAGGGCCAUGGUUUGGAGUAGUUGGGUCCAAACCCAACUGAUGAAGUUUGAUAGCAGCUUCAAAGAGAUAGUGAUAACAUUCAGCCUGGAAAAGAAAAAAAUCUGAUUGAAUAAGCAUCAGGAUAAAAGGCUCCAUACUUCCAGAUCCAUAUGUUAGCCAUCUGUAUCAACAGUUAACAUAAGCUUCGACAAUUACACUGACUACCUAACCAUUAGCAUCAUAAGCAUCACCUGAGUCUUAGCAUUGAUCCACGAGUCACCCCAGACAUAGAUCCCAUGGUUACGAACAAGCACAGCUGUUGUUUUUGGGUAGGCUUCAAUCUAUUGGACAUGAAGGCAAGCAAAAUACUCAUCCACAUAGAAAUUCAAAGUUUGUAUAUUGAUUUUUUUUUUCCCUCCAAUAACAAUCAAAUAGUUACUUUGAAAACAAAAAACCUUAUCCAUUAGCAAAGCUAACAAUAGGAAAUGACAAAGAAUUAAGUACAUAACCGUGUCAUGCAUAAAAUUAAACAGCUAUAUACUAGGAUGGAGUCCAUCAUUCAUAAAUAGUAGCUUUAUGUCAUCGAAAGCAGAUAGAAUCAUCACACCAAAACCAAAUUGAGUUUAAAACAUGAACAUACAGCUUUGGCAAGAGACUCUGUGAGCUCAUAUUCAUAGGCAGUGUUCUCUAUUAUAGGGACCACAAGUUCAUCAUAAUAACCGUGCCCUUUGAUUCCUUUAAUCAUCUCCAUAUGAGUGAUCUGCAUAUUUGUACACAGAAAUAGGAAAACAAACUAUGAAAACAGACAACCAGUAAAAGUAGGCAGGAAUAUCACAUAGAGAAAGGGCAACACCCACAGGUGUUCCCCCCCCCUCCUCUUCCCCUCCCUCUGAAAAAGAAAGUAAAAAAACUGAAAGGUGUGCACACCAUUAUUUUGCACGUGUUUUUUUACAAAUCACUGCAACAUUAAGUUAUGAACUACCCAAAUUUCUGAAAUCCAUACUCUGCUUUAACUCUUAUUCAAAGCGGGAGUCAAUUAAAUGAAGAAAUAUCCAAAUUUUCAAGCAGGGGGAGGCAAACAUAAAAAUUCGGACAAAAAAAUAGGACAUUGACAGAAGAAUAAAAACAACAGGUUCCUACGUUUAUGUAUUAAUUAGCGCUUCCUUUAUUCCUCACUAAUGGAUGCCAGGUGUAAAAACUUACUCGAAAUUCUUUUGCUAAUGGAUUGAUCAUUGUUACAAGACAAGAUUCCAUCCCAUGACUAUGAAUAACAGCUCCUGCAUUACGCAUAUCAUAUGCCUGGAAAACAAGGGAAAUAAAUAUUAACUACUAAUUUUCAUAAGAGAGGUGUCAGUCUUCCCAAAAAUUAAACUAAUGGUGAGUAUUCAUGAACCCCAGCAUCCUCAAAUAGGACUUGUCAUAAAAUGGAAUGAGAAAACACAGAGACACAGGAUCAAUGGAUCACAUUACAAGGUUAAAACAAUGUUUUUAUCAAAUUUACAUGUGUAAAGCAGUUGAAGUGCCUUUAAGAAGCAACCCGGCCUUAAAAAUAUAGCAAGUAGUACUUGCUCAACAUUAGUUACAACAUGUAUCCAGAACUAACAAACAAAAAGAAAACUUAUAAAUAAGAGAUCACAAUCAUCGAAUAUGGAACAAUGGAACCACAAUAAUGCAUCAACCACAUUUUUUACUUAAUGAUGGUGAAAUAAAUAGUGUGAGCAAAGAGAAAUAGCUUAUACAGAUGGUAGCUCACAUGUCCGCUACAGAGUAUCAACAAAGUACAACUUCUCUUUUCUUUUCUUUUAGAUAAGAAGAUUUCAAAUUCGGCCCAUGACUAAAUUCCAGACUUCUAUCCAAUAUUCCAAUUUGACAUGAUUCAGAUGAGUCUUUGCGACCCUUUACAUCCAGAGUCAUGUAAGGUUCAAAUCAAUCUGCAUUGUACCUUUUAACUGAGAUUGCUUGACAUUUCUCUUUGCGAAAUCAAUUGCCUCUUGGCUUUAUUCUGAUAGGGAUCCAAUAAUCAUAAGCAAUCAAGUCUUCAAGAGUGAUUAUUUUGAUGGCUUAUGAAACGUGGGAAAAGAUAAUGGAUCAAAUUUCUUUUACCAUCUUCAAUAUUUGGAGCAGGUAGGAACUACAGUCCCCACCUGGUCAGCGGCUUUAGCAUGCCACAACCAAUAGCUCUGGAAAAGGUAUUCUGGUUGUAAAACUAAGAUUUCAUAUUGUAUUCUAUGAGAGCUAAAACUUAGAAGUACCACUCCAUUGUGCCAACAAAGUUGUUACCCAGCUUGUACAGUGUAUAAAAUUAAAAGAACCUCAGAAGUUUUCAUUAAUGCCAUAAUCACAUAUUCAGACAUCAACAGUAAAUGUACACAACUGGAGAAGAGUCAUUUCAAAGUUUUACAAUGUUCUGACUGAUUUAUCCAAAUCAAACAUUAGUUGGAACUAAUUCACACUUUCUUUCCAACAAUAACUUUAUAGUAUUUAUAAGAAGCACAAGGAAUUGAUACCUUCAUAAAAAGUGGACCACAAUCAGAACACUUGGGAGGCUUAUGCGGGUACGGCUUCGGAGAUGGAGAACACAAGACAGACCCAUUAGGAGAUAACACAUACAUGUCCUCGGGUACCAUUCUCUCCUUCUGAACGCCUGCACACAUAGGAAAAAAAACAUGAAAAAUUGAGCCCAGAAACAAAAUAGAAGGUCACAUAUUGAAAAUGAACCCACAGUUCCAAUUAGGAAACUCCAAUUUCUUUAUCACAGAAUAAAAACCCAAAAAGCAAAGAAUAUUUUGCCUUUAAGCUUCAAAGAUGCAUAUAACCAAAUGUUAACAGCAAAAAACCAACCACGAUUACAAUGAAAUCUCCUUAAUCAAAACAUAGGCACAUCAUACAAAAAUUACAGAAAUUAAUCAACACAAACCCCACAAACAACACACAAGAGCCAAAAGACUCAACAUUUAGCAUAAUUUACAAAAACCCAGAAAGCAAACAACCAAAAGAACCACUCAAAACAGAAACUUAUUAAAUUGGUGAAAAUCCAUGAAUACCCAGAAACCCCAAAAACCCAAAAAAAUGAACAAAAUGAUUUUAGAGAGAGAGAGAUACCAGACGGAGACAUGACUACAAGCUGCUCAGGCUUCGGAACAGAGUCAUCGUGAACUUUGAUUGUGAUGCUGCCACCCGUUCCUGAGACCCAUCCGAGAUUGUAGAAUUGGCGGCAGAGAUCGGAUAUGAGAACCUUGGUGUCGCUCACUGCUUUGCCUUCUAAGUAGGACUGCGACGUCGUACCGAGUUUCAGUCCGUUCACUGCCAUUGCUGGUCUAGCUAGAGAGAGAAACUGUGAUGGGUGCUGUGCUUCAAUACUAGGCUAAAACCUAAGCAAUAAAGAAUGAGAAAGUUCAAAGGUUCCAAAGUAUCAUUCUGUUACCGGACGGUGACUGAAGUCUGGAUUCUGUUACCAAACGCUAACUCAAGUGUGGAUUGUGAUUGGGCCAAGUGUGUUUUGUUAUUUUUGCAUUUUUAAAUUAAUUCUCUAUUUUUCUUUUUCUUUACGAAAAGUCAGUUAAUCAAAUUCUUUACCAAAAGUUAGUUAAUUUAAUUCUUUUUGAGUUUUUCCAAAUUACCAAACUCCGACGCUCUGACCCUCCUAUUCGUACUUCAUAACCUAAACUCAUCAAAGUAAUAGCACAACGACACAUAUCACACAACAUUCACAUUAGAAAUGACGGGACCUGGGGCUGUUAGUGAGUGCAAUGGGGAAAGUUUUAUUAAUUCAUAGUAGGUACGAAAACCCUAGCAGACCCUUCUAACAUUCGAAUACGUAGCAUGAUCUCCUUCAACAAGUUUUUUUACCUUUGGUAGAGUCACUCGUUUGGAUGUGCUUUUAAAAUAACUAAAAAAACUUUUGAUGAAAAUGGGGUUGAAACUAAUUCUUAGAAAAAAUCCAAGUAAAUCCUGAAAAGCACUUUAAAUGCUUCAUGAAAGAAGCACAUAUCUAGUGUUUCUUCCAAAAAGCUCUUAAAGUGCUUUUGGAACCCAAAAUCAAUUUCACUAAAAGCACUUCUAUUCAUUUUAAAAGCAUUUCCAAACAAGUCCAUAUAUAACGGGAGACCUCUCAAAAAGCACUUUUCUAAUAACUAAGACCUAAAACCUUCUUUCCCAUCAUUAAAAAUACAUAAAAGGAUAAAUCAUUGUUCCUUAGAGCAACUCCAGCGUGGGCUGGUGCUCGGGGAACGGGGGACGAAAUAAGGCCAGAUAGCCGGCCUUGAAGCUCCAGCGUGGGCAGCCCGAGGGAGAGUGGAGGCCCGAGCUCCGGGCCUGUGAGGAAUUGCCAGCCCAAGAGCCCGAGUGGAUGUGACGCCAAGCCUGACAUCAUCCUGGUGUCAGCCCAAUUUUAUAUUUUUUUUUGUCAGGCGCGUAUGACUCACCCGCACGUGGGGGCACGUUAGUCGACAGCUUUUCUAUGUAUGGGGCUUGCAUCGCAGUCUGCCGAGGUUACCGUUGGGAAGCCACAUGGCUUCCCACGGUCCGUUCGAUCUCAACGGCUUUUUAAAUUGGACCGUCUGAUUUGCAAAGGUAAUAAAAAUAAAAAAAUCUUAUUUAAUAUCAACGAUUGAUAUUAUUCUGCUUUAUAAAUAAAUAAAUAAAAGGGAUAAAAAUCUUAUCGAAAUCCAUCACCAAUAAUUGUCUUUUCGGACAAUGACACGUGGUGUAACGAGAACGAUUAAAAAUCUUAUCUGAAAUUACAAAUAAAAAAUUAUUCUGUAUUAUUUAAAAAUAUAUAUAUAUUAUUGCCUAUUGCCAGAGCUAUUCAAGUGCAACGGUGGAGAUGCAAAAGGCAGUUACUGUUCAUUAAGGGCAAUUACUCUCCACAAGGUGGAUUGAAUAGUGAAUAGCCUGGGGGGAGGGCUUCCACGCUGGAGUUGCUCUUAUAACUUUAUCGAAAUAUUUCAUUUAAUUUAAUUUGUGUAUUUGUAACAUUGUAUAUUUUUGGACUUAUUGCUAGUUAUUAUGAUGUGGAAGAAGUUUCUUCAGACGGAACCUAGAAUAACUAUAACUUAUUACAAUAUAGAGUUUAUUUCUAUGGAUUUAGAUCCUCUCUUGAGCUAAUGGAGAGGAUCCUCCUGACCAAUCAUCUUGGGUCGUUGGAUUUUUAUCAAACAGCUACAAACAGGAGGUUCCUUUAAAGUUAUAACAAUUAUAACCGUUGGAUAAAAAUCCAACGGCCUAAGAUGAUUGGUCAGGAGGAUCCUCUCCAUUAGCUCAGGAGAGGAUCCAAAUCCACUUUAUAUUAUAGGUCCAAGCUAGGACCGAAACCUUUUAUGACUAGGUAGAGGCUUCUAUUUAGAGUGAUGGUUUACCAUCAGUAAUGCUAUUCUUACCACAUUAAUAUACCACAUUAUGUGACAUCUAAUGUGGCUGUCCACAUCAUCUAAAUUAAUCUUAAUUUAAUUUAAAUUAAAAACCAUUUAAUAAACCAAUAAUAUAAAAAAAUCUAGAAUUAAAUGGUGAUUUUAGCAUUCGAGGAAUCUUCUUCUUCCUUUCUUCCUUCCCCGUUGCUUCUUCUCACGUUUCUUCUUCCACGCCAUUUUUUUGUUUCAGCCCAGAAUGACGGUUCUAUGAUUUCACAUUUAUUCUUCGCGAAUGAUUCUGUGUUGUUUUCUCAUGCUACUAAAAGAGAAGCCCGAUGAGUCUUAAGCGUACUAGACUACUAUUCUAGCACCUCUGGUCAGCUAGUCAAUCUGGAAAAAAAAACUCCCUUUUCUUCGAUGCUGGCUUCUAUAAAAAGGAAGAUCGCUAAAUGUUUGAAUAUCCAGACUCAGGAGAAGUUUGGAAAAUAUAUGAGGAAGAAUUCUGGGCUGAAACAAAAAAAUGGCGUGGAAGAAGAAACGGGAGGAGAAGAAACGAGGAAGGAAGGAAUGGAGGAGAAGACUCCUCGUAUACAACAAUCACCAUUCAAUUCCAGAUUUUUUUUAUUAUUGGUAUUCAAAAUUAGGUCCUAGGUUAGAAUUCCAUAAAUAACUAGUUCACUAUUAGUUAUUACGCUUAAAUAAUAGGUAUCAAGUUCGAACUAAAUUAUUAUUCCCUUAUUGUGUCAUAAUAUCAAAAAGUAAUAGUGGGUCGUUUGGUUGUGGUUCUGUAGAGACAUUAGCCGCAGUGCAUGAGAUUAUAUACAUAUCCCGGAUAACAUCUUUCUUUCUUCACAGUGUGCAGUACAUCAUCCAAUUCCAACCAAGAAGCAACCUCUGCAAAUUACAAAACCAAAUAUCCAUCCGUCCCUCCCUCAUCCAACCAUGUCAGGCAAAGGCCGUAUGCUGAAGAACGUCAAGAAGUUCGCUGACUUUCAAUACAAAAUCUUCACAGAAAAAUAUGGCCAGCAGCUCAUUGACAUUUUCGAGUUCCCUGUCAAGCUUGUCCUCUCUCCUUUCACUCUUGCUUUCGACAUUGCCGGCUCUGCUCAACGUGGCUUUGGCGUCCCCGAGUUGGUUUCCAAGCUAUCUUACAUGUCAAUCUUUGUGAGCUCUUGUAUCCACAAAUAUUAUCACUUGGGAUUUUUUCUGUCUCUGUAAAGUUUGAUAAUUUAGCUGCUUUUUAACUUUUUAGUGGAAUUUUUUACCCGGUUUUGUGGGUUACUAGGUAUCUGCAUGGGUGUUUUUGGUGUUUUCCGAGUUUUCGGGUAUAGAGACUGGAUUUUGGUAGAAAUUAACAGUUAUUUUGGGAGGUUUGUGUCAUUUGAAAAAUUGGGUAGAUGGGUUUUGUGUGAAUUUUUGUGGCAGUGAAUAUAUAAUCAAUUGGUGAAUGGCAAGUUGAAUUGCAUUUGUAGUUUAGUCAAGUAGGUUAUGAGGUGGUGCUACUAUUCUUGGGAACUUGCAUAAUACUUAGUGGUGUAUUCUGUUUGGGUUUUCUUCAUGCUUCAGGCAGUUGCUACUUUAGGGACUUAUGACAUAGCAUUAGAGAUGGGAAAGAAGGUGAUAUGCCAAAGAUAAUUUAUCCGUUCAAUUUUCACGGUGGUCCUUAUCUUUAGUUAUGUUUAUUUUCUAUGCUUGGUAUUACAGUGUCUAGCACUGUAAUCGUUUGUAGUUGCACUAUAUAUAUCCAUGUAUAUAUGCGUAUAUAUAUAUAUAUAUAUGUUUGUGUGUGUGUGUGUGUGUGUGUGUGUGUGUGUGUGUGUAGAUUGAUCAUCUAACAGAAAACAUGUUAAACUAAGUAGAAAAUGAAACUGAUAUGUAUUAUUGUAUAAGGGUGCUGCCUUUCUAUUAUUUUGUAGUGUACUACUUUUGUUGUGCUAAUUACCAUUCUCUAUCAUUCAGAAUUAAUUUGCACACAAUAAUGUAGAACGUUUUAUGUGUAAAUUUUUAAACCAUGGUCCUAAUGAUAGUUGCUCUCUAAGCUGCCAAAUGAGGUGUAAAAGAAUCUUAGUGGUGAAUUUUUCCUUGGUGAACUUGAUGACAUUACUAGAUUCAUAGUUUAUUGAAGUUAGAUGAUUUCUUAACUGCACUCUUGAAGUGCAGGAACUGUGGAACCUGCAACGGUUGGCAGGCAUUGCGGUGUACCAUGUGCAGAGGAUCAGGGAGGGUGCAAUACCAAGUGAAGAAUUACACCCUAAGAAGGUAGACUUUCCUUCAUUUGGAUUUUGACCUCUAUGUCUGGAAAACAAUUAACUCUAUGAGUUAUAAUGUGCUCCUAUUUGUUACAAAGUGAAAAGAUAUUUAAGCAAAAAUGGAGCUGUAGGAUGCAUGAUUCAACAACUAUUAUUCUUGAAGUUUUAACUUGCCAAAUAUAUGUUGGAAAAAAUUGUAAGUUGUGCUAUAAUUUUGAAUAACAUAUGUCUAUUGAGUCCCAGAAUGGGCUAGAAAAUCUCCAGUCUGUUGCCAAAAUCUGUGAUAUGAACCUGAUAAGAAGAUUUGACUGCUCCUUAUGGGUCUCAUAGUAUACUCCUUCAAAACCAAACUAUGGUUGUCAUUCUAAAAAUGGGAGUCCAUUUGAAUGCUGGAAUUUUUUAUAUUUCUAGGCAAUAUUUCUUAAAAAGCCUCUUCUGUUUGACUAAAAGUGGGCGUUAAUAGCAUUUCAGAAACAAAUUAACAUGUUGCAAUAUGAUUUUUGAAACAAUAUAAGCUCUGCUUCACUCUUUCUCCUUGUAACCAUAGUUUCAGACAAUCGAGGUUGGUAGUUAAUGCUGGAUUAGUUGAACAUUUUAUUUUUAUCUUUUGUUUGUAGUAUGUUUCGUCUAUUUAAUGGUUAUUGUUUAUAAAUAUUAUCAUGCAGUGAGUCCUUUAUUCAACCACCAAUAUGAUAUCAUCUUCAUGCAUUUUAUUUCUCUGUGAUCUUUAUGCAGUGGAGAGAAAGCAACAGCUGAAUGUGUUGCAGAUGCCAUUGCUGAUAAUCGGGCUGAGUUGGUUCACCUUCCAUCCUCCAUAAAUCUUGAUGCGCCAUUGCCAUCUAAAGAGUGCCCAACCUGUGAUGUCACGGUAAACCCUUUGGCCCCACGUAAAGUUGACUUAUUUACAUAUAUUUACCACUAUAUCAAACUCAUGAUGAAAUAUAUACUGUAUUGCAGGGUGUGAUGGGCUGUACGGAGUGCAAGGACAAAUUACAAGUCAGAAUCUCUGCAGAUGAUGUGAGCUAUUUUUGGUUUUAUAUAGUGUGAAAUUAUAUUAUUUUAUGUCUUAGCUUGAUCUAAAACUCUGAAUGUUCCAACUUGAUCUUUACUUUCACUGUGAUGCAUAAUUCAACACUAAUGUGUGAACUUGCCUCAGCAAUCGAUAGUUCCAAAUACUCGUAGAGUUCUCAGUACAUUAGUUGAUUUAGUGUUGUCAUAUUUGGAGUUGCUUUAAUAUGUUUCAGAAGGGCAGUGUGUUAUUUCAAGCAAACGUGUGUCAAUCAUUCAAAAGGAAUUGGUUUACCACGAUGAUACAAAUCAUACAAUCCAUAUCCAUUUAACUUGUUAAGAAUAAAAAAACUCUAGCCAUGUUACUUUGUUUUAUUUAUCUUUUCAAAGUUAGUUUGUAGAGGUUGCACUUGAUGCGAUGGCAAGUGCCUUCGCCCAUGAGCGGUAGGUCUCGGGUUCGAGACUUGGGAGCAGCCUCUCCAUAAAAUGGGGGUAAGGCUAGCCGACAUUCACCUCUCCCAGACCCUGCGUAAAGCGGAAGCCUUGUGCACUGGGUACG